Molecule: long non-coding RNA, 100397 nt
Filed under: Gossypium raimondii (Peruvian cotton)
Lineage: Eukaryota; Viridiplantae; Streptophyta; Magnoliopsida; Malvales; Malvaceae
Description: long non-coding RNA (GRAI_LNC005515)
Rfam family: tRNA (bases 97128-97210)
Source: RNAcentral
ACUUUGAUCCUGACCAAUAUGACAGUAUUGCUGCGAUUUCAGAUGGAGCAAACAAGCUUUUGAUGCUGGUAAGCUUUAGAACUUGUUUAAUUGUUUGGUCUAAACUCUGAAGUCCAAACUAUGAUUUGGAGCCAAACAGUCUUAAAACUCACUCAAAAAGGGAUAAAGCUGUCCUGCAAUGUGUCAUCCUUAAUGAUGGGGUCCCAUAGAAACCAAAUUUAUGAUUGUUUUUCUUUUGCAAUGUUUUGUAUAUUCAUGCCUCUUUUCUUCUGGAUUGUUGAAAAAAAGCGAUGUUACGUUCUUUUUGUUUAGAUUUUUGGCAGAAAACAGGCAUUUUUUUGGUUCUAUAUCAAAUGAUCUCCUAUCAUUGGAAAAUGCUGGGAUGUCUUUUAAUUAUUUUGAAGUUCUAUAUCUAUAUCGGUUUAUGUUCUAAAGCCUUGUAUCCUUUUUGUCUUCUAAUUAUUUUGAAAUGCUAGAUUAAUCCAAUCUCAAUUUUCCUAUGGUUCAAUGUUAGGACAACUUACUUGAACAGCCAUUAAAUUAUGCAGAUUGAUUGUAUUACUUGUUAACAUUCUGAGAUAUGUUUGGUAAAAUGGUGGAGAUCUACAAAAUUUGACAGCCAUCUACAAUGUUGCAGGUCCUGGCAGCUGUCAUUAAAGCAGGUGCUUCUAGAGAGCAUGAAAUACUUGCCGAAAUUAGAGAUGCUGUUUUUGCUUUUAUCCGAAAAAUGGAACCAAAGAGAGUAAUGGAUACCAUGCUUGUUUCCCGUGUUAGAAUUUUAUAUAUAAGGUCUUUGCUUGCUAGAUCACCGGAGCUUCAGUCCAUCAAGGUAACUAUAUACUAGAUGCUGGUUUUUACUCAAUGUCUAUAUAUACUUUUACUGUUAUGGAGAUGAAUGUGAAUUUCAUCUUUCAAUUUUUAGGUUUCCCCUGUUGAGUGCUUUCUAGAAAAGCCUAAUUCAGGACGCAGUAGAAGUUCCAGCCGAAGUAACAGUCCUGGAAGAUCUCCUGUGCGCUAUGUUGAUGAGCAGAUCCAGGGAUUUAAAGUAAAUAUAAAGCCAGAAAAAAAAUCAAAGUUGUCUUCUGUUGUUUCAAGAAUACGUGGAUUUGAUCAGGUAUGUGCUACCAUAAGUGUUUGGUUCUUUUCCUUUGCAUCGGCUGGUAGAGAACCGUAGCCUGCUCCUUGAUGGAAGCUUCUUAUUUUUAAUGGUUCUCAUAAAAAAAUUACAGUAGUCAUUAUAUGUUUCAAAUUCUUUAAUGCAUACACUUAUCUGGUUUAGAUGUAUCUUCAUGUGGCAUGAGAACCAUCAAAGUUCGAAGUUUCUUAAAUGAGUACAAUUAAACGUACAGGAUACCCUGAGGCAGCAGCAGGUUACUGGUGGAAAGCUAAGAGAAAUACAAGAGGAGGCCAAAAGUUUUGCUGUUGGAAACAAGGCUCUUGCUGCUCUUUUUGUCCAUACUCCUGCUGGUGAAUUGCAGCGGCAAAUUAGGUCGUGGCUUGCAGAAAACUUUGAGUUUCUUUCUGUUACAGGGGAUGAAGCAUCUGGGGGGACCACUGGCCAGCUAGAGCUUCUUUCAACUGCUAUUAUGGAUGGUUGGAUGGCUGGGCUAGGUGCUGCACUCCCUCCUAAUACGGAUGCUCUUGGUCAGCUUUUAUCAGAGUAUGCAAAGCGGGUUUUUACUUCUCAGUUGCAGCACUUGAAGGUAUGUAAUAUACCAUAAAGAUAACUCUUUAUCCAUCUUUCUGUAACUUGUCUUUUUUAACUAUUUAGUUUAGACAUGAGUAUGCCAAACAUUGGACUAAGAUUUGCUAUAGAUAUGCAUUAAUUUUAUACGGUGGUAGUUUCUAUCUUCCCUCUGAAUAAUUGUUUUCUCAAACACCAUGACAUAAACCCAUGGUUUUUUUACUCAAGUAAAUGCUUACCUUUUUGGUAGGAAAGUUGGACCGAUAGUUUAUUGGGUUAUAUCCAAAAUCUGGAUUAUCAUUGCGACCUAGUCAAAUCUUCAAUACUUCUUAUAUUAAGAGAACCGUAUAAGUUAUUUUUCAUUUUAGGUUCUUAAGGGAUUAAUUUUAAGAUUUUUUUUUUCUUUGCUUCUGCUGAUUUUAGAAAUCUCUUCCCUAUAUUUUGAUUGAACUAAAACAAGGGAAGGGAAAAUAACUUUUCCUUGUUUGGAUUUUUUUUUAUUCAAGCAAAAGAAAUUAAAGGGGGUUCAAUAUCCUAGCUUUCCCUUGAAACUCUCCAUAUUUAUUUUCCCCGUAUUUGGGGGGAAAUUGGGAAAAGGAAAGUAAUUUUUUUAAAGAUGUGAAAUACCGUUUUUUAUUUUGUCAAUCUUUUACGUAAUUUAUUUUAUGAAAAGGAUAUAAUUAGGAAAAAAACCAUUAUAAUCAAUCAUUCCCUUUUCUUUCCAUUGUUUAACCAAACAAAGGUUGUAAAAAUUCCUUUACUUUCAUUUCCUUACUAAUUUUAAUUAUUCAAACAAAAUACUCACAUCGUUUCCUUUCUUUAACCUUCUUUUCCUUCAUAUUUUUCUACCCAAACAUGGUGUUAACUUUACUCGUGGCAUGUGUUCUGUUGAUAGGGAGGUACAUCUUAAUAGAGUAGGGAUGGUUCCGUGAGUGGAAGGAUACCAAUUGUUAUUCUUGUUAGUUUCUUCAAAAUUUUGGGUGCAAUGUUUAGCAUGUAAGAAUUCUUGACGUUGUUCCAAGCAGGGUAAGGUAGUGAGACAUAUCUCUUUUUACUUUCAGGCUUAAGAUAGUUGUAAGUCAAAGGAUAACCUCUUUUUUUGGUGUAAUCAUUCAACCUUUACAGUUCAUGGGGAAAAAAGUUGUUUUAUAGAAAGUGGGAAGAUUACAAGUAUAACCUGAGCACGAAAAUCAAUUUAUAUUCAUUAUGUUUAUUUACUAAUAUUUAAAUCUAGCAUAAUGAACAAUUAAGAACAAGUCAGUAUGCUGGACCUCUGAUAAUAAGUGCCUAAAUCUCUGGGAACCAAUUACUUUUUUACUCAAAAAAUAAUGUUAACCAGUCAAGAGGGAAGGCCCGGUAUGUUCAUUCUUUAAUGACAAAUAAAAUAAGUUUCAUUGUCUUGAUCGAUCGAAAUGAUUGCCUUGAAGGUUUUUGGGCCAGUUUCUCUGGAACUAAUAAAAGGUGAAAGAUGUUGAAUUCUAGAUUUCCUCAAAAUUUGUUUCUUCCUCUGUCUUUAGUGUGAUAUUGUAUUUGAAACUCUGUUUUUCAUCAUUUUCAUUCUUAUCUGAGCUUUGUGUUUCUUGGGAUUUCAUAUUGUAGUCUUCCUAGUUGCCCCAACUCUCGUCUUAUCUUUUAGGGGGCUGGAUGGAGGCAGGGCACUACAAACAUUUUCUAGGCACUAUAGAAAAUGUUCACAUUAAUAGAUAAUUUUAUUGAUAAUAUUUAGUGUGACUAUGCGUAUUGAAUUGCAAUAGAAAAAGCUCCUGCUGUUCUAUUAGUUGCCUAUAUGUGCCUUGCAAGUGUUUCUUGUAUAUGCUUAUGGAAAGCGCUCAAUUUUAUUACACACCUCCCCGCUUAAAAAAAAAUGAACUAUAAAAAACCAAUUGUGCAGUUCAUUGUAGACAUUGCAAGCUUGUUUAUGCUUAUGGAAAACGCUGCAAUACCCCCCCCCCCAAAGAAAAAAAAAGGAUAGAAGACCAAUUGUGUGAUUCAGUGUAUACAUUGCUAAUAACCUUUUUUUUUUCCCUCUGCUAGGAUAUUGCUGGAACCCUAGCAACAGAAGAGGCUGAUGAUGCUUCCCAAGUGGCAAAGUUGCGUUCAGCUCUUGAAUCUGUUGAUCACAAACGAAGAAAGGUGAACCAUCAUGUUUUUUUUUUCUGCCGCAUAAAUAUCUUAUAAUUAGCUUCUAUGUACAGAUUAGCUGUUGUUUUAUCUAAAGUUAAUGUUUUUAAUGUAAUCAUGUGUACCAGUUUUUCGGAGUAGCUUAAUUUUAAUGUCAUAAUUCUUGAUCUAGCAAAAUUCACCAUUAUUAGAAAGAGGUCUUGAGAGUUGUGAAUGCUUGACGUAUCUGUUGUGACUUCUUGGCCAAGGCCCUGACUCUUUAGAUGAUCUUUGUGGUUGACCUUGAUUACUCCAGUCAGCAUGUUUAGUGUGGUUAGUUUGCUUCAUAGAUCAGGACAAUUUAUGGUCAAUAAAAUACUUGCAUCUGGAUGUUAGAAUAACUUGUUACUUAUUCUUUAUCUUCAAAUGUCCUUUUCCAGGUGUCUUAGGGUGUAUGACAUUGACCCUUUUAUGGAAAGCUGAGAAAUUCCUUUCAUGUUCAAUAAGAAUUCAGGAUCGUUUUGAUCUCUUUUUCUGUAGCAUUUAGAUUUAAAAUCUCUGGUUGCCAUUGUAUUAUGUACUAUUGUCUGCUUGCUUUUAUCCCUUUGUUAUCUCCUUCAUAUUCUCAAAAGCAUUAUUGGUCUUUUAGCUGAAUUUCGCAUGAAGACGUUAUUAGCUGGAACACGCUAAUAUUUUGUAUGUCAGAAGUUAUAUAUGCUGACAGAUUAGAAUGAUAUUUGUUUGUGAUUAGAUUUUGCAACAAAUGAGAAAUGAUGCUGCGUUGCUAACAUUGGAGAAUGGUAGUUCACCCAUUCAGAACCCUUCUACUGCAGCUGAAGAUGCCCGUUUAGCUUCUCUGAUUUCUCUUGAUGGCAUCUUGAAGCAAGUCAAGGUGUUUAGCUCGUCUCCAAGUUGCUGUUUACUUCUACUCAAUGAUUCUCAGUAGAGUAAUAAAAAAAUUUACAUUGUUCUUAUGUGUUGAGCAGGAUAUAACAAGGCAAUCUUCUGUAAGUAGCAUGGGUAGAAGUAAGAAGAAAGCAAUUAUAGCAUCACUAGAUGAGCUGGGGGAACGAAUGCCCUCCCUUCUUGACAUCGAUCAUCCAUGCGCUCAGAGGCAAAUUGCCAAUGCUCGGCGCCUGGUUGAGGUAUGGGAUUGUCUUUUUAGCAUUUUUAGUGCUGCAAAAUUUCUUAUACAUGUGCUUCCAACUUGGUCAUUAAAUGAAUUAUCCAAACUAGUUUGUAACUAUGUUUCUGUAGCUUUUCUAUAUAUUUAUGUGGAUGGCCAGGGCCAGGUAUGGAGAUGCCUGUCCCAUAUUUUAUUAUCCCUGAAAUGUCUGAAUCCUAUGUUUUCCAAAAGCUUAAAGUGUUCCAUACCAACACAAAUUCUUCUGAAUGAGACAUGUAGUUUGUGUAUUUGGUGCAUAAUGAGAACUCUUCGAACCUGUACUUUAUGGUUAUAGGGUUGUUGGUAACAAAAUUGCCCAAACAACAUGAGCAAAGUAGACUACCAAGUGCUCUAGAAGGAACAAUGAUUUCAUUGUUGCAUCACUUUAUCUGCCCUUUUGACAAUUGAAUGACAAAGUGCUGCACUACAUCUUAUAUUUUAUUGAGGUUAGCAUUUAUAGUGCUUCAUUUGUUUUUCUCACCCUCUUUAAUCUGCUAUGUACUUCUGAAGUCGGUUCGUGAAGAGGAUGAUCCGGCACCAGAGAUACACCAUGCUCAAAGGCCAUCUGCGGAAUUGGGAUCUGGUACUGAUACAGAUGUUGCACAAUGGAAUGUAUUACAAUUCAACACAGGCUCAACAACCCCAUUUAUCAUCAAGUGUGGAGCAAAUUCCAAUUCCGAACUGGUUAUCAAAGCAGAUGCAAAGGUUCAGGAACCCAAGGGUGGUGAAAUUGUGAGGGUUGUUCCUAGACCCUCUGUUUUAGAAAAUACGAGCUUGGAUGAAAUGAAACAAAUAUUCUCUGAACUUCCAGAGGCUCUGAGCUUACUUGCCCUAGCCAGGACUGCGGACGGCACCCGAGCUCGGUAUUCCAGAUUGUAUAGGACAUUGGCGAUGAAGGUUCCAUCGCUAAGGGAUCUAGUUGGGGAGCUCGAAAAGGGGGGAGUAUUAAAAGAUGUAAAGUCGUGAAUGCAAAGGGUGUUAGUUUUAUUUUUCUGAUGUUGGAGUGUGUGUGGGGGCUGCGAUUUGCAGGGACAAAGUGGGUGUUGUUGUAAACCUGUGAUUUGACGUGCUUUGUAGGGAUUUGCGGAGUCAAAUGUAUUGGAAGGUGGUGCAACUGUUGAUGCCCCUUGUAUCACAUCUCACGUUGAUAAUAGUGGCAAUUUUAUGCAGGCAUCCAUGAUUUUUGAGUACCGAAUUUUACAUUCAAAUAUAAUUUCCAACAGCAACAGAAUCAUACAAGUUUAAGUAGAGCUCUAGGUAUUUAGCUUAGUUUAAAGAAGUUUUAUACGUGGAAAAUAAAACUUUUCUUAAUUACAAUUGGUUAGGAUAGUUUACUAGAAUCUUAGUCUAUAAAUUCAAAAUGGCAUGUUUCUAGAGAUUUUUUGUAAUUUUUUUUUGGCAACGAUAAUCUAUUUUUAUUUAUAAUUCGUAAUUCAAUUUAUCUUAAAUUCAAAAUUCAGACUCGUUUCUCAUCUUUGAUUUCCUGCUUCCGAAAAUUCAAAGACCAAGAAUUUAAGAACUUCUCAACCGCCAUUCCUUAUAUUUCUCUUUAGUUUCGAUUUUUCUUUUUUGUACUUUCUAUCUAUCAAUUCCAAUUUCCUUAUAAUCUUGUCCCCUUUUAGCCUGGCUUCAAACUUUAUUUGCAUCCUAAAAAUUCAAUUCAUGAUAUAAUUCUUCCCUCGAUUUUGAUCCAAUUAAAUAAAUUCAACAAUGGGAUCCUCAAAAGGAGAUUUUAUUUUAUAAUACUAUGAACUGAAUUGUAAUUUUAAUCGAGAUGCAUCUUUUCAAAGGACAACCAUAUCCCAACCCCCCCCCUCUUUCUAAACGGCUCAUUGUUUACUGGCUACGCCAUUUCUCAUUCCUUCAUCAACCUCAUAGUUGCAUGGGACGAGUCUCAGUCCACUCCCAGUUUGCUGAUUAUCCUCUCGCAUUUGCUACUAAUCAUCACCUCGGCCUACGGGCAUUAGCAGCCAUUUGCUGCUAUUAUCCCCCUCCAAAGGGAAGAUUCUUACCCGUUACCCCUGCGCCAUUGGGAGCAUCCAACUUGCAUGUGUUAAGCAUGAUAUCUAUUUCACUAAUCUGAAGUUGUAGUUAGAACAAGAUAUACAGACCUAUUUUGGUCCCAAAAAGUUAUUUCUUUCACCCUGCCUCCCUUCACAUAAAACUUUAUGCUUCCCCUACUCAAUUUCAUGGUUGCAUUUCUACGAAAAAUGAAUAGCUCACUAUGUAAACUAAAACUUAGUAAUCAAGUCUAUAAAACAAGGGUUCCCAUGAUAUUAUUGUCACCAUCAAUAACUUGAAAACUAUGUAUGAUAUGUGAGGCAACGAACAAAUGCAUUUUCCGAAAGGAGAUUUGCAGCACAUACCAAUCUUAAAUCGGUUGAACCAAAGCUGGGAAAUUUUGUAGACAGGAUCUAUCUUUUCGGUGAAGUGUGAAGUCAGUUUCAAUGCUUAUAAAAUACGAGUUCUCUACUACAGUUGGCUUUGAUAGCCUCUUCUAGUUUCUCAGAUUGAUCGAAUUCAACCUUGAAGGAAACCAUGGUGGUCCCAUCUUUGCCUGUAUCAUAAUCCUGUUUGAUGUCCUCAACUUCGAAAGAUUGUAACUGCAGCAAAGAACAAGGUUACCAUGUGAUACAUUUUGAAGGUCCCCUUUCUAGGGCAAAGACAACGAGAGUAACAAAAUAUUAGAAGAAUUUCAACAAUGCAACUUACAUACACCAAUUUUAAUUAGUUAUCACCUCUACAUAACUAAAACCAAAUAUAAAUAUAAAGUUGAGAGCAAAUAAAAAGAAGGCAUAAAAUGGGAGAGAAAAUUAUAUAGCUUGUUUUGAUCCCCAAAAGUUAAAUAAAUAGUUUAAAAUCAUCUUAUCCCUAAUUAAGAGAUACCAUUCUUUUGAACCCAGAGUUUAACUCGGUUGGUUCAUGCUAUUACCCUUAAGAGGUGGUAUUCACAUAAUCUGGGAUCCAAAUCACAGCAUCUGUAAUCCUUAGUUUACAACCUACUUUGUAACAUGCUGGUUCCAGAAAAUGAUUCAUUCGAGGUCACAAUAUGACUCAGAUGAACUGAAACUAACACUUACAAAUAGACAUGAAAAAAUUGACUUGUUACUAAAGGGACAUGUCGCUAGAGAAACAAGCAAGCGGCAUCCAAGGAUGUUACAAUCAUUAUUCAUACACAUCCUAAUGGUGAUAAUCAGAUGAGAAACUACAACCACACACAUUCCAAUCAUACUAAUCGGAUCAGAAACUAAAUUACAUAUCCAACACAUUCUGACGGCGAUAAGCCAAUAAUUGGAUGAGAAACCACAUUAAGAGAAAUUUAUAUAAAAGAAGCAUGAAAUUUUUCUACUUUUUAUUUGUAAACAUUAUAUGCAAACAACUAACAGACACUAAACACUAACCAUAAAAUAUCAAUUUACUUGGCAUUUAGAAGGACUAAUUUAAACAGGGAAAAAAUUGCUCACUUGAUGGUAUAGAACUCCCAAAAGAUCGAAAGGAACCUCCACUCCCAUUGGAACCUUCAAAAAUUCCAAUCAAAUAUCAACAUUUCCAAAUAUUAAAAUCAUAAAAUUUAAAAAUUAAAAUUGUCAUACAUAGAUUAUUUCCAUUCUUACUUUAGAUUUUACAAGACAAGUUGGAGCAUUUCUCAAGCAUUCCGAGGCCACUCCACCAUAAGCCCUAACAAGUCCUCCCGUUCCCAAUUUAAUUCCCCCAAAAUACCUGAAAUUUAUUUGAAGAUUCAUGUUAUUUGUCCCUUCAAUUUUGAUCAUGGCAAUAUAUGUCAAAAGUAAAUAAAUAUACCUAAUAACGACCACCAUGAUUCUGUCUAAACCUGAAGAAACAAUUGCAGAAUGAAUCGGCUUCCCCGCCGUUCCAGAAGGUUCGCCGUCAUCAUUCGACCGAUACUGAUCCCCAACCUAUUAAACUUUUGAUAGGUCAAUUAUGAGGUAAGAUGAAUGAGAUGAUAGAAAAGCGUGGUGUCAUAUUAGAUUACCUUGUAAGCCCAACAAUUGUGAGUGGCACGCGGAUCCUUGACUUGGUUGAGGAAAGAGUGAGCGGACUGCUCGUUAGAGAUGGGACCAGCGAUGGCGAUGAAUUUGCUCUUUUUUAUUUCUUUUUCGAAUGUUACUGUUUCUUUAAUGGUGGUGAAGGCGCCUGCGUUGCUGGGGGUGCCGGAGCUGCUGGCGGUAGUGACCAUUGGUUUUUUGACGGUGGAGAGGGCGGAAAUUGAGGCGGAGAGGCAGUGGUUGACCUUGUGGCAGUAGCGAUAGCCAGGUGUUGUUAUUACAACUGGCAUUUGCUUGUUUUUGGUUCUUUUCGUUUCAAUAAAAUCAGUGACAAACAAGCCUUUUUCGUACUCCGGCAGCCGUUUCAAAAGGUAGUCCACUCGUAUUUAAACGAGACGUUGCAACACCCAUUUUACUAUUUUUUUAUUAAAAUUUAAUCUUUAUAUUUUUAUUUUCAAAAUUUAAUUCCUCUAUUUUUCAAAUUUCAAAAUUUAAAUCUAACUCUUAAUAUUAUUUUGUUAAAUUCGAAUUCAUUACUAACUUAAUUCUAUUUAAUUACAUUACUAUUAAGCGAGUUUUUUAUUUUAAAAUAUUACACUAAUAAAUUUAAUAAACAAUUAAUAACAAUUAAUUUGAAUGUAAUAAAAAAUUAAUACAAUUUUAUCUAAUUAUUCUAGUGUAUAUUUGUUGGGUUAUUCGCUCUUUAAUAUUUAAUAUAUGUUCCUUAUUAUCAUUUGUUGGUCAUUGAUCAAGUUAAUCAUCAUCUGAAUUUUAAUCUACAUCAUUAAUAUUAUCAAGAUCUUCUUUUUUCAUGUACUUUUCGAAGUACAUGUAUCAUCUCAAUUCCACUUAUGAUUGAAGUUAUGAAAUAAGCAAUAUGUUAGUACUAUACAACCUUUUUUUUAUAUUAUAAUAAGGUGAUGUUAAUAGCGGAAAUAUUUUUUUAGAUCAACAAAUUUCUUCUCAAUCACAUUUCGAAGCUUUGAAUAUCUCAAAUUAAAGAGUUUGUAAGCUGUUCAUAGUGCUACCAACGACAUGUCCUUAAUCUAAUUGAAAUAAGGAGGCGACCAUUAUAACAUUUAUAAGGAUUUUGAAUUUCUUGGGUUAGUAUAGAAUAUAUAUAUAUAUAUAUAUAUAUAUAUUUAUAUAAGAUAAAUUUUUAGAUUUUUGUGCAAAUAAACAAGUGGGAUAAGCUAUCUAUACGUUAGAAUUUUUAGAAGGAUCUUGACAUCCAUGAAUGAUAAGAUCACUUUAAAUUUUCGAGAUUUUCACCUCCUAUUUAAAAAUAUUGUUUAAAGAUUGAGUCAGGUAAGGGUUUCUAAACAGACAUUGACAUAUAUAGAUGUCAAUAUUUAUUUAAAUUUUCGAGAUUUUCUUUAAAGAUGGUAUAAGAUUUAGUUUUGUAGGAUUUUAAAACAACGUUGACACAUAUGAGUGUGGAAAUUGGUUUAAAUAUUAAAAUGCUACAAAAACACAUAGACAACAAAGGAUAGGGUUUUAAACUUUUUACUGUGAGUUCAACACCCAAGAAUGUUAAAGGCACUUGUAAUCGUUACCCUGUUUGCAAUGAACUUGCCGAUGCAAGAGAUACAGGGGGCCCUAACACCUAUAAUAUGUAUUAAUUUGAUAUUUAAUACCUUUAUUACGUUUUGUUUUUAAAAUUUAACUUGUUUUGAUAUUUUGAUGGGAUAUAUAAAUUUAUCUGUUAAAAGAAAUAUUUGUUUGGUACACGAAAAGUUAACUUUAUUAAAUUUAUAAUCUAUAGCUAGAAACAAUCCCAAAUGGAUCUCUUUAAACACCUGUCCAAACUUUAUGUAGUGACAUUGGGUUUUUGUUUCAAGCUCAUGAAAAAUUACAAAUUAAGUUGAAGCAAAUAUUUAUAAUUUAAGUUAUGAUAAUAAAUAAUUAGAAAUAUGAGAUUUUUAAACUUUGUACACAAAAUCGGAAGAAUAAUAAAUUACGAAUAAGUAAAUAUUGUUAUGAAUAUCUUAUUAAGUGGAUGUCCAUUAUGAUCAAGAUAAAGUUUUAAUGUAUUUUAAAUUCUAAUAGCUAUUAGAAUUAGAUCUCUAUUUCUUUUAUACUUCUUAUGCCUAUAAAUAGAGACUCUGAUGAAGUAUUGUAAUCACCCUUUUUUAUCAAUAAAGGACAUUCUCUAUUGCUUUCAUAUUUCCUUUGUUCUUUAUUCUCUCCAUCUCUCUUUAUUUUAUAACACGUUAUCAACGUGAUAUGAAAGAUUAUUUGCUACAUAUAUGACUUUUGCCUAAAAUAUUUUAUUUUUGUUAAUAUUCUUUGAGGAAGGAUAUGAGAAUGUUGUAAUAAACUCUAUCAUUAUAUAUAGAAAGAAUUUAUCUUAUUUGGUACUAAAACAAACAAAUAUUAUUUCAAUAUUUGAUAGUACAAAAUUAGUCGAAAGCUUUAGAAGAGAUAAUAUAUUAAUAUUUUAUAAUGGUUAAUCCAUUUGUUUUAAAAGAUAUUUAUAAUGGAUCUUAUAUUGAGAUUGUGAAUGAGGAAAAUAUUAUAUUUCAUAUGAAUCACUAUUGUUAUAAAUAUUUAUUUUGAAAGGAUGAAAAAAAAGAGGACUGUGUUAUUAAUUUAUAUUUAUUUUAUAAUCUUUGUGAUCUUCCUUUGUCAUCAUCUCCAUUAAGGGGUUGGAAGCAAAUUAUUUGACUGUGAAAGAUCUAUUUAUGAGCAAUAAAAUAUGAUAAUUCUAUCUAAAGCUUGUUAUGGUUGGAUGCACCUGAAGUUGUAAAUUUUUUUUUAAAUAUUUGAAGAUUUUGAUAUAUUCCCUGAAGCGAAUAUUGCAUAUAAUUAUUUGAAAAUUAUAUUUAUUUUGUUGACUUAGUGACAUUAUAAUAUUCACAUUGAUUUAGACAUUUUCAGUAGUAAAUGUCACAAUAGCACUUAUAUGUGGAAACAAAGUAAAAAGAAUGAUAGUAAAAUUAUCAAUUUGUUACAAUUUAGUAUAAUUGAAAUGCAUGUUAAAGUAAACCAGAAGUUUACUGAUACAAAUACAUUUACUACUUGGCGUGACCAGUUAGACCAUUCUAGAUCAUAUAUGAUGCGAAAAUUAAUUAAGAACUCAUAUAGAUAUUCAUUAAAGAACCAAAAGAUUCUUUAAUUUAAAAGAAUUCUUAUAUGUUGCUUGUUCUCAAUGAAAAAUUAAUUAUUAGCAACUCUCUAGCUAAAUUUGAGAUUUAAUGUCUAGCAUUUCUGAAAUGAAUAUGGGCCUAUUCAUCCACCAUGUGGAUGAUUUUGAUAUUAUAUGAUUUUAGUAGAUGCAUUUACAAAAUAAUCACAUAUGUGUUAUCAAUUUGCAAUUUGUCGUUUGCAAGAUUGAUUGUUUAAAUAAUUAAUUUAAGAUAAUGCAAUUAAGACAAUUUAUCUUGCUAAUACUGAUGAGUUUAUAUCUCAGUCUUUUAUUGAUUGAGUUUGAAAUUUUUUUGUAAAAGUUUAUUAUUUAUGCGCAUAAUGGUUUAGAGAAAUUAUUGAUUGAACACCUUUGAUUAAUGUCUAAACCAUUACUUAUGAGAACUAAACUUCCUAUUUUAACAUGAGAUUAUGUUGAUUUACGUGUUGUACGCAUCAAGCCAAUAAAUUAUAAAUACUCCCCAUUACAAUUGAUUUUUGGUCAAGAGCCAAAUAUUUCUCAUCUUACAAUUUUUGGAUGUGCGUAUAUGUUCCAAUUGCUCCACCACAACGCACAAAGAUGAGUGAAUCCUCAAAGAAAGUUAGGAAUAUAUAUUAAUUACAAGUUUCUUUAUAUUAUUAAAUGUUUUGAAUGUAUUCGAGAUUCAAUUAUGACAUCAUUUGUGAUUACAAUUUUGAUUUGAUAGUUUUCUUGAUAUUAGGGGGAGAGAAAUAAUAACUUGUAAUGAGUUAAGGGGAGAGUAAUUUGAACUAGAAGUUCAAUAAGGAUAACUCAUUACAAGUUAAUUGUUAGAUGUAUUUACAAACUUAAUAAGAAUAACUAAGUGUUAUAUACCAUCUAAUAUUUUAAUUUGAAAUCAAAGUCCCAGUUGGACAAUCAGUUAGAAUAAAUAAUAGAUUGAUCGGUUCCAAAGAUGAAAAUUAUUCUAAAUGAUCAUAUAGUGGAGGCGGGUGCUCUAGAAGAAACUCAAAACAUAACUAAUAAGUAAAACUGCAGAAGAGAUUCAGGUACCUGAAACUAAAGAUUAAAAUAGUGAAAAUAAGAGAUCUCAAUAAGUUAUGUCAAUUUGAGAAAAUGUGGAACCGAAUAAUAAAAGUGGUUGACGAUGAUUUUGCAUGUGAUAUUAUUAUUGAAAUAAUGAAAUAAAGGGAGGAUCUUGAAUAUAGAUAUGGAAUAAAUUGAUCAAAAUAAAAAGACACAACUCAAGUACAAUUAAAUUUGUGGAGUUUUUGGACCAGUAGUCCAAAUAUCUAAAGGUAUAAAGCCUGUGAGGGUGCAAUUAAAGUAGUUUUGCAAAAACGGAAUAAAAAUAUGAAUUUUUUCGCUAAGUCCUAGCAUUGGCCAUGAAAAGAUAUAAUAUUCUUUUGUGGUGGAUUUACCUUUAGAUAUAUUAUUAAAUUGACCAUUCAUAAAAAAUUUAACUUGUGCCUAAUGGUUGUUGUUACAACCUUUUAAGGAUCACUAUAUAGUAAAGUUUAUAUUAAAAUCCUUAAAGGAUUUAGAAUGCUAGAAGCAUAUUGAAAUUCUCAAAAAAUUAUUCAUUUAUAUGAAUUGAAAUAAUUGAACAUAUGUGGUAAAUUUGACUUAGUCAAUAGUAGUUGAAAGAUGAUUAUAAAAUGAUCCAAAAUAUCUAUUUGUGUUUUUAUAAAAGAAUCAUGAUUAAAGUUUGUUAUGAUUAUUGUUGAAUCUCCUAAAGAGAUCAAAACAUAUUUCCCCCAAAUUUCCCUCACUCAUGACUUUUAAAAGAAUGAUAAUAUAAAUGCCUAGCAAUACAUUCAAAUAGUCAUUUGAAAAAGUAGUAUUCAAGAUUGAAAAAGUAGAAUAUGAGAAAGUAUGUGAUGUUUUCAUGAGAGGGAGUAAAUACGCGUUGUACUCUUUUCCCCUUAAUCGAGGUUUUGUCCCAUUGGGUUUUCCUGGUAAGGUUUUUAAUGAGGCAGCAUAUUAUGCGUAUGUGUACUCUUUUUUCCUUCAUUAGGUUUUUAUCCCACAGGGUUUUUCCUAAUAAGGUUUUAACAAGACACAUUAUCUACCAAUGGACAUCCAAGGGGGAGUGUUAUGAAUAUCCUAUUAAGUGGAUGUCCAUCAUGAUCAAGAUAAAGUUUUAAUGUACUUUAAAUUCUAAUAAUUAUUAGAAUUAGAUCUCUAUUUCUUUUAUACUUCUUAUGCCUAUAAAUAGAGACUCUGAUGAAGCAUUGUAAUCACCCUUUUUGAUCAAUAAAGUACAUUCUCUAUUGUUUUGGUAUUUUCUUUAUUCUUUAUUCUCUCCAUCGCUCUUUAUUUUAUUACAAAUAUAACAAUUAUUCAAACUUGAAAAACUAUUCAUCUAAAAAAAUGUAAUUUUUUUAAAAAAAACCCUAAAACAAUUAAUUAAAGUUUCAAAUUUUUAUAAGGAAUAAUAAUUUUUAGCAUCUGAACUUGGUAACCAGGCCCAUUUUGGUACUUGUACUUUUUUUAUCCACUUUGAUACUUGAACUUGAUAACUAGAUUCAUUUUGGUUCUUGAGCUUGAAAAAUAAAAAAUUUUAAAGACGUGACACUUAUUAAAGCCAUAAAACUCUUAUAUAAACUUAGAACGUAAACCAGAAUCUGUCAUGCUAGAUCACCAAAAACAAACUAGAUGCGAAAGUGUACCUAAAUCCAUUGACAUCUUGAAAUCUUCAAGUCUUGUGGUUUUGAUAUUCCAAAUUAACACAUAAGUAUUUUAGAGAAGGUGACUCUUUUUUCUGAAUAUGGGAUGUUAGAAAAGUUACAUAUGUGUAAUUUGGAUACGAUAACCCUAAUAUAUAACUUUUGCACAUUAACUUUAAUUUCUAAUCAGCUCAUCAUCAAUUAGAAAUUAGUUACUAGAGUAUCUACACAUAUUUGUCCCAUACUUUAUAUAAUAACUGAAGCCCAAUAAACCUUAACCAAAUUAGAACAUUUUUAGUUUGGGCUAACAUUUUAUGAUAGUUAAUAAUAACAUGUAAUUAUUCUUAUUAUAUAUGUGAUGUCCAUAUUUUUCUAACAAUCUCCCACUUGGACUACAUAUAUAUACAUACUAAUUACUCCACAAUUAUAUGUCAUUAUAAAACCUUAUGAGCUCAAAACUUUACUAUUAUAUUCAAAAGGUAUUUCGAACAAACUCGUCCUUUAAUUAUGUCAACAUAGAACUAAUGCGACUUUCAUUACAUAUAUCAUAACUAAAUCCAUCAUUGAUCACAUAUAUUAACACAACCAAACGACAUAGAUCAAGUAUGGAUGUAUAGCAUGGAAAUUAAAUGUAAUGUGAUCUCAACAUGUCUAUUUCCAACUAGUCCUUCUUAACCUUAGUGAGAUCAAAAUUUACCAAAACUAGAGCGUGAAUAAAUCAAAUAUACCUAAUUUCUACAGAAAAUAUCCUUAGUAUCCGUAAACUAAAAUAACAGAAAACGUGUUUAUAACAGAAAAGCAUUUAAAAUUACAAACUUCCACUAAAAUCAAGUAUCUUAAAAUGACAUUACAUUCAUAUGAGCAAUGUGCUCAUAAAAACCUUGGGUGGUAGUCCCUCAGUAAACAUAUCCGUAAUUAUGGAGUUUGUCCCAAUAUGUUUAUAAAUACCUGACCACUCUGAACUCUUGCUUUAACAACUAAGAAAUUAAAGUUUAUGUGCUUUGACUUUGACUGCUUUUGUUGUAAUUGGAAUAAAGAAUUACAAUUUAUUGCCACAAUUUGCACUUUAGUGAUAAAAUUUUGCAUCCAUAUUCCAUUAAAAUCGGAUUUUGUAUAACUGACAAUCUCUAACUUAUCAUACCUCCAAUAUGUGAGCAUAUAAUGUUUUGUUUUUUGAAGGUAAUGUAUGAGUCAUAUGGUUUCUAUCCAAUGAUCCAUAUUAUAGAUUAUAAAGUUAUGGACAAACAUUAUACUUCAAUAACUUGAUAAAGAAUUGGAACCAACCAAAUGUAUUAUGAAAAAGACUAAAAUUUUCAUUUCUAAAUGAACAAGAAAAACUGAAUUUGUCCAAUAUUGAAAUGGAAAUAAAAUUCCGUGUAAAAGAUACAAUAACAAAAGUCUCAUUCAAAUUCAAAUAAAAUAUAGUUCUUAAAAAUAAUCUAAAGGAAUAAAAUUUGGUACACUGUUAGUGGAGUUCUUAGACUCCACAAGCAGGGUCAGGGGGUUGACAAGUGUCUUAUAGGGGUAUAGUAAAUAUUAAAAUAUAAAUAUUUUAAAAAAGUGACACAUGUCAAUUUUUUAAAGCUUCUUGUGGAAUAAAAAAGUUACACUGCUAGUGUACGAGACUAACCCUAAUCUAAAAGCCCUUAUUGCUUCAAUUUCUACUGAAUUACUGUCACCUUCAUAGAUGUAUCUUUCACCAUCAUUAAGCUCUUGGUAUGGAAACCUUGCAUAAACACACUAAUGUAACUUGUUACACUAAAAUCUAUCUACCGUGUCUAGGUACCAAAAUCAAAUUAACUUCAUAACAAAUAAAAUUAAGAAGUGCACCUGUUGCACCACAAGACAAACAACCAUACUUAGUUAAUUCCUUUUGUUGUUUCUUUUGCAAUGUCGUAUUUGCUUUCUUAUUUUUCUUUAUAUACCUCAUUGAAGUUAGAUUUGUUAAGAAAAUGCCAAUUUCAACCUUUUCAUUCUUGAUAAACCUCUUUUCAAUGUCGGCAAUAAAUUCCUUACCUUUAGUAAUCUUAUGGGACAUAGUACCCCUAAAUGUUCCAAUGCAUGUAGUGAUGUUGGUAAGUAUAAUAAUAGUUUCAUCAAUUCAAAAUAAGCUCGCAUAAUAUUUCAAAUUUAAACCAAAUUAACUGAAUAAAGGUAAAUCCCAUCUCAACAUACACGUCAGUCCAUUAAUAUUUUAUCUUUGGAUAAAAUAUUAACUUGCAAGUGGUAUCUUGGCAUGGUAAUUAAACGUUGACAAUAAGAACACACAGAACAAUAAGUCUUCCUUUGGGCUAAUUUAUUAUUCACAUGUAAAACCAAAUAAUCAUCACAUGUUUAUUACCAUAGUUGCACAUGUAAUUUUGUCAAAUAUUAACCUUCUUUUGGGCUGAUCAAUAUUAACAUAACUUAAGUUACAUGCACAAAACCUUUUACAUUUUAAAAUAAAAUAAUUUUCACAAUAAAAGUCACUUUGGCGAUUUAUUGUUUCAAUUAAGUUAUUUUAAUAUAUAUAUAUAUCUAUAUAUAAACAUACCAAUAUUCAAAUUUAAAAUAUACAUAAUAGUCAAAGGUCAAAGUAAGAUUUUUUAUUUGACUACAGUUUCUGAAAUAACCCAACAUAAGGUUGUCUAAAUGGUCCAAUCAGAAAUUCAAAAUCUUAAUAUUUGAUUAAUUUUAUUUUUAAUACUUAAACAAGAAACCAUUAAAAUUUUACAAUUAAAAUUCAAAACCAAAUUUUAUAAAACCAAACUUAAAACCCUAUUAUUUAAACUUGUAUCAUGGUCAACAUGAGUUUGCAUCAAAGCACCCAAAAUUUGAAUCUAUAUAUCCAUAUCAGAAAAUUAACAAUUAUAAUGAAUGUCCAUAUCAAACCAAUUUGACAAAAAAAUAUAAUUGAAUCUAUAAAAAAUAUUAAUAAGCUUAAAAAUAAAUAACAAUAACAAUAACAAAAUUAAGAGAGAAUUUAUGGGAAAUUUAGGAAAACUUUAUAUUUCAGGUUCGAGGUUUGCUUGUUUCUCUAUCUUGUACUCCCUUUUCAGUUUUUGCCGUUUUAGUGAAGUUUUCUUUAUUCAUGGUUUUUUAUUCUCUUAUGAGAGAUUUUUCCAUGUAAAUAUUUGUGUCCAAUUUUCUUGGUUUUCGUUCUUGUUAGUUGCAUAAUUCAAGUUUGACCCUAGAAACUGGUAUUAGAGUUUGGUUCGGUUUCCACAUUCAACUUGUUAGAUAUGACAAUAAAGUACGAUAUUAAGAAAUUUAAAGGGAUUACAAAUUUUAUCUUGUGGCAAGUUCGGAUGACGACAAUUCUCGUUAAGAACGGUCUAAAAAAGGUUAUUACAGGGCAAAUGCUCGCAGAUGUGAAUAAGACAGGAUGGAACUUGAAGAGAAGGCAUUAUCAACAAUUCAGUUAUGCCUCACUAACAAUAUAUUGUAGGUGGUACUUAUGGAGAAUACGACAACAACCUUAUGGAGAAAAUUGGAAGCCUUUUAUAUGACAAAGUCAUUCGCAAAUCGCUUGGUAUUGAAACAUCGAUUAUAUAUGUUCCGUAUGGAAGAAGAUGAGUCUAUUAGAGCUUACAUUAGUAAAUUUGUAACUCUCCUAAAUGACCUGAAGAAUGUCGAGGCCAACAUAGAUGAUGAGGAUCAAGCUAUGUUAUUACUUUGUUCUUUGCCCCCUUCAUAUAAAACUUUCAGGGAAACCCUAAUUUACAGUAAAGAUAGACUCUCGUUUAAAGACGGGAAACCUUUUUAGCAAGGAUAAAUUCGAUAAUGAUUUAGGCUCGAAGAACAAGUCAGAUGGACAAGCCUUACUUUUGGUUGCUAGAGGAAGGUGUUGUGAAGUGUGUUCAUAUUGUAGUAAACAUGUAAUUAUUUUCUAUGUAUGUAACAACCCGUUUUUAGUGAAAUCAAAACAGUGGUUUUGGGACCACAAAUCUGAUGAGUAAAUUAUUAUUAUUUUUAUUAUUUUAAUGCCUAUGGAAUAUUAGAAAGGUUGAAUAAACAUUUCGUUAAGAAAAUUUGACAUUUGCAUGCUUAAUUAUGUGAAAAGGACUAAAUCGUAAAAGGUGCAAAAAUGGAGUUCUAUUUGUUAAGAGGGUUAAAUGGCUAUGAAACUUAAAUAUGAGAGGACUUAGAUGGUCAUUAGACCAUUUAAAUAGUUAGUGGAGUUUAAAUAGUUAGUGGACUUUUAUGGACACAAAUUAGGUGUUUUUUAAGUUAAAAUGUAAGGUUAAUUAAGUAAUUUAAUUAAUAAGUUAAAGAAAAAUAAGUAAAAAUAAUGUAUCAUCUUCUUAGUUGGUAUUUUCCACCAGAAAUUGGUGAAGGAGAAGCCAUAGCUAGGGUUUGAAGCUUUGGUCACUUACAUAGCUUGCUUGUAAGUAAAUUUUGAUCUCGUUUUUAAUGAUUUCUAUGUUUUUGAAGUCAUUGUAGCUUAAUCUAGCUAGCCCGAUGAUCAAUUUGCAAAACUGUUAAAUAUUUAGGAUUUUUCCAUGAAUGUUCUUACAUGAUUCUUCAUGUUUUAUGAAAGAUUAUGAGUCCUUGUUGAUGAAUAAACAAAUUUUGUAAAGUAAUUUUUGAUGAAAUUGACAUUUAGUGACUUAAUUAUAAAAAUGAUAAAAGUUCAUGGUGAAAUUGUGAAAUGAUGACUUGUAUGAAUUGAUAUAGAUCCCUAGUGGAUUUGGCUAGCAUGAGAUGAUGAUUAAAAUGCUUAAAUUUCAAUUUAUGAGCUUAAAGACUAAUUUGUAAAAAGUUAAAAUGUUAGGGGCAAAAUAAUAAUUUUGUAAAAAUGAAAUAUAGACUGAAUUGAAUAAUAGAAGAAUUGUAUGGAUUGAAUUUGUCUAUUUAGACUAAGAUAGACCAUGUACGGAUCUAGAUCGAGGAAAAGCUAAAGCCUCAGAUUAGUUGAUCUUGUUUCUAUGUCUUUGUCAUCGAGGUAAGUUCGUAUGAUUAAAUAUUGUUUUAAUGUUAUAAUGAUUUAUAUGUUAAUGUGUUAUUUUCCAUGUAACCAAAAGAUGUAUAUCCAACAAUGUCAUGAUAAUUAUCGAGCCCCUUUUGAACCUUAGGAAUUCGUAGGAUACAAAUGACAUGUCAUUAGGGUUUCCAUGUUUCGAGUGUUGGUCUUGAAUGUCCUACCUAUGGCUGAGGUCCUGCAUUUGUUGCGAAUACUCCAUAGCUUGUGUGAGUAGCAUUGUGUAGUUUACAUUUUGACCCAUAGCUCGUAUGAGUAGGCUCAUUUCAUAGCUCCUUUGAGCAACGAUGUAAAUGAAAGGUUACGGUUAUAUGUUUAGCACACUUCAUGUGAGCUUUCUUGAGUAUCCGAUGAUAUUCUAAAUGGUUCAACGAGCAUGAAAAGGAAAAGAACAGUAAGUGUUCAAAUGAACUAUAUCAUGAAAUUGUGAAAAGGAUUGAAAUGGAAAGCUUCAAUAGAAGUAUGUUUUGUUCAUGAAAAUGAUGUGUUCAAAUGAAGUAUGUUUAUGUACAAAUAGCUUACCAUAUGUUAAUUCAAGUGAAUUAUGUUUGAAUGAACUAACAUGUGUUGUUGAUGGUGCUUAGGCUUUUUCCAAGCUUGUGGUUGGAUUAUGUUAUGCUUAAUCCUAAUGUUAUGUAUUGAAAUGGUAAGUUAUGUUCAUGUUUUACGAACUUACUAAGCAUUAUGUGCGUAGUUUUCUUUUCUAUGUUUUAUAGAUAAUUGGAAGCUCGAUCAGUCUAAAAACUCGUCAGAGAUCUACCACACUAUCUAGCGAUUAUAUCGGUAGUUUUUGAUGUUUUGGCCAAGGUUAUAAUGGCAUGUAUAUGUGGACUUGUGUUUGAUGUUUAGUUGAAUGCUUAGAUGUUGACUUUGGUAUGUAUGAGUUGGUUGUUUUGGUACAAUUUUGUUGAUGGUUGAAUUGUGUCAAUUUGGUACAUACAUGAAUGGCAUGGCUCAAGUUUAUGUUGAAAUGGUAUGGGUCAAGUUAUGGUAUGUUUUGAGAUGGAAAUGAACUAGAUGUUUAUGAAUGAAAUGUGAUCAAGUAUAUGUAUAUGUUUAGGUAUAUUUGUAUGUUUGGAUUUAAGGUGCCUUGUAUGGCAUAUUGGUUGAAUGAUGUUAAACUAUUAAAUUGGUCAUUUCAUGUUGGUUUUGGUCAUGUUAUAAUGCCUUGAUCAUGUGUUCAAAAUCCUUUUAGGUACAUGCUUGUUUUGGUGAUAGAAAUGACUUGAUUUUAGCCAAUUACAUGUCCACACGGCCUAAGACACGGGUGUGUGACUUAGCCGUGUGUAACACACGGCUAGGCAGCACGGCCGUGUGUCCCCUAUAGGUUUUAAUGCAUGCAAGUCAGGCUGUUACACGGCCUAGCACACAGUCUAGGACACGGACGUGUGGAGCCAUUUUGAGAGUUACACGACCUGACACACGGACGUGUGGCUUGGCCGUGUGACCCAACUCAGAAAGUUACACGGGUGUGGGCACAGGCUGGGACACGGUCGUGUGUCACUAUUUUGAAAGUAACACAGGUGUGUGGCUUAGGCGUGUGACUGACACGACCUGGCCACACGGCCGUGUGACCACUGCAGUCCAAAUUUUCUAACUUUUUCUAAAACUUUCCAAAUGUUUCCAAUUUAGUCCUAAAUUAUUUUUAAAGUAUUUUUAGGGUAUCGAGGGCUCGAUUUAGGGAUGAUAUGUACAUGAAUUAAUGUUUUAUAUCAUGUUAUGUCAAUGCAUGUGUAACAACCCAUUUUCUAAUGGUGUCAGAAAUAGUGGUUCUGGGGCCACCAAAUCCGACGUGUAAGUUCGUAAAUAUUAUUAUUUAAUAUUUACGAGUCAAAUAUGGUUUUAAAAAAGUUUUAGAUUUCAUAAAUUAUGUUAUAUAAGUGAUUUAUUAAGUUCAAGUGGUAUGACCCUAAAGUCAAGUGGUUUUACAAAAUGAGGUAUUGGGACCUCGUUUUUAUAAGUUGAGCCGUAAAUAUUUUAUAAAUAUUUAAAAAGUGUCAUUAAGGUAGUAUUAAAUUUUCGUUGAAAAAUUUUAACGUUUCGAUGGUUAAUUAAUUAAAAAAGUACUAAAUUGUAAAAUAUGAAAAAUUUGAUCGCUAUUUGACUUGAGUGAUUAAAUGGCUUCAUAAAUGAAAACAUAUGGACUAAUAUGGUAAAUAUAUCAUAUUACAUAUGAGUGGGCGGUUGGCUUUGUCUUAUUAUGAAAAUAUGUAUGUUUUAUUAAUUAAAAAUAAAACAUAUUAAAAGCUAAGUAAUUAAAGUAAAAGAUAUCAUCCUUUUCUUUUUAUGUUUUGCCGAAUUUGAGAAAGGAGAAAGCCAUUGUUGGACCUUCAAGCUUCAGCCAAGCUUCAUAGGUUGCAUGUAAGUCCGAUUUAGCCCCGUUUCUUGUAAUUUUUAUGUUUUUGAGAUAGCUGCAACUAGGUCCAACUAGCUCGUACCUUCGAUUUUGAAACUGUUAAAGGUUUUGAAUGUUUCCAUUGAUUAAUCUUGUGGUUUUUUAUGUUAUAUUAUGAAUUUGGAAUGUUGAUUGAUAAUUAAAAGUAUUUUGUUAAGUGAUUUUUGAUGAAUUUUUCAAUUAGGGACUAAAUUGUUAAAAUAGUAAAAGUACAAGGAUUUGAUGUGAAAUUAAUACAAAUGUGGGCUGAUAUGGGUGUCAUGAAUAUUCAUAUGUUAUAAUUUGACAUUAAAAAUGGUUAAUUUGUAUGUUUUGGGCUCAUGAACUAAAUUGAAUAAAAAUAAAACUUUAAGGGUAAUUUUGGAAAAAUGUCAAAAAUGAAAAAUACAUGAAAUAAAUUUGUUUACUGUAUAAAUUUAUAAAUUGAAUGAAAUUAUUAAUUUAGAUCAAGAUCGGGUGGAAAAUCGAGAAAAAUAGAAAAUUACCAAAAUGCCCCUGAACUUUGGUAUUUCUACAAUUUAGCCAGGUAAGUUCUUAUGAACUGUAUUCUGUAUCAUUUUGAUUAAAUUGAAUGUUAAUAUGUGAUUAUAUUGUGAUGAAAUCAAUAUAUAUAUGUUAGUAUGCAAUUUACCGUGUUAUGAAACGACGUAAAUCCAACGACGUACGACGAUUACCGAGCCCCAUUUGAACCUUAGGAAUUCAUAGGAUAUAAAUGGCAUGUCAUUAGGGUUUACAUGGUUCGGGUGCUGGUCCUGAACGUCCUACCGAUGGCUGAGGUCCGACAUGUGUUACGGAUACUUCACAGCUCGUAUAAGCAGUAUCGUGUAGCUACGUUUCGACCCAUAGCUCGUGUGAGCAAGCCCAUUUUCACAGCUCGUGUGAGCAUACAUGUACAUGAAUUGACAAAGUAUAGUUAUAUGAGUUAGCACACUAUGUGUGAGCUAUCUCGAGUAUCUAACCGUAUUCUAAAUGGUUCAACAGGCAUUAUUCAGAUAAGAAACGGUAAGAGAAUGAUAUGUAUUAUGACAAGUAUAUAUGGACAUCUUUGAUAUGAUGCUACAUGGAAAUUAUGUAAGUUGAAAUGAGUAAUAAACUUAAGUGUUACAUGUUGAGAAUAAAUGGUAUCAAUGUUGAAUUUAUAUGAAAUAUGUUCAAGUAUGCUAACAUGUGUUGUUGUUUGAUGCUUAGGCAUGUGUCAAGCUACUGGUAGAAUGAUAUUAUGUUUACUUAUAAGUUGCAUUGAAAUGGUAAGUGCUCAAAUGGAAAUAUGCUUAUGUUCAUGAAAGAUUUGUAAGGUUUAAAUUAUGUAAUUUCUUAUGAAAUGGUUUAUCAUGUGGUUAAUUUCAAAAGAACUAUGUUUAAAUGCACUAGCUUGUGGCUAUGGUUGAUGAUAUGCUUAUGUCUUGUGUGUUAAGCAUAUGAAAUGGGUGUGGAAUGGUAAUGAAAUAGUAAGUUCAUAAUUGAAGUGUAAAAUGAUGAAAAAGGGAAUGACGAGUUGAAUUGAUAUUGUUAUUUAAGCUAAAGAAAGUAAAUAAAAUGGGAAGUAAUGAAAUGCAAAUGAAAGUAAGAAAAUUUGAAAGGGUUUAAAGUUUUAUAAAAUCCUACUACGCUAGGGAUGAUAUGUAUAUGUGAUACUGUGGAUUUAUUCACUUUGUAAGUUGUUGAAUAUGGUUUUAUGAAUCAUACGGUAUUGGUAUAAGAUUAUUCUUGAUAUGUAUAAAUUUCAUAUUUGAAUUGGAUUAAUAUGACUAAAGUUUAUACGAGCUUACUAAACAUUCAUUGCUUACAUAGUUGUUUUUCCUUUACUUUUCAGAUUAUCAAAAUCUCGAUCGGAUUGAAAGCUCGUCAAAGAUCUAUCACACUAUCCAACGAUUAUAUCGGUAGAUUUUGAUGUCUUGGUUAAGGUUAUAAUGGCAUGUAUAGGUGAACUUAUGGUUGAUGAUUAGUUGAAUGUUAGUUGAUGUGUUUGGCAUGUAUGUGACAUUGUGGGUGAUGUAGCCUUGGUACAUUUGGUGCCUUGUUGAUAUGUGUUAAUUUGAUAAUGUGUUAAAGCAUGUUUGAAUGGCCAAAGUGAUAUAUGAUGAAUUAACCUCAACAUGGUCAAGAUAUGGUAUGCUUUGGAAAGAUUUUGAACUAGGUAUGGCAUGAAUCUAAUAUGGUGUGGUGAUUAUGUAGCAAUUAUGUUAUGUUUUGGCAUGGAAACAAGUUAAUUGAUAUUUGGAUAAAUAUGCACAUGUAUAGGUGUUUUUUGUUGAUGUUUUACCCAUUAUGUUUUGGCUUGUAAAUUUGGUAUUUUGAAUUAUUGAAAUGGUUGAUAUGUGGAUAUAUGUAUGUAGCCUUUUGAUGGAUGACUUUAUAGCCUUUAUGAUGCUUAGAUGAUGGAAGUUGUACAUGGUCAUUUUGGUAUUAAAAAUAUAGUUGGUAUUUGUGGCUUAUGAUGCUAAAUGUUAAAUGGUAAAUUAGGUACAUAUAAGUGUGGAUUUGAUAUGUGUACAAAAUGGAAAGUUUUGGCUAAACUAAGCAUUUAGUUAUAUAUGUUUAAUUGUUGUGAUUGAGGUGUCUUUUGGGCAUAUUGGUUGUAUGAAUAUGUACCUAUUUGGAUAGCUUGUCCUUGUAUGGUUUGGUGUACUUUGGGAUGCUUGAUUACAUGUGGUAAAUUGGUAAUAAGUGUGUACAUGAAUGGGUGAGAAAAAUUUCUUUGAAAUGACCUAUUUUUCGUCCACGCGGUCAGAGACAUGGGCGUGUGUCCCCUGUAGGUUUUUAAAGGUUGCAUUUUGAGAGUUACACGGCCUGGCACACGGGCGUGUGGCUUGGCCGUGUGACCCAAGUCAGAGAGUUACAUGAGCUCAGACACGGGCUGGGACACGACCAUGUGUCCCUACUUCGAAUGUCUACACUGCCGUGUGACCCCUGCAGUUUUCAAAAAUUUCAUCUUUUUCUAAAAAAUUCUAUAUGUUUCCGAUUUACUCCCAACUUGUUUCUAAUGUGUUUUUAGGGCCUUGAGGGCUUGUAUAAGGGACAAUAUGUACGUUAUUGAUUGGUUUUACUGUGAUUGAUGAUAUGAAUUAAAUGUUUUAAAAUUUUUUAUAGCUUUGGAAUGUAAACUCCGUAAUGCUCAGUAACCCUAUUCUAGCGACAGAUACGGGUUAGGGGUGUUACAAUAUGAAAUGUAUGAUUUAAUGUUUAAAUUGUACAGUAAUGCUCCGUAACCCUAUUUCGGUAAUGGAUACAGGUUAGAGGUGUUACAAUGUAUUUGAAUGAUGAAUAAAUAAAUAAAGUUAAUUUCAUAUUUCACUAUUAUGUCCUUUAUGUUUCUGUCUUUCAUGUUUUGCAUGCAUAGUGAAAUUGUGACAAACAAAUAUUAGCUCAUUAAUUGUCUAAAGUUCAAAGUGAUGAUAAGUGACACUGUAAGAAUGUUUAUACUGCGAGAAAAAUAACUUACUUCAGUAGAUAAUCUAAACGAGUCUUUAAUCCCGUAAAAGAAUCAAAGUGAACAUUUGAUUCAAAUACUUAGAAGGAAUAUUAUGUCGUCUACAAUUCCAAUUGGGAGAUGGCUAGUCUUGGCUAUCGGAGCAAUUGACUCAAUGGGUAAAGACAUAGAUGUAUUUAUUGGAAGAAUGAUACAUUGGACUGAACUCAAAAUGAAUUAAUUCACUUGUGAUGUUCAUGGUGUGAUUUACAUAAAUCUUGAGUUAGUCACUUACCUUGCAUAUGUAACUCAUGUGCUUUGAUAUAAGUGGAGGCUUAUGCUCUAAAGAUGAUCGAGCCUAUAGCCAGUAUGUUGGGUACAUGACUUGUGUAUGACAUGGCUUUACUAGAAAUAAUGGAAUUCAUAGCUUGAUUAAAGAGUUAACGAUAUCCUCUCAUUGGCAUUGUGUGGGUUGAAAAAUAUGGAACGUGGCCACGGGUUGCUUGUUCUCGAAUGAGCAAUUUGUCACGGUCAUUUAUUGACAAUGAUCAUAUUAAUCAUUAAGAAGACACAAUGGUGACAAUGAGAUAAAAUAGGAUUGUAUUGAGUGAACGAAUUUAACAUAAAGUAAUCAAUGAUAUCAUAUGAGGGUAACACACACAUGAUGAGGUCACAAAGCAAUUAGUUAAAUUACUUUCGUAAAGAGUAUAAAAUAAGGAGUUUUCAAUCAUGGUACUUCCUGUGGACUGACUCCAUGAUUAAGUAAACUGUGAAUUGUCAGAACGAUACUUCUUAACAUAAUUGCAAUUACUCGAGUCUAAUUGUAUAUGUCCAAUUGGUCCCUCUGCUAGCUCAACAAAAGCUCGAUCGAACUGCAUCUGAAUCAGAAAAAAAAUUCUACGACUUUGAAAAUAAUUUAAUUAAAUCGAUUUAUUUGAUGUGGAAUUAAAUCAGAGAAUUUGAUUAAAGAAUUUUCUUGAAAAAAUAAUUUGGAAAAUCUAAGUGAUUUUUGGGAAAAUUAAUUUUGAUCAAGUAAAAUUAAAUUAAUCAAAUUAAUUAAAAAUUAAUAUGGUAUUUUUUGAAAUUAAUUUUCAAGUUGAACAAUUGACCCAAUGGGUAAUUAAAAUUGAAAAUUGGAUAUGAUAUCGAAAAUUGGGCCCAAGAACCCAAAAAUUGGUCGAACUGGGCCUGGUGUGUGAAACUAGGCCGAUGGUCCAACCGAUGACCGAGCCGUCACUAGCCCGGACUAAACCGGCAAAAGUUGAACUGGCUCCGGGUGCCAUGAGGAUGUUGCACUUGCGAUGGCACCACUGGACACGACAGUGCUAGUAGCGGCGAAGACGAUAUUCUGGUGGUCAGCAGGUGGUCCUUUGGCGGUUGAACAGUGGAGGAAUCACAUUCUUACUAGGACUCUACCGGAUAAUUUGAUUUCAGAUUAACUAUUCCAAAAAUAAUAUUAUUUUAAUAUUAAAUUAAAUUUAAUACUUAUAUUAAUAAUAUUUUAUUAAUUUAAUAUUAAAGUGAUUAUCUUAAUAUUAAAUUUUAUUCAAUAUUUACCUUGUAGAUAAAUAUUAUAUUAAUUUAAUAGAUUUAAUAUUAAAUUUAAUCUAAUAUUUAUCUUGAUAAGUAUUAUAUUAAUUUAAUAUUAAAGUGAUUAAGUUUAAUCAUACUUGAACUCUCUAUACUCUCCCUAUAUAAAGAGAGCAUUGAGUUAUUAUUUUUCACACACAUGAAUUAAAUGGAAACUUGUAAAUAGAAAUUUCUCUGAAGAAAUUAUUUCAGAAAAUUUCUAGAGAUAUUUUUCUUGUUUACAACUUGACUCAGAAGUUUAGAGAAAUUGCAAAAUUACCCUACUUGUAAUUUUGUGAAAAAUUUUUUGAUUCGAAGUGAGCCCACACUCGAUAAACAUGAGCUUGAGGAUAGUGAAGAAGACUACUUGGUCGAAGCGUUCAUUCUAGAUGAAUCUGUAAUAGCCUAAUUUUCAGUGGUGUCAGAAACAGUGAUUCGAGAUCACUAAAUCCAACCAGUGAGUCUUAAAAUUUAAUAAACUAAUUUAGAAGAAAUUUUGAAUUAGUGAAUUUUGUGAUUUAAAAAUAAUUUAAUAGGUAAAUUGGGUCAAAAAUGAGGUAUCGACACCUCGAAUUCAUAAUCCGAGCCAUAAAUAUUUUUAUAAAUAUUUUUGGAGUGCCAUUGAGUUAGUAUAAAAGUUUCGUUAGAAAAUUUUAACGUUUGGAUAGUCAAUUAAUUAAAAAGAACUAAAUUGAAAAUAGUGCAAAAUUUGUUAAAUUGUGAUUAAAUAGCUUAAGUGACUAAUAAGGAGGGAUUUAAAAGACAAUUAGGCCUAAAGUAUAUGGGCUGGACGGUUGGGUAAGAAAAAUCAGCAAGAAAGAAAGGAGAAACAAGGGCAAAAUUAGAAACUUCACAAAUUAAAUAUAUAAAACAAAGACAAAAGUGAAAAAUCUAGAGAUUUCUUCAUAAUUUAUCAACAAAAACGCCAUAGGAGGUCUGAAAGAAGCUACUUUCUCAUAUUUUUAUAUCAUGUGAGUUCAAUUCUUGCUUUUUCUUUGAAAUUUUUAUUUUUUUUGUGAAUUUUACAAUUAGGUCCAACAUUGAAUUCAUUAGUUUUUGAUCCCACGGGAGAUUUUGUAAGUUACCAUGAAUAAUUUCUAGAAUUUUAUGAUAAAUUAUUAUAGAUUUGAAGUUUUAAUUCAUUAUAUUAUGAUGUUAUUAAGUGAUUUUAAUAGAAAAUGAUUUUUAGGACCUAAUUGUGAAAAAGUUAGGAAUUGGGUUUUUGUACUGAAAUUCUGAAUAUAAAAGGCUGUUUAGUUGUCUAAAUGAUUAGAUAAAGUGUUAUUUGAGGAAAAAAUUGUUCAAUUAAAGUGUUAACUGAGUAGGGACUAAAUUGUAAAAAUUAUAAAUUUUUAGGGUAAAAGUGUAAUUUUCAAAAAUUAAAGGGCAUAAAUUGUGAAAUGAAUUAGUAUUGAAUUAUAUGCUAAUGAAUGAAAAAAUUUAUAUUAUAGAUCGGGAAUCCGAAGAUAAGCGCGGAAAAGAGAAAGUAUCAAACUAGUCUCUGAACUUUUACAACUCCUACAAGUUGGCCCAGGUAAGUUGAUACGGCUAAAUUUUUAUGAUUAAUUAUUAAUGUGGGAAUGAUGUAUUGUAUCUAUUCGUAUACUAUUUUUGAAUUAUGAUUAUGCCAAAAAUGAGAAUAAAAUGAGAUUGUUAGUUCAAAUUAAAGGAUAUGGAGGAUUGAGUACAUACGUUUGGUAACCAGUGAUGAAUUGACGAAUAAGUCCAUGGUGGAUCCAUGGCAAAGUGUGAAACUUAGGUAUGGUAUUCCAGUGAAGAAAACCAUACUGAGUUGUGAAAAGUAGGUAUGGUAUUUCAAUGAAGAAAACCAUACUGCGUUGUGAAAAGUAGGUAUGGUGUUUCGGUAAAGAAAAUCAUACUGAGUUGUGAAAAGUAGGUAUGGUAUUUCCGUGAAGAAAACCAUACUGAGUUAUAGCCUUGUGAAAUAUUCAAGCAAAUUGUGGCACUGUGUAAGCGAUGUACUCAAUUCCGUAAGACGAUCCUUAAUUUGACAAGUAUUUGUAAGUGCAAUUGAAGCUAAAUGUCGGAAUAGAAGUUGACAUCUGAUAUUGAGCUCGAUUGGAUAGAUUCAUUGUUUGAGAUUGUGGUUGGCAGGAAAUGUUGAAUUUUUAUUUGUUUAUUAAUGUUGUUAGUGAAAUUUUGGUAAGAUUUUAUUAUGAGCCUAUGAACUUACUAAGCUUUCUGCAAGCUUACGUGUGUGUGUUUAUUGUUUCUUGUAGAUUGAUAUAUAUAUUUUCGGAGGAUCGGAUCUACAUCAACGAUCACACUAUCCAAAUUUACUCCGGUAGAUUAUGUUAAACAACUUUUUGAUUUAUAUGGGAUGUACAGGGAGUUGGUCAGUUUGUGUGUAUUCUUAUGAUAUGGCUAAGAAGUAGCAAGUAAAUAUUCGAUAAUUAUUAACUAUUGAAUUGGCUAUAUAAGAACGUUUUUUGGUAUUGUGUAUGCUUAAAUGAUAAUUAAUGCAAAGAAAUUAUAAAAGAGUAAAAAUUUGCAAUGGAACAGUUUUUGGACAGCAACAUUGAUGUGAUUUUGAAAAAUCACUAAAAAUUGUGGAAAUUGAAUUAGAAGUUGAGUGAGAUAUGAAAUUAAAUAUGAAUGAGUCCAUUUUCACAUGAAAAGAUAGAGUAAGCAAAAGAGUUGUAUAUUUUUAGAUAUUUUAAUUUUAGUGAGACAGGGUCAAAAUAGUUUUUGAAAUCCCCUGUUCUAACUUUAGAAAAUAAAUAAAAAUUUUACAGAAAGAAUUGGGAGUUAUAAUUUAUAUGUAUAGAUUCCUUAGUGAGUCUAUUUUCAAUAGAAACAAACAAGAAUGUUAUCCAAAUUUUGUACAAUGAGAUAAUUAAUUUUUAGUGAAGACGGGUCAGAGCUGUUGAAUAGUGAAAUAGGGGAGACUUUAAAGAAUAAACUGUACUAAUUGACUAAACCAAAAAUUCUGAAAAUUUUAUGGUAAGAAUAUAUAUAAGUCUAGUUUCAGGGAAAAUUUACAGAUUUAAAAUUUGAGUUUUUUAACUUGAGUUAUAUUUAAAUUAGUGACUAUUGCGCAGGUAGACAGUUUUAUUGUGAAUAAUGAAAUAAAUUGUUUUAAUUUGUUUUAGUAUUUGAAAAAAAUUAUUAAUGUUCCCGAUUUGGACUCGAACUAUUUCUAUUGCAUGAUUUAGGGUCUCAAAAUUCCUUUUUAGGGACAUAUUGAAUGAACGUGAGUGAAUUAAUUUUUUUUAAAAGCAAAUUUUUAUGCUCCGAACUAGUAAGUUAAGUUAGGUAAUGCCUCGUGCUCGACUCCGGCAAUGGUCUCAGGUAAGAGGUGUUACAGAAUCGAAAAAGAAUAAUUUUGAUUAAGUGUUUAUUUCUUUAGAUAUCACAACCAAGUUCUAGUUUUGAAAAAAAAAAUUAAAACUCUAAUUUUUCCUUUAACUUAUUUUUCAUUACAUUUUUCAAGCCCAUUUUUCUAACAGAAGGCAACAAUCUAAGGAUUCAGGUUAAAGAAGAUUGAGGGCGAGAUCGAAAUCUAGAAACCGUGACAAGCAAUAUGGCUAUUGCAAAAAGAUGAGUCACAUUAAGACAGAAUGUUACAAACUUCAUAAUAAAAACAAAAAGGCUGUUGAAAAUGAUGAGAGAGGAAAGUAGAAUGCCGAUGCAACCAAUGCUAGUGUAGCCGAGGACAGAGGUGAUGAUUUGUUGCUGGUGUUAAUGAUCGAAAGGUCUAAGUUUAGAUCCGGGUGGAUCUUGGAUUCAUACUGUUCCUGUCAUGUGUCCCAACAGGGACUAGUUCUUCACAUACAAUUCGAUUGAAGGUAGAGUUGUGCUUAUGUGAAAUAAUUCACCUUGCAAAAUAACUAGCAUUGGUACCAUUCAAAUUAGGAUGCAUGACGAGAUAAUCAAAACAUUUUCAGAUGUUAGAAAUGUACUUUAUUUAAAGAAGAAUCUCAUCUCUUUGGGUAUUUUAGACUCGAAUGGUUGCAAGAUCGUCAUUGAGCCAAAUGACUUAAAAGUAUCUCGUGGAGCCCUUGUUUUGAUGAGUGGGCAGAAAGUCGGUAGCCUUUACAUUUUGCAAGGUGCAAUGGUGUCCGGUUCGACAACAAUUAUGGAAGCAGAGGCAAGAUCGUUGCCACGUCCCGAUGAGGACUCUUUUGACAUUACGAUGACUCGUGAAAAUAUGCUCUUUUCGAGUUCUGAAUCAACCUAGCUGUGGCACAUGCGACUUAGUCAUAUGAGUGAAAAAAGGUAUGACCGUUUUCAGCAAAAGUGGUCUUCUUAUAGGCAUCAGAGUUGGAAAGUUAGAUUUUUGUGAGCAUUGCAUGUACGGGAAGCAGACUUGAGUCAAUUUCGAUUUGAUUGUGCACAGGAUUAAAGAGACCCUUGACUACAUUCAUUCCAAUUUAUGGGGUCCGGCUCCAGGCAUCUCUAAAAGAGGUAACAAAUAUGUUCUAACUUUUAUAGAUGACCACUUUAGAAAAGUUUGGGUAUACUUCCUGAAGUACACUAAUGAAGUUUUCGAGAUCUUCAAAUAGGGGAAGACCUUACUCGAAAAGCAGACUAAGAAGUUCGUAAAGUGGUUCAAAACAAAUAAUGGGCUCGAGUUCUGUUCAACUGAGUUUAAUGAUUUUUACAAAUGGGAAGGGAUUGAAAGACAUCGCAUAGUUGUUGAUACCCUAAAGCAAAAUGGUGUUGUUGAACAAGUAAACAUAACAUUACUUGAGAAAGCCUGAUGCAUGCUCUCCAAUACAGGUUGAGAAAAAGAGUUUCGGGCAGAAGCAAUUAAUAUCGCAAGCUAUUUGGUAAACCAAUCUGUACAUUGAACGUUGGAUGGAAAGGUUCCCGAUGAGAUUUGGUCAGGUAAUCCUCUUAAAUACUCUAACUCUAGAGUAAUCGGUUAUCCUGCUUAUGCUCAAAUUAGUCUGGAAAAGCUUGAACCAAGGGAGGUGAAGUGUAUUUUUCUAGGUUUUACGGUAGGGAUAGAAGAUUACAAGUUAUGUUGCCUGGAAACAAGUAAGAUCGUCGUUAGUAGAGACAUCACAUUUAAUGAAACAUCAAUAAUCCUAUCAAAAAGGGGGUCACUGAGUCAAAACAACAUCGAAAAGUCGACUGUUUUGAGCCAGGUGGAGUUAGAAACAAAGACAAACGAUGACAUGCGAUGUCAUGGAGCAUGAUGUCGCAACGUUAUGACGAACAGGGGAGACGUUCCAACAGGGAGAAUCACCACGUCAUGACGUUGCGUAGAAAUUUUGAAGUCGACGUCUUUUCAAUGUAAUAGAAGGUUUUUGAAGCCACUCCAUCCCAAUCAGUAACCAUUGCAAAAAUACUGUGAAGGAAAUCUAGUGACAUAUGCUCCAAGUGUUGCGAAGAGCAUCGAUUCAUCUAACCCUUCGAAUUCUUCUGAAGCAGUUCGGGCUUCUGAUUCCAACAAAUGUCUUGUCGCCAUGGAAAAAGAGAUAGAGUCUCUUUAAAAGAACGAGACGUGGCAGCUCGUUAAACCACCCACCAGAAAGAAAUAGUUGGUUGCAUGUAGGUGUUCACAAGGAAGGAAGGAUCAGGUCGAGAUGACACUAGAUAUAAGUCGAGGUUUCUCACAAAGGACUACAGUCAAGUGGAGGGAGUUGAUUUUCAUGAUGUUUUCUCUCUAUUUGUGAAGCAUACGUCCAUUCAGGCACUGUUAGCUCUUGUUCCAUUAUACGAUCUCGAGUUAGAGCAAUUAGAUGUAAAGACUACAUUCAUUCACAAGGAUUUGGAUGUGGAUAUUUAUAUGCAAUAACCUGAAGGCUUCAGGAUUGAAGACAAGGAAUACCAUGUUUGUCUUCUUCAGAAAUCAUUAUACAGCAUGAAGCAGUCUCUUCAGCAGUGGUACAAGAAGUUCGACUCCUUCAUGUUAAGCAUCGAUUUUGCACGAAUUAAGUAUAAUAACUGUGUAUACUUGCAUCGUCUUGAUGAUGGGUCGUUUAUUUACUUGUCGUUAUAUGUUGAUGAUAUGUUAAUUGCGGCUAAGGAUCUAUAUGAAAUUGAAUGACCUAAAACCUUGCUUAACUCUAAGUUUGAGAUGAAGGAUUUUGGUGUAGUUAAGAAAAUUUUAGGGAUAGAAAUUUCAAGAAAUCGACACUCCUCACAGUAGAGAUACAUCGAAAUGAUUCUCGAGCGGUUUGGAAUGCAAGAUUCUAAACCAGUUAGUACUCCCUUAGCUACACACUUCAUACUUUCGAUUUCAGACUCACCACAAACCGAAGACGAAGAAAAGUACAUGUCCUUGGUUCCUUAUUCUAGUGCAAUCGGAAGCUUAAUGUAUGCAAUGGUUUGUACUCUUCUCGAUAUUUCACAUGCCAUUAAUGUAGUAAGUAGAUGUAUGGCCAAACCUGACAAAUUACACUGGCAAGUUGUCAAAUGGAGUCUAAGAUAUUUGAGAGGGACUUCUAAGACCUGUUUGGAAUUUGGAAGAUGUUCAGAUGGUCUAGUAGACUAUGUAGAUUUGGAUUAUGCUGGAGACUUAGACAAAAGAAGAUCUUUCACACGUUAUAUGCUCGUUUUCGACAAUUGUAUAAUUAGCUGGAAAGCUACCCUUCAGGCCACUUUGACAUUAACAACUACAGAGGCGGAAUAUAUUGCUAUCAUAGAGGCUGUGAAAUAGGCCAUUUGGUUGAGAGGUCUAUUCAGGGAGCUUGUUGAUAAAAAUGACAAAACUAUUGUAUACUACAAUAGUCAAAGUGUCAUACAUCUCGCGAAAGAUCAGAUGUAUCACUAAAGAACAAAUCAUAUAGAUAUUCGAUACCACUUUAUUCUAGAAGUGAUUGCUUAAGGAGAUGUUCAGAUUCACAAAAUCGACACAAAAAACAACCCAACAAACAUAAUGAAAAACUGUCUUCCAAUUUCCAAGUUCAAGCAUUACUUAGAUUUGGUAGACAUUUUACAAAUAUCGAGUUAGGCCCUGACGGGGCUCGACAAAGAAGGCAUUUUGAAAAUACGAGUCAAGGUGGAGAUUUGUGGAGUGUGCCUUGCAUUUCGGAUGAAACAGAGCUGACGUUGAGAUGAGAAAGAGUCGACGUCCUUAUGGCAAAACACACGACGUCCUGACAACGCGAUUCAUGGCAUCUCGACAAGCCGAACACAACAUCGCGACAUGGUGACUUGUUCCCCACUUAUCCGGGUUUCUUCUCUUAGUUAAACUCUAUUAUCUUUUCCCAGUCUAACUCUGAUUAUUCUAGGAAUGCUUUAGUUAUAUUUUCACAUGAAAUUCAGCUAUAAAUAGACCAUUUACCAACCCUAGAUAGUUUAGAAUAACAACAACAAAAUUAAAAAGAGUUUGUGGGAAUUUCGAAAAAAAUUUAUAUUUUGGGUUCGGGGUUUGUUUGUUUCUCCAUCUUAUACUCCCCUUUCAGUUUUUUCCAUUUUAGUGAAUUUUCCUUUUCCCAUGAUUUUUUGUCCUCUUCAGAGGGAUUUUCUUAUGUAAGUAUUUGUACCCAAUUUUCUCAAUUUUCAUUCGCGUUCGUAGCAUAAUUCGAGUUCGACCCUACACAAAUGAAAGAAUGACAACUAUUGUUUUAAAGUGUUAUAGCUUUGAAAAGAUAUGGUAUGAAAUGGUGUAGUUUUAAGUUAUGGGUUUAUUUUUUUUAAUUUUAAUUAUAAAAGGACGUGGAAAUGAUGUGAAAAAAAUAAAUGAUUAAAAAAGUACAUGUCAUUAAAUUACUCGCGAACUGAACAAUUUGUUAGUAUUUUAACGAUUUUGGAUUAAAAAACAAAGAAUAAAUUAUAUAAAUAAUCAUUUGAUUACUAAAAAUUUUAUUAUUAAGUUACCCUAUUUUAAAAAGUUACAACGUUUCUUUUUUCUUAAGUCCAAAACCAUUAAAUUGCUAAUGGUCGGCUGACAUGGCUGUUAACUUAAUGAAUUUUUUAACACAUAAUUUCCAUGUCAUAUUAUAAAUAAAUAAAUAAUUUUAAUCCAAAACUACAACAUUUUCUUCUCCUCUUUACUGGUCGUAAGAAGGAAUCAUCAUAUUCAAGUAUUUUGAUUUUUUUUUAAUGUAGAAAAUGAUGGGUUUUUGGAUCAAAGUCAAUUGAUUCAUUGUUUGCUAGUUAUUGUAUUGGGGUUCGUCUUGAAUUGAUUGUGAUCGGGAUCUUUUUUUUUUUUUUUUGAAAAUUUGAUUUGGGUUGUUGAAGGAAAAAAGGGAUCCAAUCUGUUGUGCAAAUUCCUGGGUUGGGAAAAAAAUAAAAAAUCAUGACAAGAGGUAGAGGAGAUAAAGAAGAUGAUGAGAAGUACAAUGGCUCCACAUUCAAAUAUUUUUAAAUGCUCUAUUUAUUUUUUUCAAAUCCGAAUAUUGGGACUUCAAUAAUUUAAUUACUAUUUAUAGAAAAUUCAGAUGCUAAUACUAACCGUGAAAUAUCUAUUAUAUGCAUCUAUUUUAUUUUUGUAGAUAAUAAAUUUGGAUUUGGAUUUAAAUUAAUUUUAGGAGAAUGAUGUUCUCAAAUUGAAUGUGAAUAACAAAUUUAUGGAUUUAGAUUCAGAUUUUAAAAAGAAAUGAUAGAUAUUUAUAUUAUAGACAAGUAAGCUAGUGUGUAAAAUGUAUUUAGGUAUUUUAAGAUGUAUAGGAAAAGUAAUAAAAAAUAAGAAAAAGGUAAUGCAAAAGAUAAGAAACUUUUUUGUCUUUAUUAUUUUUCAUGUAUAUAAAGUAUUAUAAUUUUUUGUUUUAUAUAAACAGUUGUUAGCUCAAUUUCAAUUUGAACUCUUUUGGGGUAGGAUAAGCCAAGGUAUUAAAAAUAUGUAAAAUAUUACAAAUGCAUAUAAAAUUCCAUAUUUUAGUAAUUCAUUUUAGGGUAAAUUAUAAAAAUAGUCUUUUUUGUUUGCCUCAAGUUACAUUUUAGUUACUUAUGUUUGAAAUGUUACGUUUUAGUCACUUACGUUAUCGUUUUGUUACGAAAUGGUCCCUCUGUCAUUAAGAUUUGUACCUCCUAAACGGCAGUUUGACGUGACAGUUAAAAUGAAUUUUAAAUGCCAAUGUAAAUGUCCAACUAGGAUGAGAAAACUAAAUUUUUUUUUAUGAAAAUAGAAUACAAAAUUUUACCCUAAAACCUAAUUUUCUCCAGUUUAAAAGUAAGCAACAAUUGGGUUCUUUUUGUUACGAUCAGAGAAGAGAAGAGCAGAACGUCAUAGAAGAAGAAGAAGAAGAAGAAAUGGACGCACCAAUCUCUAUACUUGCUUGUUAUUGUGGUUGCCCACAAUACACAAAAAAACAAGGAUAAAACAUGUCAUUUUUGUUUGUCACAUAUGCAUAAAAACAUGAAAAGAUGGACCACCUUUUUGCAAAAAAAAAAAACCAUAAUAUCUGAACUCAAAACCCAGGUAAAGAACAAAAAACACAAUACUUACUAUAAUCCAUGCUUGGACCCUUCAUUGAAUCGAUAAUUUGUUCUUCUGUUUUGAAAAAAUAAUUCAAUCGAUUGACGAAACACUCAAUUUGAUUUAUACUAUUUCGAUUCAACAAAGAUGACUAUGAAGAUGAAUGGUUUUUUAGUCAAAAUGGAAACGAAAACUAAAAGAAAAAGGAGACUGAUGUUCUUUUUUUUUUUCCAAUUCAAGGACUAAUCUAAUGCAUUGGUUUUGAUUAUUUCGUGAAACCAAAUUAACAUUUUCCUUUAAUUAAUUUAUAAAAUUAAUUAAUUAAAUUUAUUUAAUUCAAAAUCAAUUAAUUUACUUGGUUGGACAUCUACGUUGACAUUUAAAGCCCGUUUUAACUGACACGUCGGACUGUCGUUUGGGAGGUAAUAGAUCUUAACGGCAGAGUAACCAUUUCGUAACAAAACAAUAAAGUAAGUGACUAAAACGUAGCGUUUCAAACAUAAGUGACUAAAAUAUAACCUGAGGCAAACAAAAGUGACUAUUUUGAUAGCUUACCGUUCAUUUUAUGAAUAUUUUGGCAUAUUUAUGCAUUUUGUAUUUGUGAUGCCUUUUUUUAAAGACAACUGACUAUAUUUUAUUAGACAGAAAUAACUGAAAAAACAUAAAAGUGAUAGCCCACAAAGUAGACAUGAGCCUAUAAAACCUAAUCCAAAGAAAAUCAGAAAAACAAAAUCCAAAAGAAAAAUGAAGCCCAUGAAAAAAAACACAAUAAAUAAAUAAAAAAUAAAAUGAAAUGCCCCAAGACACUUCUUCAAUUAGUAAAAUAGAUGGCACCCACUCCUUAGAAAAUAUCCAAACCCUCAAAACUUGUCGGUACCAGCUUCCAAAAACAAGCAGCCUUCCAAAAUCAAAACCAUUUGCUGCUCAUUCCUCUCUCCAAAGCCUACCUCUUCUUCUUCUGUCAAUCUGGUUCCCUUCUCCUCCCCCAUAAUCUAUCAUUGAUGACCAUCGGAACAUUUCCAAUUAGGUAACUCUCUCUUCCAUUCUUUAAGCAAUCCGCGGCUAAACUAUGUGCUAGGAUAUUAGCAGAUCUGGGUAUGUGUUUGAGCUGGAUACUAUUAAAACUCCUUUUCAAUUGUUGUAUGUCCCAAAUAAUAGCCCCUAUCACUGAUUUAUCUCGAAUGUCCGACUGACUUUUUUUAAUAAUGGUUUUUGCAUCUCCUUCUAUGGUAACUAAUGAGAGGCCUAGAUGGUUUCCCAAAACCAAGGCCUGAAAGUAAGCAUAUCCUUCCGCUAUAAAUGGCGAAGCGAUCUCCUUGUGCAGUGUCUGUUUUGAAGCCAAAAUCUCACUUGGAGAGUUACGAACAACCACUCCAGAUCUAGAUCUCACCAAAAUUUGAUUACAAGCGGCAUCAAAAUUAACUUUAACAUCAGAACCUAAUGGGGGACACCAUUCCUCAUUAACAAUAGAUCUGGUAAACUUCUUAUCUUCUAAACUGUCAAUCUCUCCAAUAUAUCUUGUUAUCUAGUCCGCUAUUUCUUUUCCUUUAAUCUGACUCUCGUCAUGCAGGACUAGAUUUCUAUUUGUCCAGAUUCCUCAUAUGGCACAAUAAAAUAAUUUGUACUGGUCAUUGGAACUCAUUCGAAAAACCCAGGUAAACCAAUCUCUGUCGUUCAAAUCUAGAUUAGAAAGAAUCUAGUUUAGAUUUAAAUAAUUCCAAACUUUUAUUGAUAUAGAACAUUAUCUGAAAACAUGAUGCAAGGGCUCUGCUGCUCCACCACACUUGUGACACAGGACAUCUCUUCUAAUCCUUCUGUGUUGGAGAUUAACAAAAGUAGGCAAGAAAUUCCAAGUGGUUUUCCAUAGAUUAAUUUUUACUUUUGAAGGGAUUUUUAGAGAUCAUAGUUUUUUGUAUAGCUCCCUAGAAUCAUAAUGUGUAUAAUUAGGGUUAAAAGUACCUUUAUGUAAUAGUUUAUAGGAACUUCUGACAGAAAAUUCCCUUGAAGAUUCCCCCUCCAGACCCGUAUGUCUUCAAUCCCUUCUUUGGCCAAAGGAGUUCGUAAGAUUUUCGACGCAAUCUCUUCAAGAAAGGUACUAUUAAUUAGAUUUACUUUCCAUUCCCUAUCAUCUACAUCAAUGAAGUUAGAAACUAAGUUUAACCCACCAGUAUUAAUUUAUUCAUUAAUUCUAUAGUUCGGGGAACCUGAUAACCAAGCGUCGUCUUUUACUGAUAUAUUUGAACCUGAGCCAACUCUUCACCAAAGCCAGUUCUCUAGAAGACCCUUAGCCAUCCACACACUUUUCCAAGUAUACGAAGGUAAAUUGUCAAAUCUCGUAUUAAAAAAAAAUUAGAGUUUUGAAAAUAUUUCGCCUUUAACACACGAGAUAAUAAUGAAUUGGGAAAAUUAAUAUUAUGCCACCCUUGUUUAGCUAACAAAGCAACAUUAAAUUUUGCAAGGUUGUCAAAACCUAACUCCCUAAUCUCCUUUGGUUCACUCAAAUAAUUCCAAGUGCACCAAUGUAUACCUUUCUUACCAAAAUAUUGUUGCCACUAAAAUUUUGUCAUAAAACUCUCUAAUUCGUUACAAAGGGUCUUAGGCAAUAAGAAACAUGCCAUCGAAUAAGCGAGAAUAGCUUGAAGGACUGAUUUAAUAAACACUUCGUUGCCCUUUUGAGACAAGUACCUAACACUCCAACUUUCGAUCCUCUACUUAAACAUGUCCUUAAGAAUUUGAAAAGAAGCCUUCUUCUUUUUCCUUAUCAUGUUAGGCAACCCAAGAUAUCUUUCAGGUUCAUUCGAAUGCCUAACUCCCAAAAUCCCCAAUACGAGUCGUUGAUUACUCAUUAAAGUAUUCAUGCUGAAGAAAAUAGUGGAUUUACUAAAGUUAAUACAUUUGCCAGAAAAUUGCUCAUACUCCCGCAAAACCCUUUUUAAUGUUUGCACCCUCUUCACAUUCGCUUCCCCAAAUAAAAUAGAAUCAUCAGCAAAUAACAAAUACGAAAUUUGAGGGCCACUCCUGCUUGCCUCUGCCCAUUUUAACAAGCCAUCUCUCAUAGCUAAUCUCAUAAGAGAUGAUAGUCCCUCAUUAUAAAUCAAAAAUAGAAAAGGACUCAAAGGAUCACCUUACUGAAGUCCUCUAUUAGGUCUAAACCUUUCACCAAUUUUCCCAUUUACUACCACUGAAUGUGAAACUGUAGAGAUACGUUUCAUUAUGGUCUUAACCCAUUGAGCAUCAAAUCCCGUUUGUACCAACAUUUCCUGAACAAAUUGCAAUUCCACUCUAUCAUAGACAUUACUCAUAUAUAAUUUCAUGACCAUGAAUCCCUUUUUCCCCACUUCUUUUUGAUGAAACGUGUGCAAAAUCUCAUAAGCUAAUAGCACAUUAUCUGAAAUCAACCUUCCAGGUACAAAAGCACUUUGGGAUUUAUCAAUGCAUGCAUCCAAUACCCCCUUAAAAUGACUAGCAAUCAUUUUUGCAAUAAAUUUAUACAGAAUAUUGUUAAAGCUAAUAGGCCUAAAAUUCACCAUACUUUUAUUUAAAACUUUCAAGCAGAAAUCAAUAACCUCUCCGAACAAUGUGCCAGUACUUUUGGAAAAACAAAUAUGGAAACCCAUAAUCUCUAGAGGCUUUAGUUGGACCCAUUUCUUUCAACGUUGUGACGACAUCAUCCUCCAAAUAGGUUGUCGUUAACUUCGAAUUGACAUCCUACGAAAUAACAUCAUCCUUGUCAAUCUUGAGAUUUAAAUGAACCAUUGUAUCAAUGAUCUUCAUAAGACUCUCAUCAUUAACAUUUACCCUUAUAAACUCUUCUAACUCCAUUGUCAACUUCGUUUUGAGACCUUUUCUUUUUAACUUAAUCGAACGAACUCAAUCCACCAAUCCCUUCUUUAGGGCCUCCAAUUUAAUCAAUAAAUCACUAGAAGUAGACGCCCAAAUAUUCACCACAGCUUCCUCGAAAGAAUCUUCCAAUAUCCACCAAACUUCAAACUGAAACCUUCUCCCUUUUAAUACAUUAGAACCCUAAUCAAUUUGAAUAAGAAGAGGCUAAUGAUCUGAGAAAGAAUAAGGAAGAUGUUGAAUCAUUGCAUUAGGAAUGUAACACCCUAAACCCGGCCUAAACAUUAGGGUCGAAUCUGGUGAUGUCACAUUGUAACACCCCUUACCCGUAUUCUACGCUGGAAUAGGGUACGAGGCAUUACCAGAAUAAAUACACUUAUAAACAUAUUAAACCGAGUUAUAAAAUUUCAUCCAAAUUAAAAACUUUCAAAUUAUUAUCUUUGAGUCACUAAUUAGGGUUUACGAGACCUAAUACAUACCUAUUCAUAUGCUCAAUAUAUCCGUUAAAUCAAUCCAAUAUUGAAGAAUCCACUUUAAGUCAGAAUCAAUUUUAAUCACAAUCAUAAAUCUUUUCAUGUUAUUUUCAUAUAUCACUAACUGAACUUCGAAUGUCAAUUUACGAAUAUGUACUUCACUUACACAUUCUGGUAUACACAAUGUUUAAUUGAUGAAAUCAUUUAAUUGAGCUAAAUUUCAUAUUCACUCCAAAUUUUCUUCUAUAUCCAUAAAUGCUUUCACUUACCAUUUACCUAACCAAUUUCUCGAACCAAGCUAUCACACAACAAUAAUACAUCACCUGUGCUUCAUGAAUUCAAUGUUCAGAUCUUAUCACUAUCAAAUCCAUGUCAUUCGAAUACUUAAAGUUUAUUCAAGCAUAUAUUAUUACAUUUCACAUACCAAGCAUAUGUCAAAAUUACGAAUACACAAUCAAUUCAUUUGUCAUUUAUUUGACUAGAAAAUUAAUCUCAAAAUUCAUAACAUUCUAUUACUUAAGAUAUGCCAUAAAACACUUCUUUAACAUAAACUAGCACCAUGGCCGAAUUUUCAUUAUGCUAUUUAUUCCCCUUUUUCCGAAUCACAUAGCAAAAUAUUACAAAUAUGUAUAUAUUUGAAUACUAUAAUUAUGCAUCAACUUACAAACAUGAGUUAAUUCAUGAGCCGCUCAUGACAUCAUUUCAUGCCAAAUAUACCACACACAUAUGCUAUGAAACUUUAUUUUCUCUCAUGAGCUUAUCAUGACCAGUAAUGCACCAAUAUAAGCAUCACCUCUAUUUCAACGUUUAUCGAUUAUAAUCGAUCAUAUAACCAAUUAUACACAAAUAAUUUAUAUAUAUAUAUAUAUAAAUUUCCUCCUCCUCCUCUCCAUUCCACAUCCUUAAUGUACUUAACACUCUUAGAAAUAACAUUUUCUAAAGUUUCAUUAUUCACCCUUAAGUAUAUUCAAAGCUGUCUAUCCGAGUUAGUAUCACUUAAUUAUUUUUAUCUGAAGCUAAAGAACUCCAAAUUAUGCACUGCUAAUUUUCCCUGAAACUAGAAUUACAUAUCUUCUUACCAUAAAAUUUUUAGAAUUUUUGGCUUGGCCAAUUAGUACAGUUUAUUAUUUAAAGUCACCCUUGUUUCACUGCUCAACAUCUCUGACCUCUCUUCACUAAAAAUGAAUUAUCUCAUUGUACAAAAUUCGGAUGAUAUUUUCGUUUAUUUCUUUUGAAAAUAGACUUAUUAAGGAUUUUAAUAAAAUUAUAACUCAUAAUUAUUUUUUUAAAAUUUUUAAUUAUUUUCCAAAGUCAGAACAGGGGAUUCCGAAAUCAAUCCGACCCUACCUCACUAAAAUUAAAAUAUCUCAAAAUAUAUAACUCUUUUGCUUGCUCUAUUUCUUUUAUGUAAAAAUAGACUCAAUAAUCUUUCAUUUCAUAUCUCAAUCACCCUCUAAUUCAAUUUAUACUAUUUUUGGAGAUUUUUCAAAGUCACACCACUGUUACUGUCUAAACCAUUUUAAAUCAAGUUUUCACUCUUUCAUGAAUUUCUCUUACUUCAUUUCAUUUUUUCGAUAGUUCAAUCAAAUAACGAGUAAAUUGUUCAUAAAUUUUCCCACUAUAUAUGCACUUAUAAAUCAAAUAGUCAUUUCGUCAUAUCAUGUAUUUUCACUUAAUAAAUUUCCCGUUGAACUUAUUGGAAUAAAAUAGAUUUCUCGGUGGCCUGCACACAGUUCGUACCAGCUUUGUAUAAUACCAGAUUCUCGGUGGCCUGCACAUAGUCUGUGCCACCCUUGUAUCUUAACAGGUUAUUGGUGGCCUGCACACAGUCCGUGCCACCCUUGUAUCAUAACAGAAUAUCGGUGGCCUGCACACAGUCCGUGCCACCCUUGUGUCAUAAUAGAAUAUUGGUGCGCAUAGUAGCCUGCACUUAGUUUGUGCCACAUAUGCGACCUAUCAGUCUGGUACACAUAGUGGCCUACACUUAGUCCGUACCACACGUGACCCAAUUAUAAUCAUUCAUAUAUUUUCCAUUCCGAGUUUCAAACGGGAAAUUCUUACUUUUCAAUAAUUACCAAUUCUUCUCUAACCAAUCUUAAUUCAUAAUUUGCAUCAUAUAUUUGUUCCACGUAUAGUACAUAUCUCAAAUAAAAUAAUAAAACACUUAGCAUAAAUACAACAAUAUAUUAUCUACAUACAAACUUACUUUGGUGCAAUAAUAUAGAAAUUUAACAAUUUAGUCUUCAAUAUUUUCUUUUCUCUGAUCAAGGUUGAUUCCACUUCUUUCUUGAUCUAUAACAACAUAUUUAGCUUAUAUAACAUUCAUAUGAUCCAAUUCAGUCAAAAAAUCACAUUUUGGUAAAAUUAUAUUUUUGCCCCUAAAGUUUCACAAAAUUAUGAUUUUGCCCCUAGGCCCAGAAAUUAAACUUUAUUGCUUUUUCUUAUGUUUUAUGACAUGCUGAACAUUUUUCCCUUCUAUGGAAACAUCAAAUUCUCACUCUAACACUUACUUAUGAACAUUAGGGAUUUUUAUCGAUUAUGUCAAUUUACUCAUUUUCACUUAAAAUCGGCUAGCAAAAGUUAUUUAACAUAAUUUCAAGCUUCAUAUUCUAUCAUAAAACAUCAAAAUAAACACAUUUCACCUAUGGGUAUUUUUCCAAAUUUGAACCCUAGGUUAAAUUAUUGCUAGAAUAAGCUAAAUCAAGUUACCGGGACUCCAAAAACGUAAAUAACAUUAAAAACGGGGCUUGGAAUCACUUACCGUGGAGCUUGGAAGCUUGAAAACCCUAAAUAUGGCUUCCCCCUUAUUGAUUUCGUUCACCAUGGAGAAGAUGAUCAAAUUUUUGGCUAUUUUAGCCUUUUUAAUUCUUUUUAAUUACUAAAUGACCAAAAUGCCCCCAACUUAAAAUUUUCCUAUUUCACUUAUCUCUUAUCUAUUUUUGUCCAACAAGUUAACCAAUGGUCUAAUUACGAUUUAAGGACCUCAAAUUUAAAAUUUCGUAACAAUUGGACACUUCUAACAUGUAGAACUCAACUUUUGCACUUUUUACAAUUUAGUCCUUUUAGCUAAAUUGAGUGCCCAAACGUCGAAAUUUUUGAACGAAAUUUUCACGAAAUCAUUCCUUGAAAUUUUAGACCAUAAAAAUAUAAUAAAAAAUAAACUUUUUCUCGUGGAUUUGUGGUCUUGAAAUCACUAUUCCGACUAGGCCUAAAAUCGGGCUGUUACAAGGAAACAUACUCAAUCGUGCAACAGUAGCCAUACCUCUAUCUAACCUUUCCCUAACAUUUGUCUCUGGUAAAUUCCCCUUUUCCCAUGUAAACCAAGCCCCAAAAUAACCAAUAUCCAUCAACUAACACUCCAACACUUCUUUGAAAGCCUCUAUUCUACUUUCCUCCCUGGUCAACCCCUCACUUUUUUAAAAACAUACAUGAUUUCAUUAAAAUCCCCACAUACCAACCAAUGAAGAUCACAAACAUGACCUAAUCUAUGCCAUACCCUCCACGAAUCAUCCCGAUUGUGUGCAUAAGGGGAACCAUAAAAGCGAGCGAAUCUCUAAAUUUUUCCUUCCUCAAUAUCCUCCAUGUCAACAUCAACGUGCCUAAUUGAAAAACUCUUGAGAGUCAUCGAGACAUUACCCCUCCAAGCCAAACAAAGCCCUCAUCUAGUUCCCUCAGUUGAAACAUCAAUUCCACUUAAAAACCCAUACCUCUAAACUUUCUCCAUUUUCAUAUUACUUAUUUUAGUCUCCAUAAAGAAGACCACUUGGAGAUUAUGCAACUUCAACAUAUAUUGAAGUCUCUGCACAACCUGAGGGCUCCCCAACCCUCAUACGUUCCAACUUAUCAUUUUCGUUAUGAAAGGUUGACAUGCCCAUUGGCAGCCACUAAUACAAAAAAAUUUUGUUCCGACACUUUUCCAUUAGUCGUCCCCAAAGAUCCCAACUCUACCCCUGACUACAUUCACUUAAAUCCCUUCUAGGCCUCUUUUUACCAUCCCCUCCCCCUAAUAUAAACUCUUCCGAAUCAUGCUACAUGGCCAUUAAACCCAGUGCUUUAGACGGAUCACUUUCCUAAAGGGACAUAAUGGUUUGAUCCCCUUCUAAAGUCAACCCUAACAUUAGAUCAAUACGAAUCCCACUCUCCAUUCUUUCCUCUAUCCCCCAACUCCGUCAACCCGAACUCUAACGUCCUUAAUUACCCCCUUCCCACCCCUACACCUUCAUCCCUUAACCACACACUAUUCAUCACCAUAGCUCACCUAGAUUGAUCCCAUAAUGUCAAAUCCCAAACUAGCUCUAUUACCUCAACGCCUAAAGCCAUCAUUGCCUGACAAAAUGAAUCAUUAUGUCCCAAUUGACCAUAGAAGAAACAAAACAGAGUCAAACGCUCAUAUUUGAAAUACACAUAUGCACAAUUUCCAUGUGCAAACAUUAGUUUCUUUUUUCUCUUCAAAGGGUUCCUAACAUGUAAACAUAUCCACACUCGCAUAUAACUCAUUAGCCCUUUCCCUAUACUCACACUAUCAUACUCCAUAAAUUUCCCAAUAAAAUCACCUAAUUGUCUGGCCAGCAACUAAGAAAAGAAACCCGGUGGAACAUCAUGAAUUUGAACCCAAAAAGGGCAAAAAUUAAUGGCACCUUUAGUGGAUCCUCCCCCAUAACCAACCGAUGAAACACCAAUAAAUGAUUAUUAAACGUCCAAGGAACCCCAUUAAUAACCCUCUCCAAAUCCUUCUUGUCAAAAAAUCAAAACAUGAACCUUUUUUCUCCUAGGUCUGAGAUCUGAACUCGCUUAAUAGGGUGCCAUAAAUUAGCCAUCGUACUCCUCAUAGUCGGAAAGUGAAUGACACUAGCUGUCAGGAAACACCCUACCAAACAGAACUCAUUCUCAUUCACUGUCGAUUCCACCUGUCUUUGCACCUCCACAAUCUCGUCCUCUUCAUCAUCCAGAGAGAACAUUGCCAGUUCCCUUUCCAUCAUUAAACCCCGAUAACCUACAACCCACAGCUAACCUUCGUAAACGAACACAAAACAAAAUUGCAUAGCAAAUCAAAAAACACCUAAGCCACACCAAAACCUUAAAAGCAUUGUCAUCAAAACCAGACACAUAUAGCAGACCAGAAGCGUGCUAGAAAGCAGACAAAAUUUGUUGAUCCAAAUUCUAAAAUUUUAAUACUCAAAAUAAUCUAAUGUCAACAGGGGCGAAACCUUUAUGCUGCUUUUUGUGUGUUUUAAUUACUUUUUCUAUGUUGUUUUCAUAUAGUGCCUUAAAUCAUUUCAUAUUUGUAUAGUUUGACAAUUGUUAUUGGUAUUUAAUGUAGACUCAAUUCAUAUAAACUUUCAUAAUAAUUCAAUUUAGGAAUCGUUGAUGUUAUUUUUGAUGUUCAAAAUUUAUAUUUUUUAAGCGUUAAUAAUUUGUCAUAUAUAUUUUAAUAUGUUUGUAUAUUAAGAAAAAAAAUUUAAGAAUUGAUUCGACAACUUAUGAUUUGAGAAAUAUAAGCCCAAUCCAAAUCGAAUGGUAUUUUUUAUUUAAUUUAUGAUUAUUUUAAUUUUAUAUGAUGUAAAAAUAAAUAUUUUAUAUUAAAAUGGUGAAAAUAACUUAAAAGUUUUAUUUUAAAAAAAUAAUAUAUAAAAGUUGUUGAUUUUUUUAUUACUUGAAAAUUGUUUUUUUAGAAAUAAUCAUAAAAAAGACUUUAAAACUUAUCAAAUAAUAGCCAAAAAUAUAAAGCAAAGCUCAUUUGUUAAAAUAAAUCCAAAAAUUCAAAAUUUGAGAAUCAAUAAGGAAAAACUAAAAACCAAACUAAAUUGAAUUAUGAUGAUGAAUUCGCCAAAGUCCAAAAGAAUUGACGAAUCAAACCGUGAGCACCCCUAACUUUUUGUGUCAUUUUAUAUUUUAAAAAGCUAAUUAGCUAGAAUAAAUAAUCCAUACAUUUAAAUAGGAUGAGACUCGAAUAUGUGAUCUCAAAGUUCUCAAAAACCUCAUUGGAAAUGCAUCUAAUGUUAGAAUAUGCCAUAAAUCCUUGCAUUAUUCAUAUAUUUGAGGUUUAAUCCAUUUACUUUUAAUUCUAGGAAAUUAGCUCCUCUAUUUUUUAGAUUUCAAAAUUUAAGUAUAAUCGUAAACACUUUUAAAAUUAUUUUGUUAAAUUUAGGUUCAAUACAAACAUAAUUUUUUAGCUACAUUGCUAUCAAGUGAGUUUUUUUUUUAAUUUUAAAAUGUCACAUCAACAAAUUUAACCAGAAUUUAUUAGUGUUAACAAUUAACCUGGUUUUUGAAAUCUAAAAAGCAGAGGAACUAAAUUCUUAAAAAUCAAAGUAUAUGGAUUAAAUUUUUGAACAUAUCACACUUCUACCCAUAACACAUUCUCCACGCUUAAAUUAAAACUCCUAAUUAUUGCAAUAGCAAUUGAAUAAAAAAAAUCAUAUCUAAUUCAAUUGGCAUAAUGAUUUAUUUGACCCUCCAACUUUGUAAAAAAAAAUAUUUUAGCUCUCCAUUUAAUUUUUUACCUCUUUUAGCCAUUAAACUUGUAUUGUUUGUCAAAUCACUUCACAAUGGAUGGAAAAAUUAACAAAUGUUAAUUUUAUUGACGUGACAUACAUGUGGAUUGCCAUGUGUAUGCGAUGUUGGCAAUAAUUAAUUUUUUAAAAUUAAAAAAAAUGUUAAAAAUAUUUUUUACACUUAUUUAAUAAUUUAUAUAUAUUUUAAAAAAAUUUGAAUUUUAUUUUAAAAAUUAAUUAAUUAUUAAUGUGGCAGUCCAGAAUAUGUCAUGCCAGUAAAGUUAAUAAACACUAACUUUUCGGUCCAUUUUAGAAGUGAUUUGAUAAAUAAAGCCAAAUUUAAAAACUAAAAUGAUUUUUUGGAGGGAGGAAUUAAAAAAAUCAUAUCUAAUUCAAUUUGGUCUUAUGGUUGGUAAUGAAAACAUAAUAGGAAAAUUAUAAUGAAAUCGCAAUAUUAAAAUUCAAACAGUAAUUUUGAAUGGGGAAACAAUUUCAAACACUAAAUCUACCAAUUGAACCACGUAAAUAAGAAGUAGGUGUGGCACUUUAUUGGGUAUUGACUAUUUCCAGGCAGUGGACCAACAAAAUGUAUAAUUCUAUUUACGAAAAGUAAAUGGGUGCAACAAAAACAAUCGUGUGGAAAUAUUCUAUCAUAGAAAAUGACAAAGCCUCCACAAAUUGACCAAACUCUCUUUGCCUCGUUCAAACCAAAGGAAAAAAAACAAUCACAGUUCCAGGCUAGGUCGCAAUUCCAAUACCCAGAUUUUCAUUGGAAAUAAAUAAAUCCCAAAACUGACACGUGCUUCAUUCACUUUUAUUGCAAAACAUCACAACAAUCCACCAUGUUGUUGGUUUUAUAAGCAAAUUUUUGUGCUUCUAAACUCUCUUCAUUCUGAGGUUACUGAGACAGAAGCAUGGGGAGGAAAUUGGAUGCUUUGCUUGGAAGAAACUUCAAGGCUUCCAAGUUUAAAACUCUGGCCAAGCUUGCUAUUUCUCGGAUCGGUAUCUUGAAGAACCAGCAUCAAGUACGGUGUACCCACGCCCGGUCCGAUGUGAUUGAACUCCUUAACCUCGGUCACCAUGAACAGGCCCUUCUUCGUGUAGAGCAUUUGAUUAGAGAACAGAAUAUGGUGGAUGCAUUUACUAUCAUGGAAACCUACUGUAAUUUGUUGAUAGAGAGGGUCAUGCUGAUUCAAAAGAACAUGUAAGUUUGGUUUGAUAUUUUUCCUCUUGGUUUUAUAUUAAGUUCUCUGAAAUUUGACAUGCUUUCUCGACCAUGUAUAUAGGGAAUGUCCUGAUGAGCUUAAAGAGGCAGCAUCGACCUUGAUGUUUGCAUCAUCAAGGUGUGGUGAAUUCCCUGAGCUUCUUCACAUUCGUGGGGUUUUUUCAUCGACUUUCGGGAAAGAAUUUGUGGUUCGUGCCAUUGAAUUACGCAACAAUUGCAGUGUGAAUCCUAAGGUGAUACAAAAGCUUUCAACACUGCGGCCAAGCUUAGAAAGCAAGUUAAAAUUGCUCAAGGAGAUUGCUACUAAAAAGGGUAUCACCUUGAAUUUGGAGGAAAUGGCUGUAGAGGUGAGGAACUUAACUGAGUCAGCCAACGAUUUGCCUGUAGGAAAAGACAUGGAUGAAAGCUUAAGUGAGUCAAUGAAAGCAAGGAAAAAGUACAAAGAUGUGGCAGAUGCUGCUCAAGAGGCUUUCGUAUCAGCAGCUUAUGCAGCAGCAGCAGCACGAGCAGCUGUGGAGCUCUCAAGAAUUGAACCCCAAGACUUUGAUUCUCCAAAUAAUGCCAUGGCCCGAAGCGAAGACCUGGAGCUGAAUGAAACGGAAGAGACUAGACAAAGUUUAUCCAGAGAAAGGACAGUUUCUAGUUCAAGUUCAGAUUCGGAUGCAGACCUUUCAGGUGAGGAAAGUGAUGGGGAGAAGGCAAAAGAGGAGCCACACACACAGCCCCAUGAGUUGAGCUAUGAGAUUACCCAAAGUGAUGAAGUCAAUGAGGAUGAAAGCAAGUUGGGAUAUCAAUCUUCAAAGCUGAAGAACACUGAAAGCUUUGAAGAGCAUUUGAAUUCACGUAAGAACAAAAAAUGGGUGUCGAUGAGGACUAGAAGAGAUUAGACCAUGGGAUCUGAUUUUUAUUUAUUUUAAUUUGUUAGUGAAAUUUUGUUUGUUGCUUUAUCUCAUCAUCAUCAUCAUUAUUAUUAUUAUUAUUAUUAUUAUUUGGUUAAUAUAUUUAUUUUUUCCUAAUACACACAGCUGGACCUGAUGAGAUUCUUUUAUUUGAUUUUUACAACAUUUCUCAAUUUAGGCUCCAUUUGUUUUAUUGAAAAUGGUUUUUGAAAAAUGAUUUUUAAAAAAUGACUUACUUUUCUGGAAAAACUAAUAUUUUCUGGUGUUAGAUGAAUUGUGUAAAAUAUUUUUGGUUGUUUGACAGAUUUCUUGAAAAUAUUUCAUAAAAGUUGUUUUCAAUGAAACAAACAUACAUUUGAGAUUUUACUAUCUUUUCAUUGAUUAGUUGAGUUUAUUUCAUAAAUCUUAUUAUAUUUUAAUUAAUCAUGUUUUAGUUUUAAUUAAUCUUAAUUUACUUAAUUAAGCUUAAUCAUUAAUUUCGUACAUUUGGGAAUAUAAAGUUAUAGAUAUAAAUUUAUGAUUAAUUAAGUUGAAAGUGAUAAAUAUUUAUUUCGAAUAUUAUUUGGAAGAGUAACUUGAAAAAUGAUUUAAUUUGAUGAAAUUGAAGUAAGGACCAAAUUGUAAAAUUUGUAAAUUUUCAAAUUCUAAGGGUUUGAGUAGUGAAAUCUGAAACAUUGAUGUAGUAACUAAAUUAUAUGAUUAUGAAAUAUGAAAAUUUGGAAAGUUAAGCAUAAAAUAGUAAAUUUGAAACUAUAGGGGUUAAAUUGUAAAGAUUUCAAAACUUGAGUUUUAGGACUAAUUUACAUUAUUUGAGAAUUUAAAAUUCUGAAAAAUAGAUUAUGAAAGUUUAUCUUUUCAAAAAUCAAGGACUAAUUUUUGGAAAAUUUAACAAUUUUAGUUGUAAGGACUAAAUUAUAAAAUUUGGAAAUUUUAGAAAACGGACUAUUUUGUAAAACUGUACAAAAUGAGGUUUAAGACUGGACUAUAGAAUAAGAAAAUUUUUUUGAGGAAUUAAAUUUUAAAAUAGUAAAAAUUUGGAUUUUAGGGACUAAAUCGUAAAAAAUAUAAAAUUAGAAUAUAAGGGACUGUUUUCUUCGACGGUGAAGCGAGCUUCACCUUUAUUGCUCUAAAAGCUUCUCCUUUUCGUUUCUUUGACAGUGAACAGAGCCUUAUUAGUUUAGAAAAUGUCUUGCGAAAAAAAUUUUGGUAAGACAUUUUUCCUUAAAAAAGCCUUGAUUUUACCUUUUUUGGAGAAUGAUUUCAUUUGGUAAUUUAUUUUCUACCAAACAAACACCCUGAAACAAUGAAAAUAUUUUAUUUUACAUGCAAACAAAUGGACCCCAUUAGUUUUAAACAUGCAUGAUGCUAUUGACAAAUGGAUAGUUGAUACAUGGAGAAUAUAAAAUUAAUUGAAUUAAAAUAAAAAGAAAAUAAUAAUUUAAACUUGGAAAUUAAAAAAAAUGAAAUGAUAUUAGUAAAAUACAUCUUCAUCCCUUUAAAGAAGGUUUCCAAGUUUUACUAAUAUCAUUUCAUUUUUUAUUAUUGACAAAUGGUUAGUUCAAAUAUGGUAUUUUGGUAUAUGAUAGUUUAAAGUUUUGUAGCUUAUCAUAAUGCUUGGUAUGUGCUUAGCUUCAUAUUUUAUAACUUUAGAAGUUUGAAAGUUAGUUCAAAUAUGGUAAGUGUGAUAUGAAUAAAAGUAUUGAAUGUGUGAUGUGUUGUUGAUGUAUUUGAACAUAUAAAAUGUGGUACCAAUGAGGGUAUAUUGGUUAGGCAUAUUAGGUGAUGAAUUUGGUAUAUUUUGGGCAUGUUCAAUCGUGUUUUGAAUAGGUUAAAUUAUUGGUAAUUGAGUUACUUUGUGUCCAAGUAAAUAGGAAAUGAUAAACUUGAGUUUUAAGGUACUUUUGGGUGCACAUGGCCUGGCCACACGGGAGUGUGUCACACACGGGGAACACACAUGGGCGUGUGACCCAAGUCAAAGAGUUACACGGCUUGGCCACACAGGUGUGUGACCCUUUAAAUCAAAAUUUUUGUAAUUAUUUCCUAAACUUCUAGAAUUAUUUCAAAUUAGUCCCUGCCAAUUUUAAACUACUUUUAGGGUCCCGUAGACUCAUAAUAGGGGCUUUAAGAGUAACUUUUACUCUUAAUUGGGGUGGAUUAACAAACCUAAAUUAAGUGCAUUCCACUAACAUUAUCAUAUAUAAAUUAAAAAGAUAAUUUUAGACAGAGUAUGGACUAAUACUCUGAUGCUAAUAAUUGGAAUAGUCUUGUAUAUAUCCAAAUUUUGACAUUCUAGAAGGGAUAAAUAGUGAUAAGAGUGUAGACAGUGGAAGACUAAGUUUAGCAAUGUAUAAAUAGUGAUAAGAGUGCAGACAGUGGAAGACCAAGUUUAGAAAUGCAUAGCAUAAUUUAUUAUUCGAAUGUAUAAGAAUCUAGCAUGAAAGUGUUAGAUUGUUGUGACCUUCCCUGCCUAUUAUAAUGUUAUUAAUUAGUUUAUAUGUGGAUUAUGAUUGAAUUAAUUGUUUGAUGCGUUAGUAAUGCUUGUGACCCUAAUCUGACGAUGGAGAGGGGUUAGAGGUGUUACAUUUAGUGGUAUCAGAGCUACAAGUUUAGCCGAUUCUUGGACUAAAUCGAGCUCAAAACUGGGUCUAGAGGUACAUGUCAUAGUUGAGUUGAGCUGAGUCAGGAUUUUGAUGCUGAUGAUAAUUGUUUUUGUUUUAUAGUUAAAAGAUGGCAAAUGAAUCAGAUAAUGAAGUGGAACAAGAGUUCUACUCUAGUAUGAGCAUAGUGAUGAUUGUGAGGCAACGGAGUCGGUAACUCUGGAUGUUAACCCAAUCGUCGCUCAACGAUCUAAUGUUGAGCGAAAUGAUAAUGGUGGAGAAGGUGAUUCACAUUUACUUAGAGCUAUCGCCGAUGCACUUCAGCGGGUUACGGGAACUACAUUUACUACAGUGCCUACACCUACCGUUCAACGGGCUCCGAUAAAAGAACUACGGAGAUAUGGUGCGACUGACUUUUUUGGGUUGAAAGGGGUCGAUUCCUCGGAAGUGAAAGUUUGGAUUGAAUCCACUAAAAGCAUUUUAUAACAACUUGAAUGCAACUAGCGCGAAAGUGUAAUUUGUCGAUCUAGUUGGUAUCGCAUUGGAUUACAAGGUUUGUUGAUCUAGUUGAACGGGCAAAGAUGGUAGAACAAGCCUUGGGACUAGAUAAAAAGGCUGAGGUUACUCUCACUUCUAGAAAGCGGUUUGGAGCUGCUAGCUUGCUUCCACAACCAAAAUGAACCAAGGAAUUUUGCGGUGGCUGGAAAUAGACUUUUAAGUCUAAUAGAUCUAAUAGAAAUCGUGAUCGACAACCGACUGUGCCUACGGGUUGUCUGUAAGGUCCGACCAGGGUUGCUGAUAUUUCGAAUUGUGAACAUUAUGGAAAAAAGCAUCGUGGUGAAUGUUGGAAGCUAACUCGAGCUUGUUUUGGCUGUAGAUCUAUGGAGCAUUUUGCUCGAGAGUGUCCAAAGAAUGAAAAUGCUACUCCUAUUUCUUUUUAAAGGUCUGUACCUGUAUCCAGGGGCCGUAGAACACGUCGCAGUGGGUCUUUUGCUAGAGGUGAUGCUAGAAAAGGAAGUGAUGAUGUUACUCACUACAUAGAGGCCAGAGCGCCAGCACAAGCUUAUGUUGUAGGAACGCGUGAGGACAAUGAUGUGACCGAUGCUGUGGAAGGUAUCUUUUUAUUGUAUCCAGAACCUGUUUAUUCUUUGAUAGUCCUGGGAUCUUCACACUCAUAUGUUAAUGCUAAAUUAGUUAAAUCGUGAAGUUUAACAGCUAAGAUGUCUAAAGUAUCUAUAGUUGUAUCAAGUCCUUUGGGACAGUCUGUAAUAGUGGAUCAGGUGUGUAGGCGAUGUCAGUUGGAAAUACAAAAUAUGACCUUCCCUGUUGAUUUGUUGAUAAUUCCAUUUGGUGAAUUUGAUUUUAUUUUGGGAAUGGAUUGGCUUACUGAGCACGGGGUGAUUUUAGACUGUCGUAAAAAGAAAUUUGUGGUUCAGAGUGAAUAUGGUAACAUAAUUGAAGUGAAUGGUGCUCGAACAAGUGGGUCAACUCGUACCAUUUCGACAAUUCGAGCUAAUAAACUUCUCAAUCUGGGUUGUAAAGAUUUUUUAGCUUAUGUUAUCAACUCAAAUUCUAAUGAUAGUCAGAGCAAUAGGAUCCGUACCAUUUGUGAAAUCUUCGAUGUGUUUCCAGAGGAAUAACCGAGAUUACCACCAGAUCGAGAGGUUGAAUUUACAGUUGAAGUGUUUCCUAGUACAGCUUCAGUGUUAAUGUUCCCUUAUAGUAUGGCACCCACAGAGCUAGAAGAAUUGAAGGUGCAAUUGCAAGAUUUGCUGGAUCACGACUUUAUACGCCCUAGUAUAUCGCCUUGGGGAGCUCCAGUAUUAUUUGUUAAAAAAAAGAUGGCUCGAUGCGACUCUGUAUAGACUAUCAAAAAUUGAAUAAGUUGACGAUUAAGAAUCGAUACCCCCUACCUCGUAUCGAUGACUUGUUUGAUCAACUAAAGGGAGCUUCUGUCUUCUCUAAGAUCGAUUUGAGAUAUGGUUGCUAUCAGUUGAAAGUAAAAGAUAGUGAUGUACCUAAUACGGAAUUUCAUACGCGUUAUGGCCACUAUGAAUUUUGGUGAUGCCUUUUAGGCUGACUAAUGCUCUGGCAGCAUUCAUGGAUCUCAUUAAUUGUAUUUUCCAACCGUAUUUGGAUCAAUUAGUGGUAGUUUUCAUUGAUGACAUCUUAAUCUAUUUGAAAUAUGAAUUCGAGGAUGAGCAACACCUCAGAAUUGUUUUGUAAGUGUUACGAGAGAAACAAUUAUAUGGAAAGCUUAGCAAGUGUGAAUUCUGGUUGCCAGAAGUUGUGUUUUUGGGACAUGUUAUCUCAGUAGAUGGAGUUAGAGUUGACUCGAAAAAAAUUGAAGUCAUUGUUGAAUGGAAAGCACCGAGAAAUGUGUCAGAGGUUCGUAGUUUUCUUGGCUUAGCUGGUUAUUAUAGAAGAUUCAGAAAUGGAUUUUCUAAUAUAGCUUUAUUGAUGACAAAGCUGUUGCAUAAAAAUGUUCAAUUUAUUUGGAGCAAUGAAUGUCAAGAAAGUUUUGAGAAAUUAAAACAAAUGUUGACUAAGGCGUCAGUUUUAACUCUACUUGAAUCGAGAAAAGAUUUUGUGAUCUACAGUAAUGUCUCAUUGAGUGGCCUCGGUUGUGUCCUGAUGCAAGACAGAAAAGUGACCGCAUAUGCGUCUCGUCAACUAAAAAUGCGUGAACAUAACUAUCCGAUGCACGACUUAAAGUUAGCUGCUGUGGUCUUUGCUUUAAAGAUCUAGAGACACUAUCUGUACGGUGAAAAGUGACACAUCUAUACCGAUCACAAGAGUCUUAAAUACCUCCUAACAUAAAAGUAGUUGAAUUUAAGACAACAUCGUUAGGUCAAGCUUCUAAAAGGUUACGAUUUUGUUAUUGAUUACCACCUUAGUAAAGCUAACGUCGUAGGUGACGCGUUGAGCAGAAAGACAAUCAUCGAAUUGUGAGCGAUGUUUGCUCGACUUAGUAUCAAUGAAGAUGGGAGCUUGUUGGCUGAGUUGAAGUUCAAGCCGAUGUUGUUUGAUCAGAUUAAAGUAGCACAGUUAGAUGAUGUCAAGUUAGUGAAGAAAAGAGACAUGGUUCAAAAUGGCUCACUAGAAAGUUUUAGUAUUGAUGAUUGUGAUUGUUUGAGAUUUCAAAAUCGAAUCUGUGUUCUGAAUGUUGUAGAAUAAAAGAGUUGAUACUUUGCGAAGCUCAUGAUAGUCCUUAUACUUUGCAUCUUAGAGGAACAAAAAUGUAUCACAACUUGCGAGAAGUGUAUUGGUGGCCAAGAAUGAGAAAAAAUGCAGUUGAGUUCAUAGCUAAAUGCUUAACUUGUCAACGAGUAAAGGUAGAACAUUAGGUUCCCACAAGAUUACAUUAGCCUAUUUCUAUUCCUGAGUGGAAAUGGGAACGCAUCACGAUGGGUUUUGUAACGAGAUUACCAUUAUCUUCGAGUAAGAAAAAUACUAUUUGGGUUAUUAUUGAUCACCUUACGAAAUCAACUCAUUUUAUUGUAGUCAAGACUGAUUGGUCACUUCAAAAACUUGUUAAAGUGUACAUUUAGGAAAUUGUAAUAUUGCACGGUGUUCCUAUGUCGAUUAUCUCUGAUCGAGAUCCACUAUUCACUUCGAGAUUUUGGAAACAGUUGCAUGAAUCUCUUGGUACGAGACUCAAUUUCCACAUAGCCUUUCACCCGCAGACAGACGAACAAUUUGAAUCAGGUUGGGAACGCUAUUUACCUUUGGUCAAAUUCUUAUACAACAACAGUUUCCAAUCGAGUAUUCAAAUGGCUCCGUACAAAGCCUUAUAUAGUCAUAGGUGUCGAACAGAUAUUUGUUGGAUUUAAUUGUGUGAAAGAAAAUUUUUUGGUCGUGAAUUAAUUUAAGAAACGGAAGACAUUGUUAAGAUAAUCUGAGAUAGAUUGAGAACAACUUUUGAUAGACAAAAAUCAUACACAGACUUGAAACGUAGAGAUAUUGAGUUUGCUAUUGGUGAAAAGGUGUUUCUAAAAGUGUUACCCUGGAAGAAAGUUCUGCGAUUUGGCAGAAAAGGGAAGUUGAGUCCUCGUUUUAUUGGACCGUAUGAGAUUACUAAAAGAGUGGGACCAAUUGCGUAUCGGUUAGCUUUGCCUGCGGAAUUACAGAAAAUGCACGACGUUUUCCAUGUGUCAAUGCUUAGAAGGUAUUGAUUGGAUCCGUUUCAUUUUAUUUCAAUGGAAGAAAUUGAAAUUCAGCCCGACUUUUCUUAUGAAGAAGAACUGGUUGAAAUUUUAGUUCACGAGGUGAAAGAAUUGCGUAAUAAAUGUGUUCCAUUAGUAAAAUUUCUAUGGCGUAGCCGUAGUGUUGAGAAAGCGACUUGGGAACCCGAAGAGACGAUGAGAUCUGAAUAUCCGCACCUCUUUUCAGGUAAAUUUUGGGGAUGAAAUUUAAUUAGUGGGGGAGAAUUGUAACAACCCGAUAGUCAGGGGUAUCGAAAAACGUAUUUUUGGGACUCUAUUUUAGUAAACCAGGCUCAUAUAAGUCAGGUUUAGGAAAAUAGAGUCCCAAAAAUACGUUUUUUGACACCCUUGACUAUCGGGUCGUUACAGCAACUAUCUGACACAUGAUUUAGAGCUAGCCACUGUAAUUUUUGCUCUAAAACUUUAGAGACAUUAUUUAUAUGGUGAGAAGUGUCAUAUUUAUACCGAUCACAAAAGUUUUAAAUACGUCCUAACCCAAAAGAAGUUGAAUUUAAGACAACGUUGUUGGAUUGAACUCUUAAAAGAUUACGGCUAUGUCAAUUAAUAUCAUCUCAGGAAAGCUAAAGUCAUAGCUGAUGCAUUGAACAGGAAAACAACAGUUGCUGCGGACGAUUUUCACUCAACUCAGUAUUAGCAAUGAUAAUUGUUUAUUAGCCGAAUUGAAAAUCAAGUCGAUGUUGUUUAAACAAAUCAGAGAUGCACAACUUGUCGAUACCAAGUUGUCUGAGAAAAAGAAGUUAGUUUAGUGAGACAUAGUGGAGAAUUUCAUUAUUGAUGAUAGGGAAUUCUUACAAUUUCGUAAAUGAAUUUGUGUUCCAAACAUUACUGAAUUAAAAGAGAUGAUUCAUCAUGAAGCUCACGAUAGCCCUUUAACUUUACAUCUUGGUGGUGUGAAAAUAUAUCGUGAUUUGUGAGAGACGUACUGGUGGCUCAGUAUGAAAUGAGAGCUUGUUGAAUUUGUCACUAAGUGCUUGACUUGUCAAUGAGUUAAAGCUAAACAUCAAGUGCCAAAGGGAUUAUUUUAAAUGGAAAUGAGAGCUAUAACGAUGAAUUUCAUGACAGGGUUACCGACUUCACCAAGCAAGAAAAAUUCAAUUUGGGUUAUUAUUGGUUAGUUAACAAAGUCCACGCAAUUCAUAGUCGUGAGAAUGGAUUGGUCUCUACCAAAGUUAGCUGAAAUUACAUUCAGGAGAUAGUUAGAUUGCAUAGUAUGCUUGUGUUGAUUAUAUCUAAUUGAGAUCCCAGUUUCACCUUAAUAUCCCAGAAAUAGUUGCAUGAGUCUUUAGGUACAAAACUAAAUUUUAGCACUGCUUUUCACCUUCAGACGGAUAGACAAUCGAAAUCAGUUAUUUAGAUUGUGGAAGAGAUGCUUCGAGCCUGCAUAAUUAAAGUUAUUGGGUCAAAUUGCCAGUUGAGGAUUCAAAUUGCUACGUAUGUAGCAUUAUAUGGUAGGAGGUGUAGAAUGUCUGUUUUUUUUUCAAAAUUGAAUGAAAUUAAAGUUAUUGGGUCAGAAUUGAUUCAGGAAACUGAAGAUAUGGUUAGACUGAUCAGGGAUCAUUUGAAAGUAGUUUUAGGCAGAAAUCAUAUAGAAAUUUGAAAUUUCGAGAUAUCAAAUAUUCUGUGGGCGAUAAAGUAUUUCUAAAGCUUUCCUCGUGGAAAAAUUUAUCAUGGUUUGGCAGGAAAGGAAAGUUGAGCCCCAAGUUCAUCAAACCUUAUGAAAUUGUCGAAAGGGUUGGACCAAUGGCAUAUCGAUUAGUGUUACCAGCGGAAUUACAUAAAAUCCACGAUGUAUUUCAUGUUUUGAUGCUGAAGAAAAUUGCUCAGAUCUGUCUCAUGUUAUUUCAAUUAAAGAAAUUGAGAUUCAACUUGAUUUAUCCUAUGAGGAAUGUCAUACCCCUAUCCCCAAUAGUUGACUGAGGCGUUACACAGAAAGCAGACGUUUAUUUUGUUCGAUCAUAAUUUAGUCUCAACGUAUAACAAAUUGAAUUGGGGUGUUAACUCAGAAAAUUUUUAAAAGAACAAGUAAUCAAAUCGAUAUACGCCAUAAUAUAAACUUGAUUAGGUUUAAAUCUUUCGGCGGAAGUCUUUCCUUUAAAAAUACAACACUGGCAAUAAAAUAAAGUAUAAAGUAAUUUGGCACAUACAAGUAGAAAUCACUUCACAUGCCAUAAUGUAUAAAACUUUAAAUAAUCCCUCAAGGGUAACAUUCCUUUAAAACAUUAAUUAAAUAAAGAAGUAUUAUUACUAGAGAUCCAAUUACAAAAUAGAACUACACGCCACCCCCAAAAGAACAUAUGCAUGUCACAAAACAAACACAAGCAAAGCUCACAACAAAGGUCGCUCUCUCUGGCUGAGUCCCUUCAACAAGCUCUACAAAGAAUUUCCACCUGGGAAAGUGGAAAUAACAAAGGUAAGUUCAAAAGAAUUUAGAGAGUUCCAUAGUAGCAAAACUCAACCCUUUCUAGAGAAUUUACAAAAGCAAGAAUAAUAAUAAAAUUGCAUAUACAUACACAUAAACUAAUGCGUCAACUAAUACGUCAAUACUCUACAUGCAGAGACAUUUAGGCAUAUAUUCUCAUGCUAAUGGCGGAUACUUAACCAUGGCGGAUAGCAUUUCCAGGUGGACUCUAUCACCGAGCGUAUCUUUUCUUCAUUAAAUCCAUAGAGAACUUUUACUUUGACAAAACUGACACUUUUCCCAUGGAACAUAAUCUCUACUAACACUAACUUUUACAUAAAAAACGUACCAUUAGAUUGAUUUUUACCUGCUUCCUAAACUCACAUUCACUAGGGCAAAUUUAAUACGCCAAUUAAAACACUUAAUGAGUACACUACGUGCUCAACAUAACAAAAAAGGAUAAAUACAUGAUUUACCAUUUAACAUUCAAUAUUAUCAAAAAAAUCUUAUUUAUAAAUAUACAUGGCAUGCAACACAUCAAGAAUCAUAUUUUCUUACUUUUUUCUUGUCCUUCCUUUGGCUAAACCUCGAAUCCCAUAAACACACAUCAGAACAGAUAUCACAAUUCUUAUUAUUUUGAAUACAUGGUGUUCCCAUGAGUUCAGGGCUCUUUGCAUUGGUUAACAACUAACAUGUCUUGCCAAUGGCAGCAAUCAUAUCACUAGGCUAGUUAACAGCUAGCAUGCCCUACCAGAAACCUAGCAGUCACACCAAUCUGGUUAGUAACUUUCAUACCCUACCAGUGGCCCAUCUUAUUUUUUGAUAUGGUUCCAACACAUCUGUCUUUCUGGUUAGCAACUAACAUGCCCUUCUAGUGGCCCAUAAUAUUUGGAUGCAGAGUUUAAAACCUAAGGAACUCUCGUCUAUAUCAUGUCAUAUACAUGCACACAUAGAUGAUUACAUGCAGCAGAUUUCCAACGUUCCAUGAAAAUAGCCUCACCUGAAAUCUAAUUGUAACAACCAUAAAUUAAUGAUAUACUAAAAAAUAAAAGGAAACUCAGAGAAGAUUAAUAUAGACUGGAUACUCACAAAAUAACUUCAACGGAGUUGGUUACACCAAGACCUUCACUACACUCUACAACCUCCUUAUAAAUCGAGUACUUGGUGGUCUUUCUUUAACGAAGAACUCUUUCUUCAACAGGUUACUAAAGGAAAACAAAACAAAAGAAAAGGAGAAAAGAACCCCUAUUACAAAAGCCUUACUAAUAUUUAUAGCUCACGGUUCUCACAAUGACUUAUACGUGACUAACAUUUACUGUUGGCUCACCACUUUACUGUGGCCAACAUAAUCAUUUCAAAUUCUACCAUAAAUAUUCAUCUCAUUUUAGUUAAUUUAUAACUAUAUCAAAACAAGAAUUCAACUAAAACUGAACAGUAUACACACAUGUGAUCAAAAUUCCUCGACCGCUGCAAACACUGUGAGCCACCAUUUAUUAGUAUUUUCCAACAUAUCUACCAAUUAGAGGUCAUCACUUAAGAGGUCUCAGUUGGAAUGGUCCAUUUCUACACACACAAAGGCCACGAAUCCAUUAUUUAGAGUUCUUCUUCAAUUAUCCACUUCGAACACCAAAAAUUUAUACGGGUAAGAAGGAAAAUUGAUGGCGGAUUCGGGUUUCCCCUAAGGUGGUCCAUAUUCAAGAGUCCAAUUAUCUCCAGCGGCAAGUAUUCAGUUCUGAUAUCUCCAGAGCACAAUAUGACCGAUUAAUGUAUGGAUAUCCUCUUAAGUUGGAAAAACUUCUAACAAUAAAGAACAUCUUUCGUUACUGUUUAAAAGGGCAAACCCCAAUGGCUUUAGAACAGCAAAUUUGGUGUUGAGCGUGAAUCCUCAAAGAGUAAAAUAUGCCAAUGAAGCAUGGCCUUAUGGAGCCACCGAUGAAUUGGUCCAAUAUUUAGUGAGGAGAAGAAGGGAGCCCACUAACUUCCUUUACAUAGCUGUAAUAUACCUCUUCAACGUCUGUCUGCCCUAACACCUGGUUUUCGGGGUAACUCACCCGUUAGAACCUUUGGUGAUAUUGUUGCUGACUUUUCUAUUCCUACUGCAAGUUCUCCCACUUCCCUUAAUUCUUCCUGUAGUCCACCAAACAUAGAUGUGGAGGCCCUUAUGGAAAGUACGCAAGAGGCUAUAGAGGCGAAUUAUGUUAUGGUGCAGUUGGGUAAUAGUAGUCGCAAGAGGUAGAGGUUGGAAAGAGGGUCCUCUAGUGCCGGACAAAAUAGGAAGAAUAGAUUGGCCCGUCAUAAGCCUGCUAAGGAACCCUUAGUCUGGAGAGGGAGCCUUUUGUCCCUCCCCAAGCCAUCACUGGACAUCCCACCAAACCUGCCAAUAUUACAUACUCUCCUUCACACAUUUUGGUGUCUCUCCUCGUGGUUUCAAUCUUGGACGCUACUCAUUCUAUCUCGCAUACAUCCCCAAUUGGCAGUCUCUACUACACUCCUCAUUUUGAUGAGGUACAAACCUUCUUCUCAUGGAGAAAACACAUCAGUGCGGGAUAAUAUCCAUUUUCCCCUUUUAUUAUCCAACAGAAACAAGACAAGGAUUUGCCCCCAGAACUCAAAGAAUUCACCUACCCUUAUUAUUCUUCUAGGGAUAUUCAUAAACCUACCCUUUUCGAUAUCGUGGGUUCUUUUUCCAUGACGGCUGCAGAGUGGGGACUUAUGAGUUUGGCUCUCCAACAAGCUUGUGAUGAGAUCGAGGCUAGGCGAACAAAAUCUGAAAGGAUCAUUAUUUAUUUGGUGAACAAUCACUUGCCUAGCUUCGCCAAUCAUAUGAUGUCAUAUUUCGCCAAAAUCAUGAUCUCACAUAGUCUGUCUCCUCUUGGGAUACAAAGUACAAAGCUUUUACGGCCUGAAAAAAAGAGUUAAAAGAAAGGGUCCGUCAACUGGAAGCCCUUCAGAAAUAACACCUUGUAGAAAAAAAAGCAAAUACAAAUAGAGAAUAAUGAGGCUCUGAAGAAGUUUAAGGGACAUACUAAUGCGAGCAUUAAGGCAUAUUUGCCUAGCGUAAGGUCCAACUUGAUGUUGCAUACUUAAGGUGCGGAGGGUCCCUUCGAUCUGCACUACUUGAAAUCCAAAUGCAUGCAACAUCUCACCAAUACUAACCUUGGCUUCGAAGUCCUAAAUCCCAAAGGGGCUAAAUGAGAGGAAUUCAAAAAGAAAUGAAGGGAAUCCAACAAACACUUCUACGAUCAGGAUUCAGAUAUGACCAACUCUGAUUUUUCGGGAGUUACUGACCUAGAGGAUGAAAGCCCAAUAGAUGCUACCACUUCUCUAACCCAAGGGGAAUAUUAGAAUUUCUCUUGUUGUACAUCUAUAUUUUCUCUCAUCUCUUUUUGCUAUGUUAUGCCCAAAACCAGCUUAUAACAAUCUGCACAAAUGCAUCCAAUUCCAUAACACAUUAACCCUAUGAUAACUUAAGGGACUAAGUCAAAUUUAAGGUAUCAAGCAUAUAAGGCCUAUUCCCUAACUUUCUAUGUCCAAAAGAUCGACUAAAUCGAAGCUCUGAUACAACUAAAUUAUAACACCCUAUACUCGAUCCGAUCAUCGGGUCCAGGUACCAAGUGUCACAAUUAACCCGAAUAACUUAACAAAGUUUCUAACCUGAUUUACUUUCUGACUUAGACAAUUCCAAGUUAUACAUACAUUGCUACUAUUCAAUCUUACUCAUUUUCAAGAAUAACGUCAAUUUCCAAAAUUUAAACUCCUAUUAUAUUCCUUAUCAUACAAGCAUUAAGUUCUUAUAAUCAUUCUGUCUUAUUAAACAUGAAUAAUUAUUUACAAAUUUUAACUUGAGACUUUACUAUAGAUACACUAAAUUAAUCCCUAAGGCAUGACCUCUAGGGGUGCCCCUCUAAAUGCAUGAUACAGUUAUAGCACUGUUUGCACGAGCCUGGCAGUGUUUGGCUUGGUUCCUCCAUGUGAAUCUUAAACCAAUCCUUAAACAUGCAUACAAGGAAAGACAAUCAUAAGUUUGGAUGAACCUAGUGAAAUUCUAUACGAAAGAAAUCAAAGACCUUGAAUUUUCGAGGAAAUAAUAAUAAAAGCACAAAAUUUAAACUCCUUGAGUAUCGUAGGGGAUUCCGUAAUUUCACUAGUGUAGUUGAUGCUUUGUUUCCCCUAAGCUAACUAUUGGCAGACAUAUUCCUUAUUUUAGUCAUAAGUGUGCUCUUCCAAAUAACAAUUCCUUCUGAGGUUUAACCCUGUCCAGCUUCAUCUCAGACUUCCAUUUUAUCAUUCUCGAUUGACUCCUUAAAGAUAUCCAUAUACACGGAUAUACAAAUUAUUGACUACUACUAGAGGACUUGCAAUUAUCUUCGCCACGACGGUGGAUCCUUACCUUGAUCUACUCAUCCCACACUGAACUCAAGACAUUACCCUGGCCAAUAUCUUUCUUUGACUUAGCCUUUGCAUAAACCCUUCCUUAAGGAAGACCCAAUCUAGCAUAUUCGUUUGCAGUUUUAAUUUUCAGUUUUGAUUGAUUGAUAUCACCCCUCUUUCCCUAUGUUUUUGUAAUAACUUUAAUUUAUAUAGACUUUUUCAACACAUUUUUACUAGUAAUUCAUGCAAAUAACGAAUUUUGUAAUUUUAUUACAAAAUACUUAAAAAAAUUAAAGGCAAAUUUAUAUUUUUUUGUUAUUUACAUGCUAAUUUGACAUUUUUUUCCUAUUUAACACAAUUUUGUGCAAUAGGAGGAAAACUGGCCUCGAAGCUCACCUAUUCAAUAUUCGAUAACGUAGUAGUUUUCUGUAGCAAAAGUCAGGCAAAGGAGGGCUGAUAAUUAAUCAGUUAUGGACUUCCAAAAUUAAUUAGAAUUAUGGAUAAUGGACAAACUUGACCUAGCUAGGAAAUUGGAUCAGUGAAGUAGUCAAGCCUACUGCUCAAUGUUGAAGCCAAACCUUCCAAUUAAGGAGGAAAGAGCUCAAAUUUAGCUACAAACAGCCCAUCCGUCCAUUUAAUAUUUAAUUUAGAGUCCUUAAACUUGUAAAAAAAAUUACAAAACAACCUCAACAACUUUAUUAAGUGACCGUUCAACUCCCUCCUUAAAGAAUGCCUUGGACUAGAUAUUUUUAGCAAAGGCAUCUUUCCCAUUCCUUUUCUCAAGGUAGUCAGCCAUAGGAAGGGGGAUCAGUGUGCUACUUUUAGCAAAUACAAGUUUCCCCUACUAGCAUAAAUACUACCUCCUCACUCUCUCAUUCCAUCAUCCCUCAUUCAUCAAUCUUUCUCUUUUUUUCUUUCCUCUCUCAUUUUCCCAUUCUUCAAGUAAGUGGUGCAAGGAUUUAAGAGGAGCUCAUUCGACCAUUGGAGGAGCAUUUUUGCUUGAUUGCUAUGGCAAGGAGUUGAGCUCAAAGGAGGAGGAAGGGUCAAAGAACCACCGAAAAUGGUUUUGCAAUUCUUUUCGUUUCUCUUUUAAUUUCUUAUUGUUCAAUUUAAGAAAUCAUGUUUGCAACUAAAUUUAUUGUUUUUAAUAUAGUUAUGGAUGAUUAAUUCCUUCGGUGUUAAAUAAUUUAAUUUCCAUAGGUUAGGUUAUUUAUGUUGUUAGUGAUGUUAUGUGCCUCGACUAUUUAUGCUUCCAGAUAAAAUUAUGACUAUGUUAUUCAUGCAUUAUAAAUGUGGGAAUGCAACUAAAUUAAUAAUUAAAUCCUAACCGGAUAGUAAUUAUGGACACACUAUCUGAAUGGUGCAUGUUUAAUCUAUAUUCAAGAGAAUUAGGUUAAAGUUUUUAAUAAUUCGAGAGAACCUUAUUAUUUUGCAUAAUCCUAGGAUUCAUGUGAUUAAACUGUUUAGAAAAAUUAUUGUUACCUUACAUUAAUAUGUUUUUCUGCUUAUUAAUUUUACUAAGUUGUUUACCUAGACAUAUGUUAUACUUAAUAAUUUAAUAAGUUGAAUUCUUAGACUAUGUCUGAAAAGGUAACCUUGAAGUUGUAACAAACAUAGACAUAUGUGGAGAAGAGGUUAAACUUCAGACUUCGAGAGAAGCCAAAGUACUCGUAAUUAAAAUAGGAUUAAUAAAUACUGAGUUGCCAUGGAAUUUUCCGUAACAUCAUUAACAGUAUUUAAAUAUUUCUAAGUUAGGAAGGAGAAUUAUUCUGACACAUGCAUGAUAUUGUGAUUUUGCUGAAAGACUUGUGUACUCAUUCCAUCACUUAUUUAAUUUAAUUUUAAGCAUAUUUAGGUUAGUUUAAUUUAAUCAAACCCAUUACUUAAUUUUCAUCACCAACUAAUUUGCUAGUAAUUAAUUUUGCUAUGGAGAUGAUACUUGAUAUACUUAUCACUUUAUUACUGGUCAAUGAUUGUGUACACCUGCACAUCAAUCGAAUCAUCUUAAGACAUCUUGUACUUGCAAGGUAGUCCCAUAAGACUUUUCCACUUUAGACCAUUUUACUAAGAUUCUCCAAUUAACAAAUAGUUCUCGACGAACUAUCUCUUAUUUAGAUUGCCCUUGGCGGACUUCCUCAUUUGGUGGUCCCUGCAAACUUUCCCGUACUAUAUGGUUUUGAAGGACAUUCUCUUUCUUUGUAAAUUUUUGGAGGACUUUAUCGGAUAGACAAUUUCACCGAACAUUCUCUUCAAAGUGGUCCCUUGUGGACUUUCCACCUUUCUAGCAAACUAUUUAUCAAGUGCCACUUAAAAUUCAAAUUCGAUGAACCAUUCCGUAAACACUUAGCCAAUCAUGGUUCUAUUUUGGCGGUGCUUAUUUACAAACACCUCGAAGGAAAUACGUCGCGUUUAAGAUGCUUCUACCAGUUCCUCUUGCCUUCACAUUUCGACGGAUUCCUCUAUUUAGCACACUUACCCGCAUUUUAAGAUGCACCAUGAUCAUCUUAUCAAAAUAAUCGUCACGCGAGUCAUACACUAAUCUCCCCUUUUACGCCCUAACAUGCUUCCUGUCCGUCGUCUUGGAAGACUUUGUUUUUGCCAGGAGAUGUACCUGUUUACCACUGGAUAAUGCCAUGGGUAACCAUGGACUUUUGAUUCCGAAGAAUCAGUAAACCCCUUUUGAGGUGUCGCCUUGUAAGACCUGUAUACUGUUUACACGAUGUCACCCCGAAGGACAUAUACCUGAGGGACCAACAAAUAUUUUUUCCAUGAUGCCACCCAACUAACUUGAAUCCCAUAAUAAUCUGCUUCUUCCUCCAUUUUGCCAAUUUUCUAUCUUCACUACCCUGUGAAAAUAACUUCCUCCAAACUUUGCAUUUUAUCAAUAAAUGUUUACUCACGCAUGACAUUCCAAAUACUAUUGUAACAAUAAGUACACCAUACUUCAACACAUCAAUACUUGGAAAUCUUUAAGAAUUCAUACAACCUUUAACACCUAUGACAUGUUGGUUCACCGUGAUCUAUACAACCAUAGGUUUCAAAUAGUUCUUAGAGCAUAUAUAGACACAUACCACACAAGUAGCACACAUCCAUCAAUCACCUAGGAGUAGAGUUCAGAAGCUUACCUUAAACCCUUUAUCCUAACCAACUUAGUUGGUCCAAACACUAGAGCCUCUUUCAUCCUGUCAGCUAAGCAUGACAACCAUUCACCAAUUAAACUAAAGGUAUUUAACUUAAAACCCAAAAAUCUUGUACUUUAUAGGAACUUUUCAACGAUUUUAGAAAUCCUCAUCUUUCCAAAAAUUCACAAAUACAACAAGAUAGAAAAGCUUACCUGUUUAUCGAAUUCUCUACUCCCUUGUCUCAAACCUCACGAUCAUUGCCUCAUUCAGCGUUUUCCUCAACUUUGUCUUCUUCAGAACAACCGAAAGUGUAAAAGAAAAGGAAACAAAACAAAAAUCAGGAGAAUUCUGUUAUCAAAUUAAUCCUCUUCACACACAUAUAUAUAACCCUAUCUUGCACCUUAAUCAAAAUUGUACAUUUUUUUAUUUCUCUAGGAUAAACAUUUUGACUAAGCAAUCUUCUCCGCUAUCUUCAACCUUAUGUUUAUCGAGUGUGGGCUUGCUUCGAAUCAGAAAAUUUUCCACAAAAAUUACCAAUGAGGUAAUUUCGCGAUUUCUAUAAACUUUUCGGUGAAGUUGAAAAUAAGAAAAUAUAUUUAGAAGAAAUUAUUUCUUUAGAGAAUUUUCUCUCUACAACUUUCUCUUGAUUUCAAUUGUGUGUAAAUAAUGACCUAAGGCUCUCUUUAUAUAGGGAGAGCUUAGAGAGUUUAACUGUGAUUAAACUUAAUUACUUUAAUAUUAAAUUAAUAAAGUACUAUUAAGAUAAGUAUUAAAUUAAAUUUAAUAUUAAAUCUAUUAAAAUAAUAUUAUUUUUGAAAUAGAUAAUCUGAAAUCAAAUCCUCUGGUAAAGUCCUAGUAGGAUUGUAAUUCUUCCACUGCUCAACCAUCGAAAACUCACUCUUGUCGACCACUCUUUGGCCAUCGAAAUGUUGUCGUCAUAGUCGUCGAUACCCCGAGCUGGUUCGAUUUAUGCCGGUUUGAUCUGGGCCAGUGAUGAAUCAACCGGUUCGAUCCAACCAUCGGUUGGACCGUCGGCCUGGUUCGAAUAAUUUUUGGGUAUUGGUCUCAGUUUUGGGCCCUAAGCCUCAAUUUACGAUCUUAGAUCUAAUUUUCAAGUUCAAUUACCCAUUUGGCCAAUUAUCUAACUUGAAAAUUAAUUUCCAAAAAUAUCAUAUUAAUUUUAAUUAAUUUGAUUAAUUUAAUUUUACUUGAUCAAAUAUAAUUUUUCCAAAAAUCACUAAGAUUUUCCAAAUUAAUUUUUCAAGAAAAUUCUUUAAUCAAAUUCUAUAAUUGAACAAUUCUUACAACCGCCCAAUUUAAUUCCACAUCGAAUAAAUCGACUUCAUUAAAAUAUUUCCAAAGUCGUAGAAUUUUUUUCUAAUUCAAAAUUAGUCCAAUUGAGCUUUUGCUGAGCUAGCAGAUGGACCAAUCAGACAUAUACAAUUAGACUCUAGUAAUUGCAAUUAUGUCCAAAAGCAUCGUUCCAAUAAUUCACAGUUACCUAAUCAUGGAUUCAGUCCACAAGAAAUAUCAUGAUUGAAAAAUCUUUAUUGUAUACACUUUACGAAAGCAAUUCAUCCAACUGCUUUGUGCAAUGACCUCGUCAUGUGUGUGUUACCCUCAUAUGAUAUCCUUGAUUCAUUUAAGUUAAAUUCGUUCACUCAAUACAAUUAUAUUUUAUCUCAAUGCCACCAUUGUGUCUCCUUCAUGAUUAAUAUGAUCAGUAGCAAUAAAUGACUGUGAUAAAUUGCUCAUUCCAGAAUAAGCAACUUGUGGCCACGUUCCAUAUUUAUCAAUCCACACAAUUCCAAUGAGAGGAUAUCAUUAACUCUUUAUUUGAGCUAUGAACUCCAUUUUUUCUAGUAAAGUCAUUUCAUACACAAGUCCUAUACCCAACAUACCGGCUAUCGACUCGAUCAUCUUUAGAGCAUUAGCCUCCACUUAUAUCAAAGCACAUGAGUUGCAUACAUAUGGUCAGUGACUAACUCAGGAUUUACAUAAAUCACACCAUGAAUGCCACAAGUGAAUUAAUUUACAAACGGAUUCAGAAUUGAUUCAUCUUGAGUCCAGUCUAAUGUAUCAUUCUACCAAUGAAUACAUCUAUGUCUCUACCCGUGGAGUCAACUGCUCCGAUAAACAAGACUAUUCAUCUCCUCAAUUGGAAUUGCAAACGACAUGAUAAUCCUUCUAGGUAUUUGAAUCAAAUGCUCACUUUAAUUCUUUUACGGGAUUACAGACUCGUUUAGGUUAUCUACUAAAGUAAGUUGUGUUUCUCGCAAUGUAAACGUUCUUACAAUGCCACUUAUCAUCAGUUUUAAUUUAGACAAUCAAUAAGCUAAUAUUUUUUUGUCACAAUUUUGCUAUGCAUGAAAAAUGUGAAAGACAGAAAUACAAAGACAUAAUAGUGAAAUGUGAAAUUUAUUUAUUCAUCGUUCAAAUACAUAAAAAACAAUUACAUGUUUACUACAAUAUGGGCACAUUUGUCAACAACACAGUCUCCACAGCUCAAAAUAACCGUCCAUUGCUAAUCAUCUUGUCCCCCACUAAGGAACUAGACAGUUCCAUUCCAACUAGACCAGGAUUGAGACUCAGCUAUUCACUAAUCAGCCACACAAUUUACCAAGUUUUCCAGUAGAUCCUGCCAACUUACCAUCUUAUUCAACUAAUUCCCAACUCUCUUUUAAAUUCGAGAUAUUAGUAAAAAUCGAGUGUGAUACUAUAAUUAAGAAAUGUUAGUAUGUUUAAAUGGUUUAAUUUUAAUGUUUUCGUCGAUAGUUGUCAGGCAAUGAUUCUAGCAUCUCGUAACUCAGAUCCGAUAGUUGGUUUGGGCGAGGGGUGUUAUAUUUUGUUAACUCGAGGUCGGAUUAGGACCAAAUUGUAAAAUUUUCAAAAUGUUGGGUUGACAUCGUGACUACGGGAGCUCCUCAUCGUGAUGCAACAUACUGUCUUGGCUCGUCGUAAUGCUGAGAGUACGUCGUCGUGACUUGACUCUCUGUCUUGCCCUUGUCGUGACAUUGAGAAACCUAUGUCACAACGUAACCCUAGUUUUUCCACAAGUUAAUUCCAUAUAUUGUCUAACAAGCAUAUAUAUCAUAUAUGAAUUCCUUUAAGGCUUCAAUUGGUCAUUUGCCUUAAUUUCAACAUGUUAACAACCAUUUACGAAAACCUCAACACCCCUACGAUGGAAAAUUCAUAACCAUUUAUAAUAUCGAUUCUCAACAUGAUCAUUUGAAACAUUUGAAACAAGUAAAACCUUGGUACAUGCCAUCUUACCAAAACGGGAUAAGCCAUACAAAUUUAGUUGAAUUGAAAAUAGCGGUCUAGAUGCUGACUUCACUUUUUCAGGGCUUCGAGAUUACCUGUAGCUGUGCAAAAAAUAAACAAACCAUAUGUUGAGUGAUAAAACUUAAUGGUACUUUCAUGAUUCAGUAUAACAUCAACAUUUACAAUGAUCAUGCAUAACACCAUUACACAAUUUAGCCAAGUUAUAAUAUACCAACCUAAAAAUAUCACAUCUUAGAUAUGAAGGAGUACAUGAGUAUGGCAAACAACUAAUGCAUUUGUCAAUAUUUGCAAGGAAAAUAAUCUAUACAUACCAUUUGACAAUUACCAUUUUUCAUACCUUAUUAGCUAACACUAUCAAACAUAUAUCACAUAUCUAUAUACUAUUAACAUUAUAGUAUUCAUGUUUAAUGGCUUACAUAUUAUUUAUCUUAUUAUCAUACCAUCCAAACACAUUUUUGGAGUCUAUUGACUCAUUUAUAUUUAUUUCGGUAUCAUAUUCUAUUUUCAAUAUAUUUCUUUACAUAUUCAAUUUUUUCCAAUUCUAUUGGACUCGGGUACAUAGGUAAACUACAUACUAGAAGCUCUUAGGAGCUUAAACUACAACACACCAAGGCACCAAAGUACAAAGCCCGAAGGCAUCAAAGCAAAUAAAUAUACUAAUACAUCCCUCCACCACACCAUAUUAUACUCAAUGAUCCAUAACAAAUGCUAGAUCCUGGUAUAACUUGUAAUGAUCUCCGUACAAACACAUAUCUCAUACACAUUCAUAUACAACCCUAUUGCCAUGUCAAUUGUAUCCUAACCUUUUACUAAGUUCACAUGGGCAUAAAUUACAUAUAUAAAUUUUUCCAUACCUGUAAUCAUCUUACUCCGAUAUUCAUACCCUUUAUUCGGUCACAUAUGCAUUUUGUACCCUAUAUAUUGUUCUAUCGCAUAAUAAUUAUUUUUCAAUUUAGUACAAUAUUGUUAUCUCGGUCAAAUUCACAAUCACAACCUAUGACACCCCAAACCCAACCGAGAUGGACCGACCCAAAUUUGAAGCAUAUCCACCUAAGUGACUCUCUGGCUAACGACCACCCAAGACACCCCUCGACCUUAUAACACCUCAACCAUAUCUAAUUAUUAAUUAUUUAUUAAUGCAAAAGCAAAUUAUGAGCCAAUUUUAAAAUUUUACUAAGUAAUUUAACCUAAGGGCAUUUUCAUCAUUUUAACACCUAUGGUAAAUCUAAUCCAAUUUUUUUACCUAAGUGUUUACCGACCUUCUUUUAGUCAAAUUAUGCAAGCCUAAAAUUUUUAGCUUAAUUUGAGUUCGUUUACUAUAUCUAAUUCAAGUUUUAUUAUUAGGGACUAAAUUGUAACUUAAAUAAAUUAGAAUACAAAUUUAAAGAGACAAUAACUCAACCCCCCAAACCCACACGAUCGUGUCCCCCAGACCGUGUGUCAUUAAACGACCGUGUUCACAUCAUGAAAAAAUUUUAGACCGAUCACACACACCCGUUUGUGAUAGCUCUAGUCUCCAUACGCCUUUGUCACUUACCCACAUGCCGGUGUGCAACCCCUCACAUGCCUGUGUGGAUAGGCAACACCCGCGUGAAAAUCACUGCACCUUAUUUUGUGAAAAAAUCGUUUUAAAACUCGAUUUUGCAUAUUUUAAUGGCCAAUUAAACCCGAUUUAACUAUGAUUAAUUAGCAUACAUAUACAUACACCUUCAAUUGACUUUAUUAACAUCAACCAAGCCUCGAUUAUAUAGAAUUAGUCAAUCAAUUUCAUGCAUAACAAACACCGAAUAAAUCAAACAAGUGGCGUACCUCAGUCGCUAGUAAACCAUUCCAUGGAAGCUUUAUUUAAACAAUUGUUAGUACAAAUUUCAUGCCUCACACACCAUGUUAUCAAUCACCAUAUUAUCAAGAAAUAAUACACCAUAAAUUAUUUAAUCAUUAAACUCAAGCAUGUCUCAAAAUUAUUAUAAAACCAUCCAAAAUAAAAUGUCCAGUGCCUAAAGUCCAAUUACAACCAAAAUUAAACUAAUUCCCCAGAGUUCCACAAUGCCUAAUUACAUUCUCUAAAAAGUGUAAUAAACUCUCUACAAAAUCUACAUAUCUUGGAACUCUCUUACUCGGCUCCUCAACUCCUCAACUCCUCAAACCCGAUGAUUAUCUACACAAAUUGUGAGGGUGUGAGCUUUAAAAAGCUCACUGAAUAUUAAUAAAAGUGACUAGUAUAUCAACAUCCAAAUCAUGCUUAAACCACAUUCAAUCAAUCACCAAUUAUCAGCCAUAAUAAUGAAACAUGCCAAUUUAAUUUCCAUAUGUUUUACCAAUAUCAAGAAUCAAUUAUUCAUGGUUUACAAACAUCGAAAGAUAUAACAAUGAUCACACAUAAAUAUAUUGGCAUACACUUCUAUGGCUUAAUUGGGUGAUCAUACAUCCGAUAAAUAGAUCUCCGAACUCCCACAAAUAUCAAAUACAAUCCACCGAGUUGACUAGGCCAAAGCACACGCUUCCUUAUAAUGCCUCAAAUAACCCAAUGAGUGGAGACUCAUGCUCAACACUCCUUUAUCUACUCCAAACAAAUUAGUCCACCUAGAGCCAUAUGCUCACAAUGUCACAAAUAAAAGUGAGUACUUACAAAUCCUAUGGCAUGCCAACUAUAUCCAAUGGAUCCACCAUGCAUGUUGCCAAUAUAUUCAGUCAAACAUAGCAUAUAAAUUAGUCAUUAUUGUGCUCAAUUUAAUGUGACAAAAUGCUUAUGUGUAACAUGUAACAUAGCCAUUUAACAUCCAAUUAAAUAAAACAUCUCAUUUGUCAUUUUUCAAUGUUCAAUUACCAAUUGUAACACCAAUAUAUCAUAAUCACAAACUUCAGUAACCUUGCUCUAACCAUCAACAUAAUUAGCCUAAUUCAAUUACACAAAACCACCUAAACGCUCACUUACCAUUAUUCAAUAAAAAUUCAACUCUUGUACAUAUAAUAUCAUUCUUGCAAAAAUUAGUCAUUCCACCAUAAUUAAUUAAUUGAAAUAGUUAAUUAAGCUCCUAAUUAAAUAUAAAUGAGGGUCAAUUUACCAAUCGCCUUAGAAACACUCACCACACAAUUUAUUCUACCACAAACAAGUGAUCAACCAAGUGAAUCCAAGCUUCAAUUCCGGUUAACUCGGUCCUCUUCAAGAUUCGGAGCUUUCAACAGAGAUAAAGUAGACAUUACCAUUUUUCCAAUGCUAUAAUAAACAUGAAUUUUAAUUAACUAUACUAAUUGAAAUCCUCUCACAAAGAUACCUUACCGGAUUUGUAACAUCAAGACAAAAACUCAAUUCCUCACAAAAUCGAUCUCUCCAGCCCUCCUAAACACUUUCAAUCAUUAAUACUAGACCAAAUACACUUAUACUACGCGUCAAUUUCAUCUUUAAAUCAAUUUCGCAAAAUUCCAGAAAAUUAGUUCAUAAAGAUGAUGAAAUUCGAAUUUAUUUAAAUUAACUCACAAAUCAUGUUUAAUCUUGAUAAAUAAGAUCAAAAACCUUUUAAUAGAAGCAUCUUGAGUUGGAAAAUCCAUUGAUUUCUGACUUUCCAGUCAAAAUUUAAGAUCCACCAUUAAAGAACCAUGUGUUCUUGGAAAAAGAUAACAUUGAUAAAAAAAACCUUUAAUUGACUCUCAAAUAAUAUAAAAAUGUUUCUAAUCAUCAAAAAUAAUAAUUUAGGGUUGAAAAUUACCUUUGAUUCACUCUAAAUUUGUUGGUUCAAAAUCUUUGAUUCAAAAUAUUUUUGGCUACUUUUGAGAAUAAUUUUGGGUGAAUUGAGAGAGUAUUUUGAGAAGGAAAUUGGUUGGAUGUAUUCUUUGAUGAUAGAUCUUUACAAUCAUGCAAAGAAAACGAAUUUUAAAGCUCUCUAAUCUGAUGUAAAAUAUAUGAAAGGUGGGCUAGAUAUAUUAGUUUUAAAGCUGAAACCACUCACUAGAAAUUUAAAAAUUAGGAAAUUUGCCUAAUACCACUCCUAAAUUUGGUAUCACCACAAAACUCGGCCCAGAAGUUUCGACUAGAUCUCGAAGGUUACAUUGACCACCAAAAUGAUCAUAAAGCAAUUUAAAAAAGAAUUGUUUAAAACUUAUACCGAAUACAAUUUGCUAAAAUCAAACUAAAUCGUUUAACAAUUUAUGUUUUGAAACAACAAUUAAGUGGUGUUAAAAACAAUUAGGAAUAAGACAAUUUAACGUUUCUUGUACAGUUUCAAAAUGCAUCAAUUUUGCCAAUUGUAACUCAAAAUUUUGAAUUAGAAAUUGUGCGAAAAAUAUGUUGUUUUCUCAAAUGUGUACGAACUUUGAAACAAUAGCAGAAAACCUAAUGAAAACCCACGCGCGAAACUUUUGAAAUGUUGUUCAAAACUGAAUCACGUAGUUUAACGAAAAGUUCAAACCUUAACCCAUACCACAAUUUAUAUAAUCGCUUUACAAAUAAUCUUAAAACCAACCGUAUAAAAUUUAUGAUAAUUUUUAUUUAAAUCGAAUCAAACCAUAACUUUUUGAGAUCUCCAGCUGCCAAGUCCAGCUUCAAAACAUGACAAUUACCUAAAAGGAAGAAAACUAAGAGGGGCUGAGCUGCACGAGCUCAGUGUGAGUCUGAAACUAGUAUGAACUCAAAUGAAAAAGGUUACAAAGCUAAAAUCCCAUAAAAGAGUACACCGUUAAUGCUAGAAAUUCCUGAACCAACAGUCAGAAGUACAGAUACAUUCCCAUAAGCCAUUCAAAGUAACUCAUACAUAAAUCCACACACAUGGAAGCACUUACACAUCAAACUAUUGCUCAAAGGUAACUCAAUAUACAAGAUGUAUCCAAAACAUAUAUUAACUAUGCACACUUAUUACGUUAAUCAAAUUGUUGACACACCAACACUUACAAAGACAGACAUAUGACCAGAUGUGUAACAAAUGCAACAAAUCAAAAUGAUCCCAUCCCACUACCCAAACGCCACUCCGACCACCCUGCACGCCACUUAUGGGCUAUAUUAAGCCCAUCCACCCUGCACACCACAUAGGACCAUGAUAGGCCCAUCCACCCUACACACCACAAUAGUAGGUCUCAGCCACACAAAUAGUGAUAUGCAGUUGUGUUGACAUAUAUAUGAAAUAGUGUGAUAAACCGUUGUACAAAAAUAAUGCAGUUAAACUACCAAUUCAGUCUUCCGUCUCUUCAAAACCAAUAUCCCAAAAUUUUAUGCAAAAGUAUGUAUACAAGCAGUUCACUAACAGACUCAUAGAAACAAUGAUUCAUACUCAUUUGGAUAGAUUCAAAGUUAACAAGCUUGUACACAUUAAAAAAUAUGAACAAGAAAAUAUCUCGCAUUAGCACAUUUUCCAAUUAUUCAAACUCGACUCUCACGAAUUCACACACAUACUUAAAUCCAAGUGGUAGCGGAGUCCCAAACGCAAUUACCGAGGCUUAAUCGAAGGUCAGAUUACACAGAAACAUAGAAUGAGUCAGUUACAACACAAAAAAAUUCUACGAAACAGGGCCACACGGUCAUGUGUUCCGACUGUGUGGGAAGCUCUGGGCCAUGUGAAGGUCUACAAACCCGUGUGGAAAGAGACACACGCCCGUGUGAAAGUUACACACGACAGUGUGAUCGAGUUACAUGGUCGUGUGAGUAGCCCAUGUAACUCAUUGUCCAAAAGUGCCAAAUUAAGGAGCAGAGUAGACACAGUCGUGUAGGAAACUCACACGUCUGUGUGGCUAAGGAACACGGUCGUGUGCUCAAGGCACACGUCCGUGUGAAAAUUGAAAAAAAUCCCUAAUAGUAGCCACACGACCAUGUGACACCAAAAAUCAUCAAAAACCCUAAUUUCCCAAUGUCACACGGCCGUAUGGACCUCCCGUGUUUGGCAAACGCCCAUAUGGCCACCCGUGUGGUCACAAAACCAAACUAAGACAGGCUAAAAUCAAGAAUUCUGAUCAUUAAAUUGACCCACAAACAAUAUAGUUCAGAAACACACCUGAUUGACGUUCCCAGAAGCACCAACGAUCGGCUGAAAUAACUCAAAUUAACCAAUUUGAAACACCUGAUUUACAAAAGUACUAAACCUUGAAGAAAAUCGAUCUAACCAAGAACCAAAUUGCAAGAAACCAAUACACAUACUUAUCCAAAUCAACACUUGACAACACGAAGAACCCUUAUGACCAAAAACAAACAAUGCCGACGGUAAAACCCAGAAUUAAUUUGAAGAACAAACAUACAAUGACAAAAAAUCAACCAAAAAUUGAAAGUGGAAAAGAAGAAAAUAAUAAAAAGAAAGAGGAAAACAACGUGUGAGGGAGAAAAGGGAAAAAAACUAAUGUGAGUAGAAAAUAGAACGUGGAAAUUUUUAAGGGAACACUCCUUAUUUUCAAAUUAAAAGUAAAUAAAUAAUUAACCUUUAAAACAAAACUAGACUUAAACCAAAACUAAAAUAACACACAUGAGGACUUAAACCCAAGACCCAAUGAUAGAGUAACACUCAUUCAACCACCACACCAACAAGCUAAUUCUGACAUUAAAUUGUGAAAAUAAACUCAACUGCUCGACGUACUCAUUGACCCUAACUACAAACCUCAAAACUUCUAACCCCAAAUUCCGGGAUGUUACACAUUUCCCUUACUUUAUCAUUUAAUCUUUUCCCUCCAAAAUUUUGAAUUUUAAGGUUUAUUUGCCAUAUAAAAUAUUCUAAAUUUUCCCUUGUUUUACAAUUAAAUCCUAUUUAAUUAUUAUUUAAAUUUUACUCAAAUUACCCCUAAUAAAAAUUAUUUUAAAAUUCUUUUUCAACCUAAAUUUAUUAUUUUCACUCAUAAUUAUUUAAAAUCUUUAAAACUAAUUUUUUGAAAAUAAUUUUUUUGAUUUUUCAAAUUAUUGUUUAACCGAUUUUAGAUGAAAUUAACCUCCUAAAUUAAAUUAAAAAUUGUUAGAAACCUUAUAAAUUCCUAAUGUCACACUCGGAACCCGAAAAAUAUACCCGAAACUACUAGACCCAGUUUAGGGAUAUUACACAACCCCAUUUCAUCAUUAAACACACACAUUGCAUAUUAGAAAAUAUAUUUCAAUAUAAUUUUCACAUCACAUAUCAUAAUUUAAGUAUUUCAUAUCAUUUCCCAUUUUAUCCUUUUUAGUCCUCUACCUCGAUGUUUCAUAUCAAAUUCAAUCAAACAUUUCAAUAUACCCGAAACUACUAGACCCGGUUUAGGAAUAUUACACAACCCCAUUUCAUCAUCAAACACACAUAUUGCAUAUUAGAAAAUAUAUUUCAAUAUAAUUUUCAUAUCACAUAUAUAAUUUAAGUAUUUCAUAUCAUUUCCCAUUUUAUCCAUUUUAGUCCUCUACCUUGAUGUUUCAUAUCAAAUUCAAUCAAACAUUUCAUAUUAUCAUAAUAGAAUCACCUCAAUGAUUCAAAAAUCAAGAAACAUGAAUAUAAAAUCAAACAUUUUUAUCCGGAACCAUAAAAGUACAAAUCGGGGUUUUGCGCGUCACUCAUCGACGAUUUUCGCUUUUCUUUUCCCUCUUGGUUGUUUGGUGUUGUUUUUAGCUAAAAAUAAUCAUAAAAUAUAUCACAUUAUAAACUUUCAGCCAAAUUAGAAUAAAAUACCAGAUUUCACAUUUUUUAAUUUAUUCAAUUUAGUCCCUAAAAUCGAGACAAACAUAACUUUCAAUUUAGGGCUUCAGAUUAAAUUUUGAUUUCACCAAAAUUCAUUAGGAACCCUUUGUUUUCUAUUUCUACCAACAAUCCAUGACAAUUUUGCAUUUUAUUAAAUUUGCUCCCUAAUGUACGAAUCUAACAAUUAAGCUUUACAAUUUAGUCAUUUUUUAUAUACUAAGCUUAAUUUCUAACAAUUUUACACCAAUUUCAUCUAUUCGUAACAAUGGAAAACUUUUAAAAUGUUUAAAAGUUUUACAAAUCGGUCAUGGGCUAGCUAAAUCAAGUUUCCAUGACCUUAAAUCUACAAAAAUUGCAAGAAACAGACUUAAAAUUGCUUACCAAAUUAUAGCCAAAUGAUGUUGAAGUUUUUUUAGUUUUUCUUCUUCUUUGGGACGAAAACAAUAAGAAAAUGGAUGAAGAAUGACACCUCCACUAUCUUAAUCUUUUAUACAUAGCUUAAUAAAUAAUUAAGUUUAAUUUAUUUAAUUAAUUAUGCUUUCUUAACUAAUUAAUCAUUACUUUCUUAACUUAAUUAAUACAUGCACCAUUGUCUACUAACACAUGAUCAUUUCGACCUUUUUGGAUAACUGCAAUUUAAUCCUCAAGAUUUUUUAAUUAGAAACCUAUAAUGAUUGGACUUUUACAAUUUAGUCUCGAGGCCUUAAUUAACCAUAAUUUUGACUAAAUUACUUAACCAAAUUUUCAUUCAUCAAUACACUAACCCCGUAAAUAUCCCUACUUAAUAUUUACAAACUCGAUUUGUGAAAACGAGGUCUCAAAACCAUAUUUUCCCAUGCCACUAGAAGCCAAGGUCGUUACAAGUGAAGUAACCAUUGAUGGUACCCAAACUACAAUAAAAAUUGAAGUAACAUUGUGGAAUAUUUCUAUAUAUUCUUUAAAAAUAAAACUAGAACUAGAUAUAAAAAUGUAACACCCCAUACUCGACCUAGUCACUGGGUCCAAGUUACGAGAUGUCACAUUUGUUGUCAAAGUAACUACAACUUUCAUUUAUUUCAAAUAAAUAGUUUAUACAUUUCAUUAUGGUUAUUACCUAUAUACAAUAUGAUAUUUAAUCACAUUCAGAACUUGAACGAGCUUACAAAACAUCUUUCGAUAAAUUGAGUUCGUUUGAGGAGUAAAAUGUAACAUUUUCAAAACUAUUGGAUUGGCGUCGUGUUGUCGAUGUUAUCAGGUCACGACUAUGGAAAACCAAUGAGUGUCGUCGUGACAUGGGGGGUCAUUCUUCUACGAUUAUGUCUUGCCUGCCAUUCCUGGUGAGAAAUUUUAGGUUAGCACAAAUAUGAGAUCAAUUGAUCCAGAAGCAUAAUAGAUCUAAUUGUGGGAGAAAUUUUUCAAGGAGAGGAAAAAUAAUGACUUUUUAGAAAUGUUCCCAAAUUGGUCACAACAAUAAGGCUUGCAAGAACAAAUCAAAUGUAAGUUUUAAAUUUAGAAUUUAUUACAAUAGUUUUGCAAUUAUAUUGAAUGUUGUUUAACACAUUCUAUUGCUUACAGGAUCAAUCUGAAGCACUCAACCAACUACUUUAUCAACUCCAACAUCCCUUGUUGGAGGGCCUUCAAGACUUACUGUAAAUGUAAAUAUCUUAAGGAAAAUAAAUUAACUUUUUUGCAUUGUUAUAGUUAUUGAGGUUCACAUUUGAUACUUAAUGCAAGAUGCACCAAGACCUGAGUAUGUAUGCAUGACUCAUACUUUGAUGUAAGUGAAAGUUUGAUACGUUUAAAUUAUAUAGGUUUUAUUAGCACUUUUUUACUCAUAAUUUAUGAAAAUUUCGAGCAUGUGUGUUGCCAAUUGAGUCAUUUUAAUUCAUAUUGAGACAUUAGACAUAAUUUGAGUGAAGUUUGUAAUUUUAUACAAAUUAGUAUUAAUUUUACAUUAUUUUGCUAUUUUAUGUUACAGGCUAAUUUUUGUGCUCAAAUUGUUAUAGAUAGACAAUUGAAUUAAUAAGUAUGGGAGCUAAUUAAUAUCACACAUGAACAAAAGUAAUCCCUACCCCAUGUGGAAGGCAAGCUCACUAAAUUGGACUCACAAAUUUAAUUCAAAUCAACUUGGAAGAUGGUUACUAAAAAGAAUGAAGUCUGCUCUCAAUUAGGUUGUCAAAAUCGACCAAUAAGGGGGGAGAAUAGCCCAAAUUCGGCAAGCCAUCAACAGCAACCCAAAUCAACUUUGGAAUAAUUAACUUGGAGGCCUUUUUAUUUUUCAAAAAAUUUGAAAUCACCUCCCAACUAAUACCCAAGAAACCGUCCAACCCCUUGCAUGAUUCAUGCACGAAAUCAAGCAUGAAUCAAGCAACCAUCAACCUCUCUCUCCACAUUUCAUGGUCGGCCAAGCAAAGGAGAAAACCAAGGGAUCUCUAAGCUAUUUUUCACAAACUCCCAUGCCAUCCCUCUACUAUAAAUACCACCCCUCACUUCCCAUUCACUCAUCCUUAAAUUCACAACAUUUCUCAGCUUUCUUUUCUCCCUUCCACACAUAAGCCUUCCCAUUUCCCCAUAUCCUUUAGCUAGCAUUUUCCCUUGAGGAAAACCACACUUGGUCGACUACCUUGAGCAGCAUUUUGCAAUCACAAAGAAUCGGAGGAAGCCACCACGAUCGGUCUUUAGAGAACUGUUGAAAUCAUCAAGAGUUUCUUCUUUCUUAAUCUUAAUUUUUAUUCAAAUUGUUUGCAAAUUUUUUUGAUGUUUUUCCAUUGACAAUGAUAACUUAAUUUUGUUUUAGCUAGAAUGGUUACAUUAAUUUGAUAAAUUUUUUUACUCAUUCUUACGAUGUUUUGUGUUUCAGUUAUUCAUGCUUCCAAUUAAAAUCAUUUAUGUAUUUCAUGCAUUAAAAUAUAUUUGAAUUCAUUACAAAUAGUUGGUCGAUCCUAAUCAGAUGACGAUUAAUGGACGUAAUAAUUAGAAGGUGCAUGCUUCCUAACUUGAUAACAAUAAAGGUUUCGUAAUAACUCGAAAUAGCACUAUUACAUUACAUAGCUUUUAGGUUUGUGCGAUUAAAUUGUUUCAAACCUAACCUGUCCCUGUUACUUCACAUAAAUCCGAAGGAAUCCUUAGUUAAAUAUGGACAUAAAAAUAUACAUCUUUUCCUAAGUAUAAGAUUUCAAAAGAACUUAUAUGAGAUUCCAACUUAACUGAAUAUCGAGUUGCCAUGGAAUUUUUCCGGAACAUUGUUAAGCAUGAUGAAAAAUGAAUUGAGUCAAAUGUUGUAAUUAUUCUAGCUUAUUCAUGUUAUUGUUUGUUAACUCAUGAAAUUACUGCUAAAACAUCACCUUGCAUUUUAUUACAUUUGCAUUUAUGUUAACUUGCAUUUAGUUAAUUAAUUUAAUUUAACAUCUAUCACUCAAUAUUAUUGUGUUUUCCUUAACUAACUUAUGGAUAGUAAUUUUACCAUUAUUGAUUUAAGUAGAGUCCCUAUGGAGACGAUAACUCUUUUUACUUACUUAUUACUUGAUAAAGACUGUGUACACUUCCGGAAACCUACGUGUUACAAAGUCUGAGUUCAAAUAAAUAAUUAAUUAAAACAUGGUACGUUGGGUAUACAACUUCUACUGUAUGUAGCGUUAUUCCAUAAUAGUGGAAUUCAUAGCCCAACUAAAAGAUAAAUGAUAUCUUUUUAUCGGCACUACAUGAUAAAUGAAAAGUAAGCAUGGUCACAGGUCAUUUGUUUUUGCGAUAAAUAUCUUGAUUACUAUUUCAUAGUAAUUAAUUUUCAUGAAGGAAGAUAUAAUGAUUAACAUGAGAUAAAAUAUGAUCAUAUUGGAAGACCGGAUUUAUCCUAAAGGGAUUAAGGAUAUCAUAUUAGAGUAAUACGCUAAAGGUAAGGUCAUUGGACGAGCACUUAUUAAGUAGUUUUCAUAAUGGUAUAUAAUAAUCGAGAGCUUAGUCAUGAUACUUUAGUGGAGAGACUUCGUUACUGUUAGUUUAAUUGAUCAAACCGAAAAUGCCGAGAGGGGGUUGAAUUAGCUUUUAAAAAAAGAUUAUGGAUACUAGAGAGAAAUGAUAGAAAAUGAACACAAGAAUUUAGAGUGGUUCGGCCCCAAUUGCCUACUCCACUACCUUAGCUUUCCACAACUAAGUAUUUUCCAAAAUUCACUAAUUUGUUCAACCUUUGAGGACACGGUUUAACCUUACAACUCGCUUAAGAUUUCUACCCAAAUCUUAAGACACAACUCCUCCCAAAGGGAUGCAAAAAAGAAAAUAAGAAAUAAUCCUUUCAAAAUUGAUGUGUCUGCAAACUAAGCUCAUUUACAAUGAAAAACACUUGAGUAAAAGAAUGCAAAUAAGGCUCACAAGGGAUUGAAAGAAAAGCAUGUAAAUAUAUGGCACAAAGAUUGUUUUGAUUGGUCUUUAAGCUUGAGUAUUCUUUCUUCUUGUUGUAGGACCAUUAGAAGUUGGUACUUAUAACCUCUAAUUCAUUUCCAACCGUUGUGGUUGUUGAGAAAAUAAAUAGAGCCGUUGGGAUGAAAAUACUGUUGAGAGUUAACCAAGUCAAACUAGACUUGUUAUCACUCCUAUUCUUUAGGAUCUUAUUCAACUUAAAAUUCAAAUUCAAAUUCAAAUUGUGAAUAGCUGUAGAUAACACUCUGAUGUAAUCUUGUAUAUAUUUGCUAUCAAUAGUCGAAUACAAUAGAGCUGAAUUUACAAACCAAAAUCACUAUCUUUCAUGGUAUCAGACUGCCAGUAAAAAGGUUUCAAUCACCGCCUCCUCUUCUUUUUUUUUCCUCAUGGCCAAUUCGACUGUUUCCUCUCCACCUUCCAUGCCAAAUCAAAUCACCAUCAAGCUUACUCCCUCUAAUUACCUCCUGUGGAAAACACAAAUGACCCCUCUCUUAUAUAGCCAAAAACUCAUGCAUCAUGUCGACGGCACAGCAGCUCCUCCCAAGACCGUUGACAAUGCUCCUAACCCGGCCUAUGAGUCGUGGUUUCUUAAGGACCAAAUGGUUCUUAGAUGGAUCCUUGGCUCGUUGUCUGAGUCCGUGCUAUCUCAGGCAGUCGGAGCCACUACUGCAUUCGCAGCUUGGACAAACUUGCAUCAAACUUUUGCUUCCGGAUCUCGGGCUCAAAUCCGGACCCUUAAAGGCUCUCUUCAUGCCUUGUCUCGUGGCGAUGAUUCAAUCGUCAUAUACAUGGAUCGUGCAAAAUGGAUUUUUGAUCAACUCGGGGCUCUAAAUGCGGCUAUUUCUGAAGACGAUCUUGUCGAUCAUAUUUUACGAGGACUUGGUGCCGAUUAUCGACCAUUCGUUCGCAAUCUAGAGGCAAAACUACAGUCAACAUCCUUUGAUGAUUUGUUUAGCUUAUUACUUUCUGAGGAAUUACAAUUGAAAGCUGUUCAAGAGCCUCUUCAUCCUACUGUCGUUGCCCACUUUGCCGGCCGGCAGCCUUCUGCUUCCGCUAAUCGUGGACGGGGUCGUAACAGUAAGCGCAAUGGCAAUUAUUCCUGUCGUGGCUGAGCUGCCUCCCCGCCCAAGGAUCCAACAUGUUACAACUGCAAAGGACGUGGCCACACAAGUCGUUAGUGUCCCAGCCCAAGAUAUGCCGAGUCUUACCCCAAACCCUCAGGAAACUAUAGCUCGUCUCCUCAAACAAAUCCUAAGCCAUGGAUCGUUGAUACCGGUGCCACUCAUCAUUUGACAUCUGAAUUGGGAAACCUGGACAUUCAUUCUAAGUACACUGGUUCCGAUGAAGUCACUCUCACCAAUGAUAAAACCUUACCUAUCUCUCGUGUUGGCUCGUCUGUCUUAACUAUUAAUUCUCAUCCUUUCAAAUUGUCUAAUAUUCUUCAUGUUCCUGAGGCUAACCUAAAUUUAUUGUCUGUUCCUCAGUUUACACUCACUAAUGAUGUCUCUGUUGAAUUUUUCCAUGAUUAUUUUGUGGUUAAUGAUCAACGGACGAAGCAAACUCUGCAUAGAGGGUACAUCGAGAAUGGUUUAUAUCGUCUAGCCACUGAUCCAGUAUCUCCUGCUUGUCAUUCAGUUUCAUUGUCUACAUGGUAUGCUAGACUACGCCAUGCUUGCUCAAACACUGUCAAUAAAGUUCUUAGUUUCAAUAAAUUAUCUGCUUCUACUAAGCAUGAUUCAUCUCUUUGUGAAACUUGCUGUGUUAGUAAAUCACACAAAUUGUCUUUUUCGGAUUCUACUUAUGAAGCAAAACAACCAUUAGAGUUAGUUUGUUCGGAUUUGUGGGGUCCUUCUCCAAUUGCUUCUAGUGAUGGUUUUCUAUAUUAUUUGGCGUUUUUUAUCAUUAUAGCAAAUAUACUUGGAUCUAUUUUCUUCGUCGUAAAUCGGAUGUUUAUAAUUGCUUCAUUCAAUUUCGUGCUAUUGUUGAGAAAUACUUUGGUUUACCUAUUAAGCAGUUCUAAUCCGAUUGGGUUGGGGAAUUCCAAGCCCUUGAAAAAUAUUUGGCCUCUGAAGCUAUAAUCCAACGCAGCUCUUGUCCCCAUACCCCUGAACAAAAUGGCUGCGCCGGAAGCAAACACCGUCAUAUAACCGAAACUGGUCGCGCCUUGUUACAUCAUGCCUCUGUCCCUCCCAAAUUUUGGGAUCAUGCCUUUGUUACUGCUGUAUACACUAUCAACCGUCUCCCAACUCCAAAAUUACACCAUAAAUCACCCUACCAAGCCCUUUUUCAUCGUGACCCUGAUUACAAGUCAUUGAGAAUUUUCGGUUGUUGCUGCUAUCCCUGGUUGCGUCCAUACACCAAAAAUAAGCUUGAGCCUAGGUCUGCCAAAUGUGUUUUUCUUGGUUACAGUGUUCUUCACAAAGGUUAUAAAUGUUUAUCGUUGUCCACCAAUAAAGUGUUUUACUCACGCCAUGUUAUUUUUGAUGAAUAGGUUUUUCCAUUCAAGUCCAGUGAUGGGCAUGUAUCGAUUCUCGGUCCCCCACCUUCCCCGACAACCAUUUUUUCUCUUGGCCAUCGCUCCGAUUCUAAUCCAUUACCUGCUGUCCCACUACCUACAGCCCCAUGCCCCAACCAGCAGCUCCCAACUGUCCCAAGUACCCCCCCACGACUGUCGAUCAAUCUCUUACCAUCACCACCGUGUCCUCCCAACCUGCUCCCAUUGUUCCCAAUGACCCUAUCACAUUCCCGAUAGGUUCUAGCAGUCCCAAUGCUUCUCCUACCACUACUCAGGCACCUACCAUGCAUCAUUCAAUGACUUUACGCUCCCAUACUGGCUCACUUAAACCAAAGGUUUUUCAUGCUGCUGCGUCCACUACACUGUCAGCCCCUUCGUCAUACACUGGAGCAGCAAAAUAGCAAGCAUGGCGUGCUGCAAUGGGAGAAGAAAUUGAUGCUCUUCUAUCAAACGGCACAUGGGAUCUUGUUCCUCAUUCUCGAGCUUCGAAUAUCAUUGGUUGCAAGUGGGUAUACCGUGUAAAAACAAAAGCGGAUGGUUCCUUCGAUAGAUGUCGUGCGCGGUUGGUUGCAAAAGGGUUUCAUCAACGACCAGGCCUUGAUUAUGUUGAGACUUUCAGCCCUGUUAUAAAGCCGGCCACCAUAAGGUUAAUUCUUUCCAUUGCCGUCAAUCGUCAUUGGCCCAUUCGGCAACUUGAUGUUUCGAAUGCCUUUCUUCACUGGACUCUUGAUGAAACUGUUUUUAUGGAACAAUCACAGGGAUUUGUUGAUCAUUCUAAACCUGAUUUUGUAUGUGCUCUAAAGAAAUCGCUAUAUGGUUAAAGCAGGCGCCACGAGCUUGGUAUUUUUGCCUUUCGAAUGCACUACAAUAGCUUGGUUUUCACGGUUCCAAGGCUGGUAGUUCGCUAUUUAUAUAUUCCGGUAAUGACGAGUGUGCGUAUUGCUUGGUCUAUGUUGAUGAUUUGGUGUUGGCAGGAUCAUCCUCUUCGCUGUUACAACGGUUUAUUGCUCAACUUGGGAAGGUUGUUGCGCUCAAGGAUUUAGGACCACUAUCCUAUUUCUUGGGUGUUGAAGUUGCGUGGUUCUCGAGUGGUUUGCAGCUCACGCAAUCCAAAUAUAUCAAAGAUUUGCUCCAUCCUGCGAAUAUGCAAGAUACCUAGUCGGUUUCGACUCCUUCAACGCCGCAAGUCGACCUCACCGGCACUACUUCUUCUACCUUUGAUGAUCCUAAGCUUUAUCGAUAGGUUGUUGGGUCUCUUCAAUAUUUGGCACUCACUCACCCUGACAUAAUCAUGGCAGUGAACAAAGCUGCACAAUUUAUGCAUUCUCCUUGCCUCCAUCAUUGGCAAGCCGUGAAACGGAUUCUACGUUACCUCCGCGGCACAAUAGAUCAUGGUCUCGUGCUCUACUCUUCUCACCAAGCUUCACUUGUUGCUUUUUCGGAUGCUGAUUCGGGUGGCGGCAAGCUUGAUCGAAAGAGCACUUCUGCAUAUGUUGUCUUUCUUGGCUCCAAUCCGAUCUCUUGGAUUUCUCGUAAGCAAAAGACUGUCGCUCGUUCAAGCACGGAUUCGGAAUAUCGAGCUUUAGCAUCAGCUGCUUCGAAGGUUUAUUGUCUUCAGUGCCUUCUUCGGGAACUCAAUUACAAGCUUCCAACAACGCCGAAAGUAUGGUGCGAUAACGUUUCCGCUAGCUAUCUAGCUGCGAAUCUCGUUUUUCAUUCUCGUAGCAAGCACCAUGAGUUGGACUUUCAUUUUGUCCGAGACCAAGUACGCCAGAAGAAUCUUCUCGUCUCCUAUGUUCCGACCAUUGAUCAAAUAGCCGAUGUCUUGACGAAACCUUUAUCGACAACUCAGUUUCUUACGCUUCGAGACAAACUAAUGGUGACUUCCCCCAUCCGUUUGCGGGGGGCUGUUGAGAGUUAACCAAGUCAAACUAGACUUGUUAUCACUCCUAUUCUUUAGGAUCUUAUUCUACUUAAAAUUCAAAUUCAAAUUGUGAAUAGCUGUAUAUAACACUCUGAUGUAAUCUUGUAUAUAUUUGCUAUCAAUAGUCGAAUACAAUAGAGCUGAAUUUACAAACCAAAAUCACUAUCUUUCAAAUAACAGAUCAUUAAAUGCACCUGCAACAAAAAAUAUCGAUACUUUUUGUACGAGUACCGAUACCAGUAACAUUUAAUGUCUGAUUUAGUGACCAUUAAAGUUAGUUGCCAAGGAUACAAAAAGAUGAUUUAUCGAUACCUGGUAAAAGGUAACGAUUCAAAAUAUAUCGAUAACUUUUUUGUCAAUUUUGAAAGAUCAUGAAAAACAUAAUCCAAAAUUAGUAUUGAUAUAAAUUUUUGGUAUCGAUAUAAUUUUCAAGGUAUCGAUACUUAUUGUUUGUAUUCAAUUUUUUAUUCAAAAUAGAGAGCAGAAUUGGUAUCAAUAAAAUUGUACAAGUAUCAAUACAUUUUGGAAAACAUCGAUACUUCUUGUAUGGAGAAAUUUUAAAACUGAUUUAAAAUAGUUUGAAUUAAGUUGAAGAGUUUAAAUUUAUUUUCAGAACAUUGUCAAAAAUAUUCUAAGUGUUUAAAACAUGUUCUAAGAUAAUUGGAAGUUUUGAAAUAUUAUUCAUGCUUUGAAUUCUUUGUUCAAAAACAAAUUUUUUAUUUAAAGAUGUUUUGUUUGUUAUAUCAAAAUAAUUUAUCAAAUAAAGCUAGUUAAAUAAUCUCCCCCUUUUUGAUAUAACAAAACGUUCUGGUAAAAAAAAUUUUGAGUUUGUUACUCCCGUUUUUUAAAGUUCAAUUUGAAUCAAUGACUUGAUUUUUGUGAAAUUUGGAAACAAGGAUUUGACAUUUGAAAGUGGUCACUUGAUGUUGGCAUUAAAAGAUUAGUCAUAGAGAAAAUCAACCAAACACCAAUAAUUUACCUUUCUCUUCUUUUCUCUACCUUUUUGUUUUAUCAAAAAUCAACAAAUAAAGCUUAAGAGAAAGACUUUGUUAGUCCAAUAAAAGAGUAAGUAAUUGGAAAACCAAACAACUAACAUAGAUGUAUCAAAAUAAACCAACAAGUAUCUACAAUUAAGAUACCAAAAUAAACAUUAAGUUCUAACAUAUAGAUAAAAAAAUGUGCAAUGAAGAUGAGUGAAAUGCAUGAGAAAAUGAAACAUAUGCAUCCUAGUCUUCUUGAGGUGGAGGAAGAGGGAAUUGAGACAUUAGAAAGGUAAUAUUUUCCUCCAUCUUAGGCAUCCUAGAAUCUAGACCACUAACAUUAUUAUUAACACGCUGAAAGGCAUCAUUUACUCAAGUGCUUAAAGCCCUAAAUUCCUCAGUCAAUGAAGUAAUGGCCCCAACGAUGACGGUAGACACUUCGUUAGAAAGAAGCUGAGUAGAUGGUUGAGUAGAGGAAGAAUUCGGUGGAAGGUCUUGCUGGACUGGAGGAAUGCCAUCAUAGUCUUGUUUAAGUUCUUCAUCAUCAUCGUCUUGAGGAACAUGAUGGACAUAUUUAAUCCAAUUUUUUAUAGUAGGAUCCAUUUUAAAAUCAGCUCUAUGAAAUGUAAAAAAGUUAAUAACUUCAAAUUUGACAGCCAAAGGAGGAUUGAUAUUUGUAAGGAUGUUCAAGUAUUUAAAAAUGUAUGACAAGAACGUGCCAAAAGGCAAAGAGAGCUUACUCUCAAGCCUCUAACGAAUAUGUUUGGUAAUGUCAUUAAAUAAUAUCAAAGUCAAAUCUGAAUGCCUAUUACUAUGAAAAGAAUCAAUCCACCAAUAGUCGGUAGAUCAAAGAACGACAUGUUUUGAAAUAAUACGUAAUUUUUAUGUAUGCAAAAUGCAAUCAUGGAAAUUUAGCUCAGAUGCAAACGAGUGUCGAACAUUCAAUGCCAGAUUAUAAGGCCUUUCUCAUUCGACUCACCCCUAGGAGGAAGUUUCAAAAAUUCACCAAAAUUUUCUUAAGUGAGAAGAAUAGGAGUGUUUAUAAGAAAAAAAAUUAUAGCAACCAUAGUCUCACCAGAUUCAUCAUGUUCGAGUUUAGCAUUUGAAUAAAAUGCUCGAACAACAUUAGCAUAAGUCAGUGAAUGAAUUUUAAAAAGUCAAUUGCCAUUCAGUUAAAAUUUAAAGAAAUAGAAAAUUGAUUUUGGCUAAAAAUUUGAUAUCAAGGGAGCGAGAAACAUUAACUUUUUGUUUUAAAAAUUAUUGAUUAAAAUGGUAAAAGUCAUGGUUAUCUUUAAAACAAUCAUCAAAAGAAUUUGGUUGACCACUAAAAGAAUAUGAAGGACCAAAAUGAAGGCAUUUCCUGACCGACAUUCUAACUAACUAGACAAGAGUGACCCUUUUAGCAUUUAAAAUUUUGGUUGGAGAAUUUUAUCGAACACUUUGUGAGUAAAAUGUUUAAAGAAAAAUUUUAAGAGUUUGGUUAAAAUUAGGCAAUCUCCUACAUGAAAACACAUAUAAAUGUUCCAAAUCAACCUAAAACCACAAUUUCUAAUCAACAAUUAAAUAAAAAAAGUCAACAAUUUUCACAAUAGAAAGCAAAAAUAUUACCUUGAAAUUGCUUUAAAGUUGUGAAAUUGGAAAGCAAACUUGAACAAUCCUUGUAGAAAAUGAUAAUUUAGGUUUAUUUAUGUCAAGAUUUUAAAUAAAAUAUGUAGAAAUUAAAGUUUUUUAAAAAUAGGUUGAGAGAGUUUUGAAGAAAGUUUUUAGGGUUUUGUGAAUUAGUUGAAAAACACGCUGCAAGUACCUUAAAAGUCCCAUGAGUAUCAAUAUUUUUCAAAAAUUAUCAAUAAAAUGGUAUCGGUAUUGAUACCAAAUGCUGAAAUUGUUUUUCAAAGUGCAAAAAAAUUUCCCAACAAGAAUUUUAUGUUCUAACAGGUUCUAUACUAUCUUAGGAUGACUUAACAACAAUUUCUAAUGAGUUCAUAUGCUUGAAUAGGCCAAAAUUGAGUAUGAUGCAUAUGAAACAUAAAGUAUUGUGAGGUAUGCAAAAAUUAAACACUUUAAUCAAAUACGGUCUAAGUGAUCUAAUUCAAAGGCAUUCAAAAAUUUUAUAAUAGACUAUUGAUCAAGAUAAAUUAAUCAUGCAACAAUUAACCCCCUAACUAAUUUCAUAUAGGAGCCAUAAAAUCAUGCAUAGUUACUUUUGUAAUCAAUUUUAAGUCAUAAAAUAUUUUGAAAACAACAAAGUGCAAAAAUUCAUUUGAACACAAAAUUAAUGUAAGGUAGUAAUACCUAAUUCUCUCCUAAGUGUCCAAAUAUUUCUUUGUCUAAUGGUUUUGUAAAGAUAUUAGCUAAUUGAUUUAAGGUGUCAACAUACUCUAGAACAAUUUCUGCUUUUUGGACAUGGUCUCUAAUAAAAUGAUGUCUAAUCUCAAUAUGCUUAGUUCUAGAAUGUUAGAUGGGAUUUUUAGUGAAACAAAUAGCACUAGUAUUGUUACACUUGAUAGGAAUGGUAUCUACAUCAUUUCCAUAGUCCAUAAGUUGUUAUUUCUUCCGUAAAACUUAAGCACAACAACUACCGACAAAAAUAUAUUCUGCUUCUGUGGUGGACAAUGCAACACUAUUUUUUUUCUUUGAAAACCAUGAUACAAGCAUAUUGCCUAGGAAUUGACAAGUAAUGAAGGUACUAUUCCUAUCUAGUUUGUAUCCUCCAAAAUCUGCAUCCAAGAAUACAUGUAAGCUAAAGGAUGAGUAUCUAGGAUACCAAAGACCUAAAUUUGGAGUGUUUCUAAGGCAACUAAAUGAUAAAUGCAAAGAGUAACAUGUUUUAGCCUCAUUCUUAAUAUAUUUUUGGAUGAUUAUUUGAUUUAAAAUGGUGAAUUUUAUGCUCAUAAUCCUUUAAAUUCAUGCUUCUAUACUUAGGAGAGCAUUUGGGAGCAAGAGGAGAAACAAACAAGCGAAAACUAAAAAAUAAGAGCAAGUUACAAGAGCUACAUGGGCUACCACAUGGUCAUUUCCCAGACUAUGUAUAUUUCAUGAACUGCACUCCAAAAACUCAGAAAACCAUAAUUUUUACGUCUUUUGGGCAUUCUAAGACUUAUAUAUACCAAAUAUAAAAAGAGGGGAGCAAGCGGUCAGAGAAUACUCAAGAAAAUGACUCGAAAAAUGCCAUUGAAGUCGACUCUGAAGUAAAUUUCUAUCAAGAUUGAAUAUCUCCUUUUGAUUUCAUUGAAGUUUAUUAUGAGUUUCUUUGUUUUUUGUGGUUAUAUUGUCUUUGGGAUAUUUCUACUUGCGAUUAUGAACUAAUUUUCUAAAUACCUAAAGGAGAUGAACCCUAGGAUGGAUUUUGUUAUUUGAUUUCUAUUUUUACGCAAUAAAUACUUGGAUCUUGUUCUCAAUUAUGUGUGUUUAAUUCUUAGUUUAAUAUUUCUAGAUUAUUAAUCCAUGUUUGAUGUGCUUGAAUCAGAGGAGGAAUAGACCCUGUUUAAGAGUAGAUCUAGCAUAAUUGAGUGGAGUUGCAUGUAAGACUAGAAAUAUGACAACAUAAAUCUACUGGAUUAAAGUCAAAUCUAAUAGAGGAAUCCAUUGAUCGAGUUAAUGUGAUAAUAGGAGUUUUAAUUAAAAAGAAAUUUCAAUUAAUCAACCUAGAGUCAGUUGCUCUUUGUCUUGAGAGAGAUAUUAGCAUAAUUUAGGGAUUUCUACUAAUCAAGAUACUAAAUAAAGAAAUUAUGUAAUUUAGAUUGGUAAUGAUAGAUUAAGUCUAGGUGAAUUAUUUCUUGGGUAUUGUUUCGGUUCUUGGUUGUUUACUCAAUUAUUUUCCUAAUUUAUUCUUUGUCUUGUUCUUUAGUUAAUUUAAUUAGUCAAUUUUAAUUUUUAAUCAAUUAUUUCAAUUUGUCAGUUAAAUAAUAGAAAGACGGUAAUUACUAGUAUUUUUAAUCUUCGUGGGAAUGAUAUCUGUGCACACCUUAGUUAUACUACUAAUUGAUAGGUGCACUUGCCUUUUGUCAAAUUUUUAGUUGGUUUACGACUACAAUCACUAAAUAUUCUCUUAAGGGCUUGUAAAUGUGAUUCUUUAGGACAUGAUUGAAAUCUUGCACACAAGCAAGCACUAAACAUGAUAUCGGGUCCACUUGCAGUAAGAUAAAGCAAAGAGUCAAUCAUAGACCUAUAUAACUUUAUAUCAACACAUUUACCUUCCUCAUCUUUAUCAAGCUUUGUAGAAGGGAUCAUGGGAGUAGCUUAAGGACUAAGAGUGUUCAUCCCAAACUUCCUGAGCAUUUCCUUUGUAUACUUAACUUGAUUUAGAGUCCUAAAAAAAAUUUAGUUCUCUCAUCAAACUCAUUUGAAAUUCACCUUACAUUAGCUUAGAAAAUUCUUGACAAAGUAGAUCAUUAGUAGAACCAAAAAUAAUGUCACCAACAUAUAUUUAAACUACUAAUAAAUCAUUGUCUUUUCUUUUAAUAAAAAGUGUUGUGUCAACCUUCCCUUGACAAAAGCUUUUUUCAACAAGAAAAUUUUAUUAAUCUUUCAUACCAAACUCUAGGAGCUUAUUUCAAACCAUAUAAAGCUUUUGAAAGUUUGAAAACAUGGUUUGAAAAUUUUUGAUCUUUAAAAUAGGGUAAUGUUCAACAUAUACUUCUUCAUUUAUAAAACCAUUUAGAAAAGAACUUUUUACAUCCAUUUGAUAUAAUUUAAAAUCAUUAAAACAUGCAAAAGCUAAAAGCAUUCUAAUGGUUUCCAUCCUAACUAAGGGAGCAUAAGUUUCAUCAUAAUUUAUUCCUUCCUCUUGAGUGUAACCUUGAGCAACAAGCCUAUCCUUGUUUCUCACUAUGUUACCACUCUCAUUUAGUUCGUUCCUAAAUCUCAUUUAGUACCUAUAAUAGAUUUAUCACAAGGUCUUUCAACUAGGGUCCAUACUUUACUUCUCUCAAAUUGAUUUAACUCUUCUUGUAUAGCCAAUAUCCAAUAUUCAUCAUUUAAUGCAUCUUUGAUAUUUUUAUGCUCAAUACAUGAGAUAAAUGCAACAUAAUUACAAGUACUUCUAAGAGAAGAUCUAGUAGCUACCUCUUUGGAUGAAUCUCCCAAAAUCUUACCAUCCUUCACAUAGUUGAACUCUCUUGGAUGAAUGUCUUCCCUCUCCUCUAUUGUAAGCUCCUUUAGAGCAUAUUGUGUUUGUUCUUGAAUUUUUUUCAUUGGACGAGUUAUCAAAUUUAUCAUUAUUUUGAAAAUUUUAUGCAUCAUCAUCAUCAAUACAAUAAUCCUUUUAGGCAAACUUUAUCUAAGUCAAAAUCAAUUUUAGGCAAUUCUCUUACUAGGUCAUUUUUAGCUAGUUUAUGCAAUAUGCUCAUCUAGCAUAUCCUAGUUUUCUAUACCAUAAUAAAGAAUUUUUUUUCAUUUUUAACAACAAGGCAUAUGAGUGAAUCAUGCAAAUCAUCUAAAUGCACCAUAUAUAUAUUUCUUAUCCUAUGUCCUACAAGCAUAACCUUAUUAGACAAGAUGUCAACUAUUUUACAUCUAUUAGACUAAAAAAUGACAUUAAGAGCACUAUCACACAAUUGGCUAAUACUAAGUAGAUUAUACUUAAGAUUGUUGACAUAGAGAACAUUUUCAAUAAGAAUUGAAGAGCUUGUACCAAUAGAGUUGCUUCCUUCUACUUGUUUGUUAGAGUUGUCACCAAAUGUAACUACUCCAUUUUUUGGCUUCAAAUAAAUGUGGUCAAUCUUUUCACCAGUCAUGUGCUUCAGGCAUCCACUAUCAAGGCACCAUGAGUUUUUGAAUGAAUCCUCUACCUUGAAGCAAUGCCUCCUCUUCCUACAAACAUAUAAUUAAACUUUGAUUUUUGGUACUCAAAUUCUUUUGGGUCCAUAAGCAUUAGUUCCUAUAAUUUUAGUCCAUUUAGGUAUCUAUUUUGAAAGAAUGUCUUUAUCUUGAGUAUUUAUGAGUCCUUUAGGGGCCCAUACACUUUUAAUAAUUUCUCCUUUGUAAAAAAUUUGGGGACCUCUAUGUUUAUAGAAAUUAAAGUUAGUUUUGACAAAGUUUUGUUUUGAGCUUUCUCCUCUUAAAGAUCAUUUUGAUAAAACUUUUUUAGAGUGAGCUUUUUCACUCUUAAACAAAUCAAGUUGUUUUUGAUGAUCAUCAUGAACCUUUGAAAGCAAAUUAUGCAAGUCUUGCUUCUUUUUCUCAAAAUCAUUUAUGAUUGCUUUCAUGUCAUGAAUUUUACUUUCAAGUUCAUGAUUGGCCUUAGAGAAUGAACUAUUUUCAUCUUUUAAAUUUGAAAUAGUUUUCUUAUAUUUUGAAACCUUAGUUUCAAACUCCAAGCCUAGUUCAUCAUCAGCAUCUUGUAACUCAUCAAAGAAAUGAGAAAUUGAAAUAGAUGAGUUAGAAUUUACCUUUGGUUCAUCUAUGGCCAUAAGCCAAAGACUAGCUACUUAUUGAUCACCAUUAUCCGAUGAAUCCUCAUCACUACAAGUAGUAACAAUUACCUUGAGUUUUAAUUUGCUUGUUCCCUUCUUCUUCUUCCAUUAGAGACAAUCAAACUUGAUAUGUCCCGGUUUCUUGCAUUCGUGGCAUAUUAUUGGUUCCUUCUCCUUAAAAGAAUCAAGUUUGAGUUCUUCUUUCUUUUAAAACUUCUUACCUCUAUUGGAUCUCAUAAACCUCUUGAAUCAUCUAGCAAAUAUUGUCAUCUCUUGAUCCUCAUCCACAUCGUCACUAGAAUCAUCUUCUUCUAUUGUGGAUUUGAGGGCAAUACCAACCUUCUUCUUUUAAACUUUUUCUUCUUCUUUAUUCCCUCUUUUAAGUCUCAAUUCAUAAGAGAGAACAUAACUAAUCAACUCAUCUAAUGAAAGAGUUUCCAAAUUUUUUACUUCAACUUUGGCAUCCUAAAACAUCAACAAUCUUCUAAGCAUUUUCCACACUAAUUCUUCAUUGGGAUAGGUCUUCCCAUAAGAUAUGAGCUCAUUGAUGAUAAUGGUGAAUUUAUCAGACAUACCGUUGAUGUCCCCUUCAGGCUUCAUCAUGAACGUAUCAUAAUUAAGGGUAAGAGUUCUCACCUUUGAUUUCUUGACUUGGUUUGUACUUUAUGAGUGACCUCCAAUUUGUCCUAAAUUUCCUUGGCAUUGGAACAAGAUGAUACCCUAUUAUAUUCUUCCAGACCAAGUGCACAAAAGAGAGAGUACAUGGCCUUGACGUUGAGUUGUAUGUUUUUCCUAUUUUCCUCGUUUCAUUCCUUCUUACUCUUUGGAACUAAGAGCUCUCUUUCAUGCUUGAAAGGUAUGGAUGGACCAUCCAUGAUGAUGUCCCAUACGGCGAGAUCAUUGGCUUGAAUGAACAUCAUUCUGGUCUUCAAAUAAGAAUAAUUAGUACCAUUGAAGUAAGGAGGUUUAGAAAUGGAUUAAGACUCACUAAGAAAAAUGGAGCCGAAAGUAGACGUCAUCUUAUGUGGUUUGAAUAGGUGAAAGUUGAGCUACCUCGAGGAUCUUCUCUUGGUUAUUAGAUUGUCUUUUAGAGACUAGCUCUGGUACCAAUUGUUAGCUAAAUUGAUCAAAUCGAAAAUUCAAGAGGGGGUGAAUUGGCUUUUAAAAAAAAAUUGUGGAUGCUAGAGAGAAAGGAUAUAAAAUGAACACAAGAAUAUAGAGUGGUUCGGCCCCAAUUGCCUACUCCACUACCUUAGCUUUCCACAACUAAAUAUUUUCUCAAUUGCCUACUCCACUACCUUAGCUUUCCACAACUAGAUAUUUUCCCAAAUUCACUAAUUUGUUCAACAUUUGAAUAUAAGGUUUAAACUUACAACUUCUUUAACAUUUCUACCCAAAUAUUAAGACACAACUCCUCUCAAAGAGAUAUAAAGAAGCAAACAAAGAAAUAAUCCUUACAAGAUUGAUGUGUUUGCAAAUUAAACUCAAUUACAAUGAAAAACACUUGAGCAAAAAAAUGCAAAUAAGGCUCACAAGUGUUUGAAAGAAGAGUAUGUAAAUAUAUGGCACAAAGGUUAUUUUGAUUGAUAUUUAAGCUUGAAUAUUCUUUCUUCUUGUUGUAGGACCUGUAGAAGCUGAUAUUUAUACCCUCUAAUUCAUUUCCAACCGUUGUGGUUGUUGAGAAAAUAAAUAGAGUCGUUGGGAUGAAAACACCAUAUCAUUAAAUUCACCUGCAAUAAAAAGUAUCGAUACUUUUUGUACAAGUAUAGAUACCAGUAGCAUUUAAUGUCUGAUUCAGUUACCGUUAAAGUUAGUUGCCAACGAUACCAAAAGAUGAUUUAUCGAUACACGGUAAAAGGUAUCGAUAUAUUUUGAUAGGUACCAAUACUUUUUGUGUCAAUUUUGAAAGAUCAUGAAAAACAUAAUGCAAAAUUAGUAUCGAUAUAAAUUUUUGGUAUCAAUAAAAUUCAAUAGGUAUCGAUAUAACUUUCAAGGUAUCGAUACUUAUUGUUUGUACUCAAUUUUUUAUUCAAAACAGAGAGCAUAUUUGAUAUCAAUAAAAUUGUACAAGUACCGAUACAUUUUGGGAAGCAUCAAUACUUCUUAUAGGGAGCAGUUUUAAAACUGAUUUGAAAUUGCUUUAAUUAAGUUGAAGAGUUUAAAUUUAUUUUUAGAACUUUGUCAAAAUAUUCUAAGUGUUUAAAGCAUUUUUUAAGAUGUUUGGAAGUUUUGAAAUAUUAUUCAUACUUGAAUUCUUUGUUCAAAAACAAAUUUUUUAUGUAAAGAUGUUUUUGUUUGUUAUAUCAAAAUAACUUAUCAAAUAAAGCUAGUUCAACAGUUACUAAAUAAGUUUAUAAUUAAUAGACAAAAAGUUGGAACUUAAUAAUAAAUUAUUUGAACCCUAAUUAUAUAUGUCCAAUUAGUCCCUCAGAUAGCUCGUUGAAACCAUAAAUGAAUUGCAUGUAGAACCAAAUUGAUAGAAAUUAAUAGAAAUGAAUGAAAAUGUUGAAGUAAGAGAAAUUGAUUGCAUUCACAAAAGAAUGAAUUCUCGUUAAGUACAGAAAUGACUUAAGAAUUAAUUUCCUUAUAGAUUCUUUUACGGUUAAGUUGUUAUGACUUUAACAGAAUUAGAAUUGGGUUAAAAAAUUAUUUAAUUGAGAAAUUAAAUAAUAUUUAUUUUGGAAAAUUAAAAUUUAUCUUUAUAUUUGUAAAAUAUUGAAUAUAUGUAUAUACAAAAUUAAGGGGGUUGGAGGGGUGGUAUAUGUGGUACUUCUCCCAGCUUGGCAGCGUGGGUGAAUGGGAGUGCAAGAAUUCCUGGCAUAGGCUGUUGGCUAAUAUUUUAUGGCAAAAAGCGUAGCCGCGCUACCUUUUGAAGCAAAGAAUUUCAUUCUCACGCAAUCCACUCAUCAACAAUGUUCCAUCUUUUUUCAUAAAAAAAAAAAAUGAGUGUUCCAUCUCUGCUUUGAUAGCUCAAGGGCUAUAGCGAUGCGUACGAUUCUCACAAUGAAAAUGCAUGCAAUUCCCUUCCCAGAACAUGUCUCAUUAAACAUGCCAUUUAUUCCACAAUCAAUAUGUCUGAUAUAUAUAUAGUUUUAAUUUAUAAAAAAAAAAUUAGCAGUCGUGCAAACAAAUUGAUAAAAAGAAAUUACAAAUGGAAGGAACACAAUAAAGUUGUUAUAUAAUGAAUGAAGAAAAGAUGGAGAAGAAUAUAUACUUUUUCAUUAUUUGACCAUACUCUCUACUUUUGUUUUCCCUUUUAAACUUUUUAAGGGGAGUUCUUGUAAAUCAUUCAAUAAGGUAUUUAUAUGUUAAAAAUAUGUAUAACACUAUGAUCCUUCAACAAUCUCUUCCCCUUCUGAUGAGCACAUCUAGCACUAUGAUACAAGUUACUUAACAAAAAUGAUUGUUUAACAAUUCACCCCGAAUAACCUAUUUUUGUGUAAUAUUUAAACACAAGUGCUUUAAUAUAUACUUUCUUGACCACUUCAAUAGAGAUGGAUAAUAAGGUCAUUGCUUCCUCCUCCAUAACCCAUUUGAAUUUGGUGGCUAUAGGUCACCAAUUUUGAGUUAUCAACACGUAAAGCUAUGCUGGAUUUACAUAUAUGCUACUAUUUAUAUAAUCCAAUAUAAAUCUUUAUUUUAAAAUCAAAUUUGAUGUUAUUUUAUUAAAUGAAGGUUAGUUUUUAUCUAAAAUCUAAUUCAAAAUUUUUAUUGCUUCAAUUUGGAUCAAGUCGAUUACGUGUGCAACCUAGGAAGAGCUAUGACAGUCACAUAGUCCAUUUUAUUUAACUUGUCUACCCUCAUCUACCAUAGGCUUAAUGACAAUGAAAGUAUCACAAUCAACAUUUCUUUUUAAAACAAACGUGUCGCAUUAAAUUAAUUUACUAGUUGAAGGGCCAAACUGUACAGAAUCCCUUUAUUGGUAGCUAAUAUUAUUGUAUUACAACUAAAUACUUCACUUCAUCUUGGUUUUCUUUGGCCGAGUGGUUAAGGCGUGUACCUGCUAAGUACAUGGGGUUUCCCCGCGAGAGCUCGAAUCUCUCAGGCGACGUUUAAAGUUUUGUCGAAAUCCAGUGUUGCCAAACUUUUAGCACCCCAAUGCAAGAUGACAUGAUCCCACAACUUGGUCAUGCCUGACUGGCUUGCCCCAUCUCCGUCAACGUUUAAUUACAUAUGCACACGUGGAUGGCCUUUAUACCAUUGGAAAAGCCACCAUAAUUAAUCAACUUUACCAGUUCCAACUUUGAAAUGAAAUGCAAUGACCCCACUCAGUCAAGGGUGGUUAUAGCACAUUCAUUUGGAGCCUUCCACUAGAAGUAAUUCUUUUAAAAACUUAAUUUAACUCCAGCUGACUCCUCCUUCAAACAAACAAAAGUGUUAUUUUUUGUAUUCAGUUGAGUGUUUAAUUUAUAAAAGUGUUUGAUCGAUCUUUAAAAAUGUCAAAGGAUAUAUAAGUUCGAGUGAGCUGAAAUGUAUUAUUUUUUAUUUAUGAAUACUUUUAAUUAUUGUGUCAAAAAAAUAAAUAUAAUUAAAAUUUAUAAUAAAAUUAUUAAAAAAUUUAUUAGAUAUAAUUUUAUGCACUGUGAAUAAAUUAAAUAAUCACAUAUUAUUAAAAAUUUUAAUUUAAGGUUGAUUGACUUUAAAUUAUAUAAUUAAUUUAAAGAGCAGAGGGUGACCGCUAAUCACUUGUGAAAAGUCAGGCUUCAAAAAGUCAGGCACAUCGAAGGACAACCAUCAAAUAGAGAUGGCCUAUGCCUCUGAUUAGCAAUUACUCAUCCUCUUAUCACAGCUCGACACGUCAAAACGUCUAAUGACUUUGUCCCUCCGUUAUAAUAUUAGUUCCUUAAGGCUGUUUAAAAAAAAAAAAAAUACGUCUCCUUUGUAACGCAAAUUGCGGGGCAAAAGCCAGGAAUUAGGAUGGAGUUAAAAAUGGUUAUAUUAACGUAGUUUUACCGUUUUAGUUGAAUAUUUAACUUCAAAAGGGAUUAAAUUGAAAUAUUUAGCUGCCAAUAAAUAUCGCUUUUGUGGGUAUAAGUUGACAAUUAAUUGGUAAUUAAAAACCUAUCAGUCGAUGUUUAAACGACUUUUUGAACUAAAAAUUUGCUUUAUUAAUUAGUUGUUAAGCAGUUAAUUUUAUUUGAUAGUUUUCAAAAUACUAGUUAGGAGUGAAACAACCAUAGAAAAUUGAAGAGAAUUUCCUAAAACUACCAGACACCCCUUAAGUGGUCAAAGACCAUGCAUGAACGUAUUUGCAGAUGAAAUUAAUAAGAAACCAAAUAAAGCCAAAAGUCAUAUAAGGAAGAAAAAAACGUGAGACCGCCCAAUCCACUUCACUCAACUCAAAUUUCCAACUAAUAUUUUAAAUAUAAUUAUUAUUUUUAUAUUUAAAAUAUUUCAAAAGUUAUUGUUUUUUCAUUUAUUUUGUGGGUAUGAUAUUUCAAAUAUUUUCAUAUAUGAAAUAUUUCAAUUAAUUAUUUUAAAUAUCAUUAUAUUUAUUUAUAAAAUAUUUUAAAUACACAUAUAAAAAUAUAUAAUACAAAAAUUUACUACAUUCAUGAUAUAGAUUAAAAAUAAAUAUUUCACAUAUAAAAAUUAUAUUUACUAAAAAUAAUAAUAUUUAUAAUAUUAUUUAAUUUUAUAAAUAAAAAAAGUUAUUAAUCAAAAAGAUGAAUUCAAAAUAAAAGUUUUUAAAACAAUAUAUUUAAAAUAUUGAUUAAAAAUAAAAAAAACUUAAAACAACGUGAAAUGAAAAAUAAAAAUGUAUGUAAAAGAAGAAUCGAAUCUGGGACUCAAAAGAUAAAACCACAAACAUUUAACACCCUGUGUCCAACACGUGCUUUCACACUCUCUCUUCAAAAAUAAUAUAUUUCCUUAAAUUUUCAAAAAAUCGACUUUAUCUAACUAAUUAAUUUUAUAUGUGGUAUUUAGCAUACUAGGGUUAACCCUUAACUACAUAUAAAAUAUAUAUAACCUAUAUUAUUUUGAAAUUGCCGACUUGCUUCCACCUCCACCUGAUAGACCUGUGGCGGGCUCCAGCCUAUGUUGGAGGGAUAUUUUUGACUUUGAUGAAACCCACAAAAAAAGAAAGAGACCAGAGGCAAAAAAACGCGUAUACAAUAAGAGACGGCCCAAGAAGUGUCCCUCCAAGUUUCCCGCAGCACCCGUAUUUCCCAUGUGUCUUAGCCGAACCACGUGACCACCGCCGUCGCAGCUAUAAAUACGUUCCCCUGCCCACAAAGCAAAUCACCCCAUUCAUUGGCUGAUUUUUCUUGGUUGGCAUAUGUCUCAAAGGCCUAACGUUCCCCACUCUUCUUCAAUAGCUUUUGGUCUCCAUUCUCAUCUCCUGGUUUCCAGUGAGAUGAACCCUAAUUCCAACUGGUCUUAAUAGUUUCAUCUCUUUCUUUUUCUUCUAUUGAUUUUUUGUUUUAAUUUCUUUUAUUGCCUUUCUGAAAAAAAGUAAUUGCCUUGUUGAUUUGCAAGCAAAUUUUGGUAAAGUUCUUAAAUAUUUGAGUUUAGAUCUUCUUUGAGAGUGCCGCUAUGGGAGUGAAGGGCUUUGUUGAAGGAGGCAUAGCCUCAAUCGUGGCCGGGUGUUCGACCCACCCGCUUGAUUUGAUCAAAGUCCGAAUGCAGCUCCAGGGUGAAAGCCAUGUUCCCAAUCCGGCUGUUCAAACACUCCGCCCUGCUUUAGCCUUUCAGACAACCACUACUACCACCUCCUCUGCUAUCCACAUGCCUCCUCCGCCGGUGCGUGUUGGACCUGUGGCCACCGGGAUCAAGAUCUUCCGGACCGAAGGCGUCGCUGCUCUUUUUUCUGGCGUCUCUGCUACCGUCCUCCGCCAGACCCUCUAUUCCACCACCCGCAUGGGACUCUACGACAUCCUAAAACAGAAGUGGACUGAUAAAGAGACCAAAACAAUGCCUCUCUCGCGGAAAAUCACCGCCGGGCUAAUCGCCGGGGGGAUCGGCGCUGCCGUUGGGAACCCAGCCGACGUGGCGAUGGUGCGAAUGCAAGCUGACGGACGCCUCCCCGUAUCUCAACGUCGUAACUAUACCAGCGUUGUCGACGCCAUCACUCGCAUGACCAAACAAGAAGGCGUCACCUCCUUGUGGCGCGGCUCAUCGCUGACGGUGAAUCGUGCGAUGUUGGUGACGGCAUCGCAGCUUGCCUCCUACGAUCAGAUCAAAGAGAUGAUUUUGGAAAACGGGCUGAUGAAAGAUGGGCUGGGGACACACGUGGC